GAUAGUUGUUUUAUUUAUAAUAUGAUAAUAACAACCACCUAGUGGUAGCUGAUUUAUUUAUUACAUGCUAAUAACAACCAUGAGUUGAUAGUUGAUUUAUUUAUUAUAUGCUAAUAACAGCUAUCAGCUAGUGGUUGAUUUAUUUAUUAAUUGCAGUCUUGUUCAUUUACUUCAGUCUUUUUAUUUAAUUAUGUUAAAUCAUAUGUGAAUCCUAAUUUGUACUUGUACUCACAGAAAAUAAACCUAAGAAUUCAUCAAAGGAAAUAAAAGAUAAACGACAAUACAAAUAUUGCGUUUUGUUUUGUCUUAUUUUUUAAAAUUUUAUUUUCAAAUAUAUACGCAUGCAUGAUAAAGAUUCACAAUUAUAUAUAUAUAUAUAUAUAUAUAUAUAUAAUCCGUCGAGGUGUUUUAGUUGACUAGCUAGUAUAAACUACCAUCUACCAAAUCGUUAUUAGCUAACGAGCUAGUGUAAAUUUUCAUCUUGGAAGCUAGUAUAAACUAUCAUCUAUAAAAUUGUUAUUAGUAGAGGAACUACGAAUGUAAACUAUCGUCUAACAAACUGUAUUAGUUGAUGAGCUAGUGUAAAUUACUAUCAUUUACCAAAUAGUUAGAUAGACUGUUGGCUACAGUCAAAUGUGUUUUGGAUCAAUUCCUAUAUAUGUGUGUGUGUGAAAAAUUCAUGAAAAUCUAAAACUUAGUUGUUUUGGUACUAUUGAAUUGAUUUAUCUUUUCAUCUUUAUUUUUUUUUAAUUUACUACCCGACCCAAAUCUUUUCUCUUCUCGUAUCAAUAGUAAGUUUAAGAUUGGAUGAUAUUUUUGUCCCUUCAUUUUUUGUCAAUUGAGUCCUUAAAGUGGUCAAUUGAUGUCAAUUCUGUCUCUUUUCUCCAAAUUAACCCAAUUUCUUCUAAAUUGAAGUACAUGCUCGGCAUAUAUAUGCGAUUUAAGUUGGGGCAAAAAUGUCUCCUAACACAAUAAUAAUAAUAAUAAUAAUAAUAAUAAUAAUAAUAAUAAUUCAAAAUUAUCUAAUGAAAAGACAUAAUUUAAGCAGUACCAUCUUGUAAUUUAUGUAAUCACUUUAUUUAAUAUCACAAUAAACCAGCUAGUGAUAGUUGUUUUAUUUAUAAUAUGGUAAUAACAAGCACCUAGUGGUAGUUUGAUUUAUUUAUUACAUGCUAAUAACAACCAUGAGUUGAUAGUUGAUUUAUUUAUUAUAUGCUAAUAACAGCUAUCAGCUAGUGGUUGAUUUAUUUAUAUAUCGUGCUAAUAACAACCAUCAACUAGUAUAUAGUUUCUUGAUUUACUGUUGAUCGGAAGAUUACUGAUCGUUCAUUUAGGUGUUGGUGGGACUAAUGUUAACACCAUAGAUAACUAAACCUGUCUUCAUAGUCACGUUUUCAGUCCCGUCAAGAGCAAAUAUGAUAUCUCCAUAGUCAAACUUAUUGAAGAAUUCCCCAGCUUUGAGCGAAAAUGGUGUGUUUCUCGGAUAAUUCAUCAAUCCAUAUCCGUUCACUUGCGAGGAUCCAUUCGGAAGAGUAAGUGUAAGACUCACCGGACUUGCUAUGUUAAAGUUGUCUUUCAGCAGCACCACAAAAGAUACCUCAUAAGAUAAAUUUUCAAGCUUUUCUGUCAUAUAGUUUCCGUCAACAUGUAGGACUAAGCUACCAAUUAAUUCAGCACUGUCAGGACUGUACAAAAUGAUAGUAGAAUUAAAGUCAGAAACUUUUGAUAUAAGGAGCUUAAAUUCAUUAGGUGAUUUUAUUGAUUUAUUUAUUUUUUGCUGGAAUAUUUUUAAUGCGAGUCCUUCUAUCUAACUAGACUUCAAUAAAAUUUCUAUAGUCCUUCUAUCACUUUAAUUUAAUGACAAAGUUGCUUAUAUAUCCCUAUUUUUAACUGAAUAAAAUUCAGGUGUUUAAACACAAAUCUUGACCUUUGACGUCAAUUAAGUUAACUAAAUCUUAUUUCUACUUACGUAAACUUCCAGCCUGAAGGGUUGGCAUAAUUGAGUUUACUGGCAGGUACAUAAGCGCCAGAACUCUGAAUAAGACGAGAAAAAAAAAUUCAUAUCAUCCAUUACAAAAAAAUUUCACUUGCAAAAUUUACAAAUAUUAAGGAUUAUUUUUGUUCUAUAGCCAACUUUAGCUAUAUAUAUGAUGUUUGUUUACAAUUUCAGUAGACUUACCUUCUGGCCUAUUCCGCCGUUUUGGAGCAACUCCAUUUCCUUGGCUUGGGACAACAAUGCCUUGAGGUCAACCUCAUUAUGCCUCACUACUUGUGCCAUCUCCUCGAUCGAUCGAUAACUAUCCUUUAAUUCUGCUAUAUAUAUAUAUAUAUAUGUAUUUUCUGUUUCUAUUCUUGAUGUCUAUAUAUCUCUCUUCCAAAGGCUAGCUCUAUUUAUACUGGCACAAACAGAGGGUACUGCGAUUAUUAUAUCCCAUAAUAUCCUAUCUUCAAAUAUUCCUUCCCUUUUCAAAGUAGGGAUCCGAUCCUGAUAAGUUUAACAUCAUCAUCAUCAUCAUCAUCAUCAUCGCCAAGGAUAUAGAGCAGCAGAUUCUGUUUAAUAAUUUUGUUGGAAUAAUUCUUUUCCAUUUCCCAGUUCAAUAGUUCUUUCUUUAGCUUGUUGCGCAGGCAAAAUUCCAUGAAGGCGAAAGGCACGUAGGCAUACUAGUUGUGGGCAAGGAAAUUGUACCUUGCUAGGGUUAGGAUUUCGUGUUGGCUGAGGAGGAGAGAAAUUCACGAAGAGCACGGAAUUGAUUGGUUGAUUGAAGAGGGGAGAACGACAGGUGGGCGAUUACUCCAACGACGUGUGGCAGAACCCCUAGAAUCCAGGAACCGUGUUAGGGUAGUAGGGAUUCCAAGAGCCUUCUUGAGUCCUUCGUUCUUGAGAGAAUGUCUAAACCCCUUUUAGUGCUUUUAGGUGGAAUCUCCGAGCCUUUAAGUCACCAAAAAGGGUUCUUUGAUCUUCCGAGAGUCCAAGUCUUGAGUCUAAAGAGAAGUCUCUUUCCCAAUGGAAUGGAAGGGUAUUUAUAGGGUUUUCUGGAAAGUAGUCAUGUGCGAGGCACAUGCUUUCAGGGAAAUUCCAGAAAUGCCCUUUAGUCAUUAGAAUAAUGCCCAUGUUGCCCUGUCCUUCUAGCCACCAAUCCAAUCCCUCAAUUAAUUCCCACAUCGAGCCGCCUCCACGAGUCUUCUGCCUCGGGACACGUGGAGGCUUCUCCCGGGUCUAGCACAUUUAUUUAUGACUUUUUCAUCUUCAUUCCAUUCGGUUAUGCGAACACUAAUUUGCACAUUUAAUGAGGCCGUGGAACCCUAAUUGCGCAUUUAAUUCAAUUAGGUCAUGUGAACUCUAAUUUUACACUUUGGCCCACAUUUGCCCCCUGCGCGAGAGUCGCAUUUUCAAAUAGACGAUCGUGCAAGAAAACUGCAAGCCUUUGAAUGAUUUUGCGGGACUUCACUUUACAUGUCUUGAAGACAAUAGUCCUAGAAGAGGGAACUCCUAGGGAGCCAAACCCUUAGAGUUAAACCCUAGGAAGGCAAGACCUAGCGAGGCUCUUCCUUGGACAUAUUGAAAAAUCUUCUGAAAUCUUUCUGUAUUUUGCCCAAUAUUUAUUUCCAAUUCCGCAAGCAGAUCAACUGUCCGAGCAGCCUCAAUACGAACAGAAACAGAUUCCGAUAACUUGGAAUGGAAAAUAGAAUUAAGACCAGGCAAAACAUUGAAUAGAGCGAUGUAGAGAUCUAAAAUUUCAAACAACUUGAGAAACGAUGGACGGGUACUACUAACGCCUUCUGCAAAGUUAAUCAAGUGCAAGGCGGAUUCUUUAACUAUACCCAUAAAACACACAUCAAAUGUGGAGUUACCAAGUCCACUAAAGAUUUGUUCACAGAGUUUCUUCUCCUUUAUGAAGAGAUCUUCAAAACAAACACGAGAUGCUCGUAUCCACAAUUUGAUCUUUGGUGCCAACAUAUCCCACUCCAAACUCCGGAACUCACCGAUGCUAUAUUUACCGACGCCGAGGUGUCGAAAUUCUGCAUCCACAAUCAACUUCCUUGAAGUCCUGUAGAAUUCAACGCAGUCGCCAACAUUACCGGCUGAGUUCAAUCGUUCAAUGAUACUCCUAAAACCAUAAACUUCGUCAAUAUGUCCAUCAUCCUGUAAUUCAUAGCUAAAAGUAUCGGUUAUUGUACUUGAAAAAAUGGUAGAACUCCUAUCGGCCAAGAAAGCAUUGUGGACUCUGUUGGUUUGUCGGGUCAAUAUGACCCGAAACUCUAACGGAAGGGUUUCCAUGCCCGUUUAGAUCAUGUUUUGAUGCUUUCAGUUUGGGGAUCUGAGAUUAUUCUCGAUCGUCUGAAGCUCGUCAAAAGUACUGAUCAAUCUCAUGGCGGUCUCCGUCGAAGUCGAAGAUGAUGAAUUUAAUAAUUCCGCCCGAAUAUUUUGUGUUCUACCAAUUCCAUUCAGACAAUACAAAAGAGAUAUAUAUAUCUGCCUAAAAAUUGAAAACCGAAAAUCAUCUCUGAACAGCAGGCUUUGAAAAUUACUCCUACUAGUAGUUUAUAAAUAUAAAUACUUUGAAGAUUGUAAGAAGUUCAUAGCCAUCCACUAGUAAAAGUACUUACCAUUACUAAUUGAUGUCACGUUACCGCAAUUAGGACGGAGAGAGAAAGUCGGACCAACUCUUUUUUUUUUUCAAAUCAAACAUUAAUUUUUUAUUUCCAAAAUCAAAUCUUAAUUUUUAUUUUCAAAAUAAAAUCAAAUCUUAAUUUUUUAUUUCCAAAAUAAAAUCAAAUCUUAAUUUUUUAUUUCCAAAAUAAAAUCAAAUCUUUCUUAAUUUGAAAAGAGAUUUUUUUUUUUUGAAAAUGAAAUAAAAUAAAAUCUCUCUUUUUUUUUUUUGGCAAAUCAAAUCAAAUCAUUUUUUUUUAUCAUUCACGCAAAAGAUUUAAGUGCAUGAAUAAAAUAAAAUAAAAAUGCAUGAAUUUAAGAGUCAUAUAAUCUCACAGAUCUAAUGAAGGGGAAUUGCCACAUGCCUACGACAUUCUCUAUGAAAAAAAUGAUGAAUUAAGGCAAAACGAGAUCCAAUCAUGUAUUAUUUUUUUUUUGAAAAUAAAAUAAAUCUUAUUUUAUUAUCUUUCAAAAAAAUAAAAUAAAAUCUUAUUUUAUUAUUAUUAUUUUUUAAAAUAAAUAAAUAAAUAAAUAAAACAUUUACUUAUCUUAUUUUUAAGAAGUAAGGAGUCGAUGAGAAUGUCUUGUAUCCAUAUUGAAGCCUUUGAUAAUUCUUUGAGCAAAGAUGAUUAUAGCUUUUUGAUGAUUCUGACAUCUUUUAUAUGAGACAAGUCUUCACAUGCUUCCGAUUUUUAUUUGCCAUAAAGAAAGAAUCCAUUAAAGCUUCACAUGCCAGUUGCCACUCCUCUGUUAGCCAACAAAAAAAAAAAACAUUGUUUUGCUGCUUUAUUUGGGUGUUAUAGCCACAGGCAAGCCUCUUUCUAUCCACGCCGAACCCUACUGAUUCAAUUUUUUAUUAUUUUUUUUUUAUUAAAAAAAAUCAAGAACUUUUGGAACACUUAUAUUUAGAAGAAGCUUGUACGUAUGGGAAUUGAUGAUCCAAAAACCCACAACCCAAUUCUUAAUCUCAGUUUCUUUCUUGCUAAUCUUUCUCAGUUGAUGAACCCUUUGGAUAAUAUUAACGAUCCUCUUAGGAGGUUGCAAUAUUCAGAUCCCACUCAACUACUAGCCAAAAUCCAAAUUUUACAUAACCUAUUGCAGGCCAUAAAUGUGAGUCCUUCUUUCCCAAAUAUUAAAGUAGUAAACGUGAAUAAUCUCUUGGGAUCAUAUAAUUAUCUUAGCCAAUUUGAUGGAGUGAUCACGAGUGAAGCUAUCAACCCCAUGAUUAAUCCUAUCCCCAACAACCGGCCUUUAAUAUAUAUACUCCAAUCCCAAACUCAUUUGGAUUCUUUAGCCCACAAAUAUUUAACAAUGUUAAUAGCUUAAGUGGUGUUGCAUGCAAUAUUACUCAUCAAACUGAAAAUCAGCUUCCGGAAAGUUCCAAUACCAAGGAAAUGGACAGUAUGAAGCCUACAAACAUCCCCUCCGGUUCAACCAACUCUGACAAUAUCUUUGAGGUUUUGGAGAAAUUUGUUGAUUGUGAUCAAGCCAAUAGUACUUCCUUCUUGCUUCUUUUUUUUUUUUAUUCAGGUAACUCUAGUCUUUCUUUUGUCUUCCGAGCCCCAUUACCUUGAUCAUAUCUUGGUUUUUUCCCUCGGAUCAUAAAGAAAGAUUGGUAUUUUUUUUUUCUUGCAGGCCCUCCCUGUUGAACAUUCUGCAGACUUGGGAACAACCAAGGAGGCCCCGUUUCUCAAUAAUUGGGGAAGGGAUCCCCUCUUUUGGUCUUUCCGACGUCUUUUGAGAGCGAGUCUAGACUUAUAAUCGUACAACACUUCCUCCGCCAGAGAAGAAAGGCGUGUUUCUUUAUGUCGCGGCUUGCGGAGGUUUGGGUGACUUCCUCCCUUCCGAUCGCAUUCUCCGCAUGUGCAUAGAGAAACAAGAAUAGCCUUUCAGUCCCUUUCGCUUCCUGUCUGACUCAUCUGACCGCCUUCAAGGAUGGCAACAUUGGACCGACUUCCCGUUGUGUGCUCUUCUUCAUACACAUUCAUUACUACUUGGGGGGGAAUUCACCCCUAUUCUAGAGGAUGUCUCUGCCCUCCACCAGUAGGUCGUACUUCGGUUUGCCCCCUGCACGUGAGUCACACCUUUGGUGGGACAACCGUGCAUAAUUUCUCCAGCAUUGAAAUCUUGCUACAAAUUUCUUAAUGAUUCGCGGAGCACGAUGGUGCAAGCCUUGAACAUAAAAUCCCUAGGAGGGGAGACCUGUAGGGGGCGAGCCCUAGAGAAGCUCUCCCUGGCUAUCUUGGAAAAAAUCUUCUAUCUUAUCCUUCCGAAUAUUACUUUCUUUUGGAAGUUCUCUCAUUUUCAAAAUUAAGAAGUCAACGAGAAGGCACCGAGUGAACAUACUUCAAAUUGGGGUGAACAAGCGAUGAAGGAGAUCUUUCCUCUAGGUACCCGAAUCCUGAGCGGCUUCAUUCUGGAACAUUGAUUAACGAGCUAGGAGAAGUAAAAGGUAAGAGGGGAGAGCCUCUGUAGGUGUUUGAACCCCAGGGGCCGAACCCUAGAAGACUGCCUAUUCCUUCACUCUUUUUUUCCUUCUUCCUUUCACUUGAAUCUUGGUCGUGUCCUAGCUUGGUUCCCCAAUAUAGUUGAUCGGAUACAUCUUCAUAGGACCCUUCUCCAGAUUUUCUUGCUCGAUUGUCUUCUGAGACUUAUUCUCGAAAUGCACAUUCUCUCUCUAUUAUCUGUGAGCAGAAGACUUAGAGGUGUUUUAGUUGUGAAGUUGAUGACUUCUCGAUCCUUCUUGGGCCUUGACAUGUCUCCCUUCCGUGCUAAGCUGGAUCUCUUCACUUUCAGUUAUCAUGUCAUUGCACUUUGUUCGGAGGUCACUUCACGUCCUCAUGAGAAUGACUUUCUUUAUGUAAGGGCCUCAGGAGCUUCAGGACGUCAUGGAUAGAUUGAAGGCCAAGCUUCGGGAAAUUGAUUCAUCUGCCCAAGACCUUAAGGAACUGUUAGCCUGAAGUUCGAAAGGCUCGAGAUACUGCCAUUGUCGACUUGGAGGCUUUAGCUAUGCCCCCAGUUCAGUUUGAUGUAUCAUGACCUUUGGAUCAUGACUUCAUGUAGCUUUUAUUUCUUCCAUCACUUUUGAAGAUAAAGUGUAUUAUCGAGGAUUUCAGGGUCAAGUGUCUCAAUCACUUUUGAAGUUGAAAGUAUAACUCUUUUUUUUUUCUGGAUCGAGGGCUGAUUAAUCAGGUGCCUCAUUACUUUUGAAGUUGAAAGUAUAACUUUUUUGGGUCGAGGGCUGAUUAAUCAGGUGCCUCAUUACUUUUGAAGUAGAAAGUAUAACUUUUUCGAGUCGAGGGCUGAUUAAUCAGGUGCCUCAUUACUUUUGAAGUUGAAAGUAUUUUUUUUUUGGGUCGAGGGCUGAUUAAUCAGGUGCCUCAUUACUUUUGAAGUAGAAAGUAUAACUUUUUCGGGUCGAGGGCUGAUUAAUCAGGUGCCUCAUUACUUUUGAAGUUGAAAGUAUAACUUUUUUGGGUCGAGGGCUAAUUAAUCAGGUGCCUCAUUACUUUUGAAGUAGAAAGUAUAACUUUUUCGGGUCGAGGGCUGAUUAAUCAGGUGCCUCAUUACUUUUGAAGUUGAAACUAUAACUUUUAAGAAAUUUGCUCUGAUCAAAAUUUGAUGUAUUUAUUUAACGAUCAAGAUAUAAUACAUUUUUUUUUCAUUUUCUAGUCUGCUAGGGCAGUAGCUUAUUCAGCAUUAUGCUUCUUAUUAUAGUUCGAUUUCACCUGCCGCUAAUUUUUCAUGAUAAAUUCUCCUCAAAUUACGACAAUUCAUGAUGGAAUGUCCUGGGUAUUGAUGAUACACGCAAAAGUCUGAUCUCUUCUUCAUCUCCUCGGUCACAACAAAUCUGGGUUUUGGAGGCUUCACCAUUCCAUUUUCUACCCAUUUCUCAUACAAAUCUUUAAAUAUCUCCUCACCACAAGUGAUAGCUUCGGGCUCUAGCGAAUUUAUAUUCUUUUUGAUUCUUUCCCUCUUGCCCCCCUGUGGCUCUGACUGAGAGUCUGUCAAAGCCGUAGUAGCUGUCCUCUUACUCUUCCAGGUAGCAAUCGGAUGGUUCACAGAUACUGCCAUAAUUUCUCCAUGGUCCUGUGCAAAGGUGGAAAGUGUCGCAAAGGAAUCACAAGACUUAGUGAUCAAGUGGGGCUUGAAGGCGUCGAGGGCGCCGUUGUUGCAAAUACUCACUAAAUUCUUCUCUUCGAUUGGCUCCACACACUUCCGCGCCUGGGCCCGAAAGGUGGAAAGUGUCGCAAAGGAAUCACAAGACUUAGUGAUCAAGUGGGGCUUGAAGGCGUCGAGGGCGCCGUUAUUGCAAAUACUCACUAAAUUCUUCUCUUCGAUUGGCUCCACACACUUCCGCGCCUGGGCCCGAAAUCUGUCAACAUAAUCAGAUAACUCCUCAUUCGAAUUUUGUUGAAUUCUCAUAAGCUCUAUAAUUGACACUUCCUUCUGAACAUAAAAGAAUUUUUUGAAAAACUGGUGUUUCAUAUCAUCCCAAUCUCGAAUCGAACCCUUCUCCAAAUUGUAGUACCAGCUGAAGGCACCGUUAGUGAGCGUCUUGUUAAACUCCCUCAAUAGAAUAUUGUGGUUGCUCACUUCAUCUAUUCCCAACCACGAGGACAUCGACUCCACAAAUCUUGCAAUAUGCUCUCUCGCAUUCCCUUUCUCUCCACUAUACUUAGGGAACUGAAGUGGAUGUUCAAUGUACCCAGCAGGGUAUGGCUGUCUUCUCACAUGCGCCGGGUAUGGUGGGGUGAAAUCCAGUUCCGCAGGCCUGACUGUCUGUCUACGCAUCUGAUUGAUUACAUCCAUCAUGUCUUCCCUUGUCGCAUAUUGACUGGUUUCUGGAGCCUUUUGGGACGUCAUCGCAUACUGGUUUAUCUGAGGUGUAUGUGGAACACAUGUUGAUGCACACUUGCCUCAUGUAAGAUUGGUUGUACUUGCUGGAUUAUUGGUUGUAUAUGGCUUGGGAUGGUUGGUAUCUGCACUUGUGAAAAUGCUGGGAGUGUAAUCGGGAUGAUGUUUAGCUGAGGCUGGCUAGCUUCCAAUCUAAGUGGUGGUACAUCACCACUGUUCUGGGGCUCCAAGUUGAUGACUGGAAUCGGCUGACUCUCCAUUGCUGGAGGUAUAAUCUGAUUCUCUUUGUUGUUGUUGUUGUUGUCCUCCACUUCUCCUGCUCGUCCCCCUUGCGAACUUCCUGGGAACAUGGUCUUGAAAGUGGGGAUUUGCAUCAACUGCUGGCAAAAAUUCUCCAUUUCUUCUUGCUUUCUCUGCAUCUCUAGCAUCAUGGCCAUCAUCAUCCCUUGCCCUUCUCGUGCUUCUUUCAAUGCUUUAAGCAUCUCCAGUUGCACAGCAUUCGUCUGGUCUCCCCCUGCAUCUUCGCCUUGCCUUCUUGCAUUGGUUUGUUGUUGAUUGGCCAUAUGUGGUGAUGUCGAACUCCCUUCCAAAGCGUCUUCAAUAAUUGGUUGGUCAAAAUCCAGGUUUGCGCCUUGGAAAACUUGAGUUACUUGUCUUGGAACUGGAUCCGGUGACGUAAUGCUAUUUGUUGGUGAAGCAGCUCUUCCUGUAAUUCUCCCACUUCGAGUCGUGGGCAUACCCUUCACGAAUUAUACACCUCCCCAGCAGAGUCGCCAAAGAAAUGUGGGCAAGGAAAUUGUACCUUAGUAGGGUUAGGGUUUCGUGUUGGCUGAGGAGGAGAGAAAUCCACGAAGAGCACGGAAUUGAUUGGUUGAUUGAAGAGGGGAGAACGACAGGUGGGCGAUUACUCCAACGACGUGUGGCAGAACCCCUAGAAUACAGGAACCGUGUUAGGGUAGUAGGGUUUCCAAGAUCCUUCUUGAGUCCUUUGUUCUUGAGAGAAUGUCUAAACCCCUUUUAGUGCUUUUAGGUGGAAUCUCCGAGCCUUUAAGUCACCAAAAAGGGUCCUUUGAUCUUCCGAGAGUCCAAGUCUUGAGUCUAAAGAGAAGUCCCUUUCCCAAUGGAAUGGAAGGGGUAUUUAUAGGGUUUUCUGGAAAGUAGUCAUGUGCGAGGCACAUGCUUUCAGGGAAAUUCCAGAAAUGCCCUUUAGUCAUUAGAAUAAUGCCCAUGUUGCCCUGUCCUUCUAGCCACCAAUCCAAUCCCUCAAUCAAUUCCCACAUCGAGCCGCCUCCACGAGUCUUCUGCCUCGGGACACGUGGAGGCUUCUCCCAGGUCUAGCACAUUUAUUUAUGACUUUUUUGUCUUCAUUCCAUUCGGUUAUGCGAACCCUAAUUUGCACAUUUAAUGAGGUCGUGGAACCCUAAUUGCGCAUUUAAUUCAAUUAGGUCAUGUGAACUCUAAUUUUACACUUGGGCCCACACUAGUAAAUGAUGAUUUUCUUCUAACCAGAAGUAUGAGCAGGUUAAAAGUAGAAGAAUAAGCAUCUCGCAGGCCAAAAAUCAAUAAAAAAACGAAAAGAAGAAAAAGAAAAGAAGAAGACAGCAAUAGCAAGACCAUAUUUUUCUUCUUCUUUCUUUUUAUCUUUUCUUUCUUUCUUUUUUGUUUCUUUUUAGACGGAGGGUUUUAUUUCAUCUUUGAAAAUAAACCUAAGAAUUUAUCAAAGGAAAUAAAGGAUAAACGACAAUACAAAUAUAUAUUUUUAUUUUAUUUUCAAAUAUAUACGCAUGCAUGAUAAAGAUUCACAAUUAUACACACAUAUAUAAUAGGCUACAACCAACAAUCUACUAAACAAUUUGUAAACCAUCGAGGUGUUUUAGUGACAACCUACCGUCUACCAAAUCGUUAUUAGUUAACGAGUUAGUGUAAAUUUUCAUUUUGGAAGCUAGUAUAAACUAUCAUCUCUCAAAUUGUUAUUAGUAGAGGAGCUACGAAUGUAAACUAUCGUCUAACAAACUAUAUUAGCUGAUGAACUAGUGUAAACUAUCAUUUACUAGAUGUAUGAGCAUGUUAAGAGUAGAAGAAUAAGCAUCUCGCAGGUAAAAAAAUAGGAAAAGAAGAAGACAACAAUAACAAGGCCACAUUUUUCUUUUUCUUCCUUUUUAUCUUUUUUUUUCUUUUUUGUUUGUUUUUAGACGGAGGACUUCAUUUCAUCUUUGAAAAUGUGGGUAAAGAAAUUGUACCUUAGGUUUUCAUGUUGGCUGAGGAGGAGAGAAAUCCACGAAGAGUACGGGAUUGAUUGAUGAAUUAAAGAGGGCAGAAGAACAUGUGAUCAAUUACUCUAAUGACAUGUGACAAAACUUUUAGGAUCCGAGAACCUUCUUAGGGUGCCAAAGAUCCAGGGAGUCUUCUAGGGUGUGCUUCGGGUUGAGAGAGAAUCUCCAAGUCUUCAAUCUUUCGAAAAGCCCUCUUCUUCAUAGAAUAGAAGGAGUAUUUAUAGAGUUUCCUGGAAAGUGGUCACAUGACAGACAUAUGACCUCGAGCAAAUUCCAAAAAUACCCUUAGUCACCAGAGUAAUGCCCAGAUCGUCCUGUCUUUCUAGCCACCAAUCCAAUUCCUCAAUCAAUUCUCAAAAUGAGUUGCCUCCAUAAGCCUUUUACCAUGGAGGCUCUUCCUUGAUCUCAUGAUACAAAGCUCUUAUUGCUCAAACCAUGCUUACUUGCUCUUCCUUCUUUAUUUAAGAAUCUCGUCGCCAGAAAUCAUCGGAAGAACUCUGCGCAAGACCCGGGAAGCCGCGUGUUACAAACCAGUCCCACAUCGAAAGAUAUGGAAAAAAAUUAGUCUAUAUAUAAGGAAUUAUGUUACUACCAAUAAUAUACUUUUAAGUCAUGACCUUUUGGGUGAGCCUGUGGUGGGAUAAGAUGACCCAAUAAUAUACUAUUGGGUCAGUGGUUUAAGGCCUUGGGAUUCGGACUUGGGAUUUGACCCAAGAUUUGUUUUGGGCAAUUUUACUCAGGUUGUUACAUAUGGUAUUAGAGCCGACUCUCGAAAGCUCGGGUCGGAUCAUCCGAUCGGGUUGCCGGAAGUGGGGACACGAAACCAGCCGAUAUUAUCCCACAAUGGCUAAAGAGGCAAAGAUCUGUGGAACGUAUAUGUGAUCGAUUUUGAUGGAGAUGUCAAAAAUUUAAGUGGGGUAGUUUAUAACACCUCAGUCCCACAUUGAAAGAUAUGGGAAAUACUAUUGUGCAAUGAUUUAAGCUAUCCAGCUAUAUUGUUAUAGUUUGGAUAUAUUCCAGUAUGAGAAUUAACAAACCCUGAAAUGGGAUAUUUUUAUUGCACUCUGGGAGUGGUGACGUUGAACAUGGAAGUUGUUCUGGAUAAGAUAGUAUUGAUUAAUAAAGGGCAUAUAUAAAGGGCUGAUCAUCCAUCGUGCUCAUAAGAUAAGAUGGUUCACAAAUAAAUUUUUAAGAAAACCUUUUCAAGAAAAGAAAAAGCUUGUUCACGGUCUUAUGACCUCUCAGAUGUUCAAUAUUGAUAUGAUAUUCCAGGAAUAUGAAUGAUUCAAGAUUUAAUUGCUUUACAGUUUUGUUUCACUGUUAAAGCAUGUCUCAAAGAAAACAUUUAAUUAUUGUUAAGAUAUUAAAGAAUGCUAUUACUUAUUGAGCAAUUGAAUGCUCAUUCUUGUUUUGUUAUAAAUGUUUUCAGCUAAUCAGGCUCCAACGGAGGGGUCUAAUAGAGACAAAGGAAAAGGAAAAGCUACUGAGUAGUAGGUAUAUGUUGUAAUAAAUAGUUUAUAUGUUUGUAGAUAUUUAACUAUCAUGUAAUAAGCACUUAAUGGUUACGUACCUGGUAUUAGAAGAACUCUGAUAUAAUAAAUCUAUCAAGUUUGAUAUUAUAUUAUGUUGAAUGCUUGAUAUCUUGAAGCACUGAAUAAGGGUUUAAAAUACCCGAAUUUGGGGGCGUCACACGCCCGAUUCGCCUCCUUUGCGUAUGUUUAACAUGCUCAUACAACUUGUCUAAUACUCCAUUGAUUAAUUCUAAGUAUCAUUAUAUUUCAUAACUUUCAUGUUUAAUAACUUAGAAUAACAUAUUUUAUCGUCAAAAGCAUCCACGUAGUACGAGCAUGCCCGACGCCCUCCGAUCGCCUCCGAUCGAAUGCACAAUAGUCCUAAAAAUAGCCAUUUUAGCCCCUUCUCCCGACCUCAAAUCUCAAAACUUAUAAAAUAAAAGUUUUAGGUCAACUUCUAAUAUUUUCGAAUCAUCUUGAAUCACCUCAAUCAGAGUUCGUAUAAAAAGGUUAUGCAUGUUUUACUAAAGAACGUCAAAGCUGACUUUCUGCACUUUUGGUUCAGCGCCCAUCCUAGGCCUAUUUCCAACGCCCCGGGGCUGGACGGCAGUACGUUCUCAGCCAAAAACUUCAAUUUUCAAAAAUCUUCAGUUUUGAAUGAUUUCAACAUGUCUACUUUGAAAUAUCAUAAAUUUCUCCUCCGAUAUCGAAAUGAGCUCGUUCUUAAUGGGUUGAAAAGCUUGCAACACCCUCUACAAAUUUCUCAGGACAAAAUAAUUUUCUGGAUUCUCUAACAAUCCUUUAAACUUUCUCAAAAGUCCAUCGAGACUAAGAUUUUUAUCAUUCAACAUACUUUACCAAAAUUUUCUGCCAUGACUUCGUUUUAACAUAUUUUUACUCCGUUCCAAUUAGAAUAUCUUCAUAAAUUCCUUAUCUAUAAAUCCUUAUUCCCGAAUUUUAUUUAUUACAACCCUAUCAACAAUAUUAAAAUCCAAUUUAAGUACUCUAAAUAAAUAAUGUCUAUCCUUUAAGCUUUGGCCUACGAUUCCAUUCUUGUUACCACUUCUUAUGCAAUUUAACAAGUUAUUUAUCAUGAUCAAAGCACACAUAACUUUAUUUACUCAAGGUCCUUCAUACUCUUUCAUUAAACAACCAUCGCCAACAACUAAUGAUUCAAGAAAGACUUCACAGAAAUGAAAAGAUGGAUGGUUCUUACCUUCUUAGUUAUUCUUCUUCUUCCUAGCUUAUGCUUUGUUAGCAUGAUAUACAUUGUUGGGCCCUCCAUCUACCAACUUAAGCUUUUAAGAUAAGUUGGUUACUUAACAUGGUAUCAAAGCUUUGGGUGUGCAAGGUCUUGGGUUCGAAUUUUUCCAGCUGCACAAUUAUCUUUCUAUUAAUUUAACAGUGCAAAUGCACUUUAAUUUCUCCCUUCUCUAUAAAAAAAAGUUGCGUUUGAGAGGGAGUGUUAGCAUGAUAUACAUUGUUGGGCCCACCAUGCAUCUAACAGCUUAAGCUUUUAGAUGAGUUGGUUACUUUGCUCUUCUUUCUCUUCUUAUUGGUAUUCGGCCUCUCUAUUUCUCUCUCUCUCUCACUCUCUUGUUUUCUUUCUCUUCUCUCUAGUUUGCCCUCUCUUCCUUUUUUUUUCUUGCAAAUGAAAUGAAUUGGCUAAGUGAAAAAUCCUCUAGAUCAAUUGAAUUCUCCACUAACUAACUCAACCAUACUUCUAAGGUUAGGUUAACUCGUGUAGGGUUAGGGAAUGAUAGGAUGACACUUGUAAGCUUAAUGUUUAAGGAUGACAAGAAGAUAUAAGCUAGCAUUAAAUUAAAUUUUCACCUUGCUAGAUGAGUCACACAUACUCUCCCUUUUGCUUCUUUAAUUGGUUGGAUCACCCCUCCCUUUCUUAGCUCAUAUUUUAAUUAUCCCAUGUGGGAUAAACAUCAAUCCUCUCCCUUAUCUUACUUUUUCACCCAACUUAUCUUUUAUGAGAUAACUACUAAGUCUCAUUCCUUAUCUUUUCUUCGAUAAGCCUUGUCAUUAAUCCUUAUCUCUUCCUUGUUUUCCUUCAACCCAAACUUACCAUAAAUAGAAAGUUUCCAUCUCACCUUCUCUCUUCUCCUUGUCCAUAUUCAAAUCCCCACAUGUUUAAUUCUAGCAAAUGACACUUGCCCUCUUAUAACUUUGGCUCCUAGUUUGGCUCACUUUUUGGCUCAAAGACCAAGCCAUGGCUCCUAUCCUUUGACUCUAAGCUUAAGCCACUCAAACCUUAGGCUCAACCCUUAGCUAAGCCCCUUUAAAUUCCUAACCAAGUCAUUUAAACCUUAGGUUUGGUUAGACUAGAAUUAAUUUAAUUUCUCUUUUUCUUUUAAAUUAGUUAGAUUUCCUAAUUUUUUAGUUACAUUUUUCGUAAUAUGCUUGGUUAGCUGACAAUCCGACUUUUGAUUUUCAAAAAUCCAAUUUCGCCACCAUUCCUUCUUUCCCGAAUAAACGCUAUGUAGUUCUUCGAAAUUUUAAAAAAAACGAAGUUGGGUUUUUAGCGUGAAUAGUUUUUUUUCAUACGACUUUUUCUAGAAAAAUAUUUUAUUAGAGAUUUCAUCUCGCCUUCUCAAAUAAACACUAUGAUGUAAUUCAAAAUUCUCGAAAAAGUAUGUUUAUUAGCGUUUUUCUGUGAUUUUAAAAAUAGUAACUUUUUCGUCUUUUUCUCGAAAAAAUUAUAUUCUCCCAAAACUCCCAACACUUAUACAUAAUCACGUAACACGUAAACUAGGUCAUUAAUCGACCUAAAUCAUGUAACACAUAAUAAUAUCUAUAAAAUUUUAUUUUAUUAGAUAUUCACAAAUAAAACCUAUUUUCAAGCCUAUCUGAAUUCUCGGGUCGUCACAUAGUAUUUAUAGAGUUUCAUGGAAAGUGUUCACAUGCCAGGAACAUGACCUCAUGGAAAUUCAAGAAAUACCCUUAGUCACCAGAGUUAUGCCUAGAUCAUCUUGUCCUUCUAACCACCAUGCAAUCCAAUCCCUCAAUCAAUUUCAAAAAUGAGUUGCCUCCAUAAGCCUUCUGCCUUGGGACCCAUGGAGGCUCCUCCUCGAUCUCAUGCUUCAAAGCAAUUGUUGCUCAAACCAUACUUUCUUACUAUUCCUUCUUUAUUUGAGAAUCUCGUCGAUGGAAAUCCUCGGAAGAACUCUGCGCAAGAACCAGGAGGCCGCGCCUUAGGGGGGCAAUCCUUAGGGGGCGGAACCCUAGGGAGCUGAACCCUAGGGGGGCCUCCUUCAGUUCUUUUCGUUCGUUUCAACCUUUCUUGGUCAGUUUUCAUCAUUUUCUCAUGAUUCUUGGUCCUGUAAGAAGCCUUUCUUGUCAUAGAGAUUAUAAGGCUAAUCAUUAUUUGGAGUUUCACAAGAUUUUAGUUUAUUUUUGUAGUCCAGGCUUAUUUCUUUGUCAUUGCAUCGAUGAAACCCCUUCUAGCAUGCCAAUCGAGAAAAUGAGGUAGCAUAUGCCCUAGGGUGCCGAACCCUAAGAGGUAAUUUAGAUUUCUUUUGUCCAUCUUUUGUCUGUUUUCCUUUUUUCAUUACGAUAGUUCCAACCAAAUCCAGUCGGAGAAGAAAUUGGUUUUAUCUUUUCUUUAAGGAGAAGUCAUCUUGGAGUGGUUGAACCAUAGGGUGGCCGAACCCUAAGGGGCCAAAAUCCUAGGAUUUUUCCCUUUUUGCUGAUUUAAUGCUUCGUUCAUUAAUUGAAGUCUUGUUCAUUUACUUUCGUCUUUUCAUUUAAUUCAAUUAAAUCAUAUGUAAACCCUAAUUUGUACUUGGGCUCACAGAAAAUAAACCUAAGAAUUCAUCAAAGGAAAUAAAAGAUAAAUGACAAUACAAAUAUUGCGUUUUGUUUUGUCUUAUUUUUUUAAUUUUAUUUUCAAAUAUAUACGCAUGCAUGAUAAAGAUUCACAAUUAUGUAUAUAUAUAUAUACAUAUAGAUACAUAAUAUGGUAAAUAAUAGGUGGUAGUUGUUUUAUUUAUAAUAUGGUAAAUAAUAGGUGGUAGUUGAUUUAUUUAUUACAUGCUAAUAACAGCCAUGAGUUGAUAGUUGAUUUAUUUAUUAUAUGCUAAUAACAGCUAUCAGUUAUUGGUUGAUUUAUUUAUAUAUCGUGCUAAUAACAACCAUCAACUUGUAUAUAGUUUCUUGAUUUACUGCUGAUCGGAAGAUUACUGAUCGUUCAUUUAGGCGUUGGUGGGACUAAUGUUAACACCAUAGAUAACUAAACCCGUCUUCAUAGUCACGCUUUCAGUCCCGUCAAGAGCAAAUUUGAUAUCUCCAUAGUCAAACUUAUUGAAGAAUUCCCCAGCUUUGAGCGAAAAUGGUGUGUUUCUCGGAUAAUUCAUCAAUCCAUAUCCGUUCACUUGCGAGGAUCCAUUCGGAAGAGUAAGUGUAAGACUCACCGGACUUGCUAUGUUAAAGUUGUCUUUCAGCAGCACCACAAAAGAUACCUCAUAAGAUAAAUUUUCAAGCUUUUCUGUCAUAUAGUUUCCGUCAACAUGUAGGACUAAGCUACCAAUUAAUUCAGCACUGUCAGGACUGUAAAAAAUGAUAGUAGAAUUAAAGUCAGAAACUUUUGAUAUAAGGAGCUUAAAUUCAUUAAUAUAGUACAAUUAAUGCGAGUCCUUCUAUCUAACUAGACUUCAAUAAAAUUUCUUUAGUCCUUCUAUCACUUUAAUUUAAUGACAAAGUUGCUUAUAUCCCUAUUUUUAACUGAAUAAAAUUCAGGUGUUUAAGCACAAAUCUUGACCUUUGACGUCAAUUAAGUUAACUAAAUCUUAUUUCUACUUACGUAAACUUCCAGCCCGAAGGGUUGAAAUAAUUGAGUUUCUCAGCAGGUAUAUAAGCGCCAGAACUUUGAAUAAGACAAGAAAAAAAAAUUCAUAUCAUCCAUUACAAAAAAAUCUCACUUGCAAAAUUUACAAAUAUUAAGGAUUAUUUUUGUUCUAUAACCAACUUUAGCUAUAUAUAUGAUGUUUGUUUACAAUUUCAGUAGACUUACCUUCUGCCCUAUUCCGUUGUUUUGGAGCAACUCCAUUUCCUUGGCUUGGGACAACAAUGCCUUGAGGUCAACCUCAUUAUGCCUCACUACUUGUGCCAUCUCCUCGAUCGAUCGAUAACUAUCCUUUAAUUCUGCUAUAUAUAUAUAUAUAUAUAUAUUUUCUGUUUCUAUUCUUGAUGUCUAUAUAUCUCUCUUCCAAAGGCUAGCUCUAUUUAUACUGGCACAAACAGAGGGUACUGCGAUUAUUAUAUUCCAUAAUAUCCUAUCUUCAAAUAUUCCUUCCCUUUUCACAGUAGGGAUCCGAUCCCGAUAAGUUUAACAUCAGCAUCAUCAUCAUCACCAAGGAUAUAGAGCAGCCGAUUCUGUUUGAUAAUUUUGUUGGAAUAAUUCUUUUCCAUUUCUCAGUUCAAUAAUUCUUUCUUUAGCUUGUUGCGCAGGCAAAAUUCCAUGAAGGCGAAAGGUACGUAGGCAUCCUAGUAAAUGAUGAUUUUCUUCUAACCAGAAGUAUGAGCAGGUUAAAAGUAGAAGAAUAAGCAUCUCGCAGGCCAAAAAUAAAAAAAAAAUCGAAAAGAAGAAAAAGAAAAGAAGCCACCAAUAGCAAGACCACAUUUUUCUUUUUCUUUCCUUUUUAUCUAUUCUUUCUUUGAUUCUUUUUUAUAAUUUUUUUUAGAUGGAGUCUUUGAAAAUAAGCAUAAGAAUUCAUUAAAGGAAAUAAAAGUGUUGAAAGUUGUCUUGCAUUAGUCUUCUCCAAAUUCUGUUCCCCUUAGACUUUAGAAUUUAGCCUUUCCCAAAAUUCUGUUCCCCUCAGAUUUCGGAAUUUUGCUUUCCUCAUUUCUUGUUCUCCUCUCCAGAUUUCUCCUAUAAAAGGGAGCUUUGGUGUAAGACCCCAACUUUUAUGAAUAAAGACGAAUUUUUCUAUAAAUAUAAUUUUUGAUUAUUAAGAUGUGAAUUUGAAAAAAUAUUAUAGUUGUGAGUAAUAUUUAAAAAUUUUACAAAGUAAACAAGGUGUUAUAAAAUAUUCGGUUGGUCGAGGAAUAUUCGUUUUAACAGGGAAUAUUCAUACGACGACACAAUCAUUGGUGGACCCCACAACGAAAGUAUUGUCGGAGUUAGAAAACGACAGAAAUAUCUUAUUAUGAAAAUAAUGGCGAAAAUUUUACCGUUAACUGUUGAAAUACCCGUUAGUAAAAGUACAGUAAUACGUAUGGUUGCAUAGUAGUACACGGUAUUAAUUAUUGAUGCUUACGUGAGAAGUCACUCAGUUAUACUCAAUUAUUGUUACAGUAAUUGUUGUAUCAUAUCUCUUAUAUUAUUGAUUCAAUUAUUGUCAGUAUCAUCUGCAUAAUAUUUUAUAUUAUUAAAUCAAUAAUUGAGACGAUAAAGUUAUUCAUAUUAUUAUUUACAAUAUUGACGAUGUCUAGAAGUUCUGUCAAGGAGAGGUUAGGUCAUUUAAUUGCGCGCCAAUAGGGAGAAAUCCUUAUCGGAAAGCCCCUCUUUCCUGAAAACGAUCUGGUUGUUAAUAUUGCGAGUUAUAAUAAUGAUGAAUAAAUUGAAGGAAUUUUAUGAAAUAUUUGUUGUAAGUUUUGCUUAUUAUAUGGACCCCCAUUUAACCAUUUUUCAAAAUAAUCGGUAAAAAAUUAUUCAGUAUUUUUUUUAAUAAAAAAGGUGGGGCCACAUGUGGGGCCCACUGAAAGAAAAAUGGGGGGGGGGAGAUGUUUAUGUUUGUCAUGGGUGAAGGUUUGAUUAUAUAUAUAUAUAUAUAUAUAUAUAUAUAUAUAUAUUAUAAUAAGUCUUUUUUUUAUGAAAAAUAGAAUAUAUUAAAUUUUAUUUGCAUAGUAUUUUACUAUGCAGUGCACAGUAAAGUUUUGUGAAUUAGAAAUUCGGCGCCCGUGAAAUUUUCGAUUGUUUUGUCCGUGAGAAUUUCAAACAGUACCCCUUCCAUCAUCCUAUAAAUAUGACGCUUAUUUUGAAUUGAAAAUCACACAAGAAUCAGAGAAUUUUUUUCUAUAAUAUUGAGUAUAUUUCUUUCGAGUUUUAGAAAGUUUUGAGUGUAGAAAACAGUGAAAGUUUUUUUCAAGAAUAUCCCCGCUAUACCAGUCGAAAUACUCUUCUUAGGAUGUUUUUUUGUUCAAUAUUCGUAUGAAAUAAUAUUUUCUUCCAUACUCUGUAGUAUGUAAAUAAUAUUAUUUCGUUUUAGAUUUCGAAUUCUAUAUCCAUUUUGUUAAAGUUUUGGCUCCUAUACUCCAUGAAAUUAGUAGAAUAUCCUUAAAAUUUGCGUUUCAUCCAGUAUCUUUUCAUGGAAAUAUUAUUCUGAGCAUUCUUGAUAAGUUUUAAUUUUUUCAUGCCAGAGUACUAUAUACGGGGUACUAUUCUCAAAUUACUAUUCACGGGGUACUAUUCACUCGGUUACUAUUCAUCCGAGGCACUAUUCAUGACAAAAAUUAAUUUUUUUUCGGUCCAAAUCAUUUUUGUUACAAUAUUAUUCGUGAAUUUUACUCCAUAAUGCAGUAUCAUAUUGACAAUUUGGACAUUAUUAAAUUAUGGAUAAAUUAAAUUAUAAAUCUUUAAAAAUUUAUCUUUUGCUUUCAUUUAAUUGAAUUCUUAUAUCAUUGUCAUCAUCCUGAUGCUUAUAUUAUAAUGAAAGUCAUUUGUGGCCCGUAGUGCAUAGAUGGACUUGGUAUGAUUAUGACCAGGGAUUAUUUGGUAUAAUCAUGACUGUAAUAUUACAAAUGAUGUGGUAAAAGUCCUCAUUGGCCCGUAGUGCAUUGAUGAACAGUUGUUUUCAUGAUCAUGACCAUUGAUGAAAACACGAAUAUCUUUGGCCCGUAGUGCAUGAAUAAUUUGUGGUUGUGAUACUAAAGAAUAUCCUUGGCCCGUAGUGUAUGGAUAAUUCAGUGAUGUGUAUUAUUUAUUAAGCUGAGUCUCAGCGAUACAAUUGAUGAUAAACCUUUUAAAUAAUAGAAGAUAGUAGAUUUUAUGCUCUACUUAACUCUUCUAAUAGAUUGCUUGUUCCUCUGCAAUUAAACUUGAUGUUUAUUAUAUUUUAUCAGUUUAACAUUGUUGAAGGCUAAUGAUAAUUUAUUCUGUGUUAUCUUAGUCAUAAUAUUUCUUACUGGCUAGUUGAGCUCACCCUUUACUUUCAUUGUUCUCUUCAGGAAAUGAGAAUAUAGCUGGGAUCGACUAGUCGGGGAACGGAGUGACGGUCCAAAUGAUAACAUUAGUAGUCCUCACUAUUCUGUGAAAUAGUGUGAUAAUAAAUGUAAUGAGGACUUAUUUUGAGUUUGAAUACUGUCUAGAAGACAAUAUUUGUAUUAAAACUCACAACUCAUGUUAUAUAUUUAAGUUUAUAUUUGUAUUCUGUACCAUGUAUUUAACGAUUCAAAAUGGGUGAUGUAUACCUAUUCUGGGGGCGUCACAGUUGGUAUCAAAGCUUGGGGAUAUGAUCCCUGGCUGAGAUGAGAGACUAGAACUAGGAGGGGAGAGUCAGGUAAUUCCUUUGCUAGUAUGACCUACCUAAGUUUAUUUGUUAUUUAAUUAGUCGGUCAGAAUAUAGGGAUAAUAUGUUGCAUGUCAAUUAACCCUUGUUUUGUGGCAGUAUUUGAAAAUGACAUCCGAGAAUGUUGAGAAUAGCAAUGGAGUACAUGAGACCGUUGAAUCACCAACGAUCAAUAACCAGGAUAAUGUGCAUCAGGAAGGCAAUAAUCCUCAUGCAAACAAUAACUCCAACAAAAUAAUGAACGACAAAAUGUUUAUGAGCUUUCUUCAAUUCAUGCAACAUCAGGCAAGAGAGACUCCUGUUCAAAAUGUAGGUGGAAAUACCGGCAACUCUCGAACGGUCACCGCUAAGCAAUUCAAGGAGCUGGGACCACCGAAGUUUUUGGGAAAGCCAAAACCACUUAAGGCGGAGACAUGGUUAAAGCAGAUCACUAAGAUAUUUGAUGUCUUUGGAUGCUCCGAGGAGCAAAAGGUUCCCUUUGCCACCUUCAUGUUGCGAGGAGAGGCAGAUCAUUGGUGGAAAUCUGUAAAAUGUACCCAGCUUGCCACAUUAAAGAUGUCUUGGGAGAAGUUUCAAGAACUGUUCAACGACAAGUACUUUUUCGAAAGUAUUCGUUAGAUGAAGGAGGUGGAGUUCAUCAGGUUGGAAUAAAACAAUAUGACCAAGACGCAGUACGAGGCUAAGUUUGCGGAGUUAUCCCGGUUUGCAUCUCAUUUGGUUGUUAAUGAGGAGAGAAUGACGCGGAUAUUUUUAAGAGGUUUGAAACCUGAGAUAUGUCAAUAUCUCAUUCUCACAAACUUUGCUUGUAUUCAGAUGUUGUGAAUAUUGUAAUAACUCGAUAUUUUCUAUAUAAUUAAAUCAGAAAUUUUACGUAUGAAUUUUUUUAUUUAAUUAUUAAAGUUGGAAAUAUGUGCCAGGUAAUGUGUAUAUGUAUAUAUGUGAUAAAUAAAAUAUAUUUAUUACAUGAAUAAUUACCAAUAGUUUUAUUUUAGAAUUAUUGCUCAUUAUAAAUUAUAUUAUAAUAAUAAUUAGUUUUAUACUAAAAAUGUUUUCAUUAAUUCUAUUCUAUGAAAAUAUGUUUAUAUAUUAUUUAAAAAUUAUAUGAAAUGAUUAUAUAAUUAUUAUAAUGAUUAUUCUAUUUUAUUAUAUGAAUUUAGUUCAGAUUAUUUAAGUUAAUUAUUUUAACUUAAUUAUUAUUGUUAUGUAUGCAAGAUAAAUCAGAUAUGGAAUCCAAACCCUAAUUUUGGAUUUUGAACAAGGAAUGAGAAUAUUAAUAUAAUAUUAAUUAUAUUUUUAUUUUUCAGUGCUAUAAAUAUAUAUGUUAUGUUUGUAAGGUUAAUCUGGGGAGCAAUUUUCUUAUGACCUGAUAAAACCCUAAUUUGAAAGUCAAUUACGACUGUAAAAUUUGUUAAGUCAUUGUGAUAUGUGGUCUAUGAUUUGUAUUAUAAGUAUUAAUGUUAAUUCUAUAAAACCCUAAUUAGUAAUUUAAAACUCUAUUUUUCUUAAAUUAGGAACCCUAAACAGUACUUAGCUAUCCGCUAAGUGAAAACCCUAAUUUAAAACUCAGCUAUGAGUCGAGACUGUUAUGUAACUGUAUUAUUAUGUUUAAGGUUAAGUAUUAUAGAAUUUUAUAUUAAUUAAAGAAACCCUAAUUAACAUUUAGAAAUUCUAAUUUCUAGAAACCCUAAUUUCUAAAUUAGUAACCCUAAUUUGCUAAAACAAAACUCUAAUUGUUAAUUUGGCACGCUUAAUGAUAAUUAGUAAAAUUUAAACCUAAUUUUCAAGUCUAUGUAAUGAGGAAACCAAAUUAAUUAUGAAACCUUAAUUUGUAUUUUUAGAAACUAAAAAUUUCAAUUUUUUUAAAAUUAGAAAUCCUAUAACACUUUGUGCUAACCCUAAGGGUCAAACCCUAAGGGUUUGAUAAGUUACUAGUUUGCCCUUAAAUUGAUUAGCCAAAUGACAAAAAUACCCCUCUUGCAUUAUUGGACAUAACUUGUAAGACUAGCCAAUUUUGAGUUGCUCAACAACUCUUACCAGCCCCAUGUGACUAAAAUGCCAGCAAUCAAGCUCUAGAUAUCAGCCAACUUGAUUUCAUGUUUUAUAUAUAUAGACAUCAAGAGAGAGAAAUUUCAUUUAUUAGCCACAUUUGUACACAAACUCCUUACCAACUCUCUCUCCCAAAACCCAUGAAAUGUUGUAGUAGAUCAGUCCCGUAUUGAAGCCCCACUAACACACUUAAGCAAAUCAGCAGCCAGAAUCAAGAAUUGAUGCUUAAAGGUAUAAAAUCCUAAGUCAAAUUUUGAUCUUGUAUGCUAUAUUGGAUUUGUGGUUUUAAUGUUUAAUCAUGUUGAAUAAGGUGUUAAUAGGUGAUCUGGGUUGGCACAUGUUAGAUCCAUAACAUCAAAGUGCUCGAAAUCUAAGUUUUUCAAAAUAUGGAAAUUUUUGUUUUUGUUGUCUGACAGCGAAUGUCAGGCCUUGUAGAUCUGUGCUUAUUUAUUAUUUUGAUGAUUUAAAUGUUUGAAGUGGUAGUCUGGUAUGAGGUCUUUCAUAUGAAAAUGGAAUCACUGUUAUUGGAUGUCUAGAUCGAAAAUUAUUGAUGGUCAAAGGUCGUUGACUGACCAUGACCGAGUAUGAAUCUGGGCAACCUUGAAAGCUUUUUCAGCGUCUGAAAAUGUUUUGGAAGGCUUAGAUCUGUCAGUGUGUAAAUGAUUUGAUGAUGUUAUAAUAUCCAGUUUAUAGCUUGUCAUAUGUAAUUUAUAUUUGUGGCUUUAUAUCCUUUAAACAAACAAUUGAUCGAACUUAGUGGAUGGUCAAACCUGGCCCCUCGGUCACGAUUUCAUUUCUGGGAAUUUCCAGAAAAUCGAAAGAACAGCCCUCUGACAGGGUUUGACCGAGUAAUAUCUUGUAGAUCUGUUGAUGUUAAACUGAUUUGUUGUUAUAUUAUUGUUCCUGGACAUAAGGACUACAUCUUUGAGGCAUUAGAUCACUUGAAUCAUGAACGGAACCUAGAUUAAAUCGAGGAUGAAAGUGACUGGUCGACCACCUGGGUUUCUGGAAAACCCAGGAAUGCUCUGACAACAUAUUUGCAAGCCUAGAUCUCCUUGUGUGUUUGUUGUAUGACCUAGAUAUUGAUUGCUAGUUAUAGUGUUGUAUAAUGACUUCAAUAUUGAUGCUUAAGUUUGCCCAAAAACGAAUUAGACAGAGAAUUAUUAGUGGUCAAAGUUGACCCCUCAAACACGAAGCUGUCAGUGUUCUUGAGCUCAAGAACACCAACAGCGACGCUUAGUGUCACUAAAGGCCAAUAGCGAUGGUUUCUAAUAUUUUUAAUUUCUGAUUUUCUAGAAAAUACUUAAAAAUAGAAAAUAAAUUAUAAAAAUUACAAAAAUGGUUUUAAAAAUUAUUUUAAAUUAUGAAAAUUAACUUUUAAUUAUUUGGGAUAUUUUUUAUUAAUAUUUAUAAUUAUUUGAAUAUUAUUAAUAUUUAAUUUAUUUAAUUAGUGUAUUAAAUAAAUUAGAGAAAAAUGAUUUUAAUGUUAUAAAAAUCAAUUUAAAUAAGAAUAAAGUGUUUAAAAAUAUUUUUGAGUUAUAUAUGUAACUUUUAAUAUUUUUGUGAUGAAUUUCAUUAAUUAAUUAAUAUUAAUGAUAAUUAAGUUAUUUAAUAAAUGUAUUAAAUAAAUUAUGAAAAAUAGAAAUUAUGAUUUAAAAAUCAUAUAAAAGUGAUUUAAAGAUUAUAAAAAAAUAUUUUAAGUUAUAAAAUAUAACUUUUGAUAUUUUGUCAUGAAAAAUAUUAAUAAUUUUAUAUUAAUAAUAUUAGAUUUAUUUAAUGAUUAUAUUAAAUAAUUUAGUUUAAAAUGAUUUUAUUAUUAUAAAAUUAUUUUAAAUGAAAAUAAAGUGUUUAAAGAUAUUUUAAGUUAUAAAAUAUAACUUUUAAUAUUUAAAGGAUAAUUUCAUUAAUAAUUUAAUAUUAAUGAUAUUAAUUUAAGAUUUAUUGAUAUUAAAUUUAUUCAAUAAUUAUAUUAAAUAAAUAGUUUUAAAAUGGUUUUAUUAGUUUAAAAAUUAUUUAAAAAGGAUAUAAAUGAAUUAAAAAUAUUUUAAGUUAGAAUUAAUAACGUUUAAUAUUUGGAUAAAUAGUAGAUUAAUAUUUUAAUAUUAAUGGUAAUUAUUUAAAAAUGAUUUUAAAUGUUUAAAAAAUUAUUUAAGGGUAAUAUUAGCACUUUAAAAAUAUUUUGAGUUAUUAUUAAUAACUUUAAUAUUUUGGCAAUGGUUUCAUUAAUAGUUUAAUAUUAAUUAAAUAUUAAUGAUAAUAUGAUUAUUUACUAUUUAAAUCAUUUAAUUAUGAUUCUAGUGUUUGAAAAUUCAUAAUAAAUUAUAAUAAAUGUUUAAAAAUUAUUAUAAGUCAUUUAAAAAUAAUAUGACUGAUAUUUGUAGAUAUUGAGAUACAGGAUAGAGUCUUAGACUCGAUAUUUACCUGAUAAAGCCGUCGGUAGACCGACAUGUUUCAAAAAUUGAUCUAGACUUAGAUAUUUUGACUGUAUUAAUAUUUGUUUGUGAUUCAAUGACUGUUGAAUAUGUGUGACAAUGUGAUUAGGUUAUAUGCUGACUGCAAUAAGCAGUGCUAUGUUAUUCUAAUCGAACGAAUGAUCUUAUUAAUGAUAGAUUUUGGUAUUAAAGAUAAAACUAAGUUGCGUAUUGUAAGCAGCAGACCAGGCAAGUAUCAUAUAUUUGCAUUUUGUUUAUGUGACGCCCCCAAAUCCGGGUUAUCUUUAACUCGGGUUUGGUGCUUACGAUUCUAGAAUACCCAUUCAUACUAAAAAUAAAACUGUCUUAUAUUACAUAAACAUUGAACUUAAAUCCCAGGUUCUAGAGACCUUUACAUACAAGCCAAAUAUUAUUACAUCAUAGUGCUACAGUAUUUAUUACAUGCACUACUUAGGUUCAUUUAAGCACAUGCGCUUAAUAAUUGACUACUCAACAACCUUGCCCUUUCCUUUGUCUUUUCCAGAUGGACCGGCAACCUCAAUUUUAACUGAAAACAUUAUAUUUAACGCAAGGGUGGGCAACAAGUUUGCCCAGCAAGGAAAUAAGCAGCUAAAUAUAAGAGAACAAAAAUAUUACAGUAAUGGGGAUAUCAUACAGAAGGUAUAGAACAAAGUAAUUCUUAAGAGUGUUGAGUCAAAAGUCAGGAUUUAUCAUGCUGUAAGGUCAAAUGACCAGUGAACACUAUACUAGAAUUUACAGUAAUAAUACUGCAAUCUAUGAAUACAAACAGUUAUAAAGCUGUUUUAUAUCCUAGACUCGUACUUCAGGGGAUCAGCCUAAGUACCCUAUAUUGUGCACAACAUAACAGUCUAAUAAAACUUUACAUGUCCUUCAGAAUCAUAUAUACGGUACAAUACGCCCCUAAAAAAGGGUUGUUCGUUCACAGCAUUAUAUAAGAAUCCAUACCACAAUAACAAAAUGGUUUGGAAAGAAUUAACUGAUAAAUUCAUAAACAAUAUCAAUAUAUCUCAACCUUUGUCCAAGCGAAGUAAUGGUAUUGACAUACUUUCAAUAUAACUUUUAUUCAAGAUAGAAAAGUUGAUAUACUAUUCUUUUGAAGCUGAUUGGAAUAAAAAGGCUAUUUAACCUUAUAUUAUUCAUAAAUAAGGACAAACAGUUCAGAAAUUAAAGAACCUGUCCACUGCAGAAUAUUUGCUCAAUAAAGAGUAAGGAUUAGAAACUUGCCUUGUUUGUAGUCUAUCGUUUAGGAUUUCAGCUUAAUUGAAGUAUUUCUCAAAGUCCUACACAGUUAUUUGUAUUAACAAGCAUGUUAAUCACAUAGCUAUGUUAUAUAGUUUGUAAGCUCACAUAUCACAUAAUUUCAGUGAUUAUGGUUGUAGUUAAAUUAUUAUUUUUGAUACAUUUUUCAAAUAUCUCAUCCAUGCUUUCAAGAGACAUUUUUCACUUUGAUGGGUUUCAACAAGCUUUCAACAAGUAAUAGAAAUCAUAUUACAGUCAUCAUUUGCAUUAACCAAGUAUGUUAGCCACAUAGCUAAGUCAUAUAUCAUGUAGUUUUAAUGGUCAUGGUUAGAUUUCCUAUAUUUGAUACAUUUUUCAAAUACCUCAUCCAUGCUUUCAAGAGACAUUUUUCACUUUAUUAGUGUUCAAUAUGCAAUACUUUACAACUACCAUCUCCAUUUCCUUAGUAACAUAGUAUAUAAUCAUUUUAUGUUUCCUUUACUUAAUUUCUAGCAUAUAAGGUGUUUUCAUAGCUUAUUGUCGGUUUUGAAGGUAUUUCUUAUAUGUAUGGUUAACCUAUAGUCUUCCUCAUAGUUUAUAGAUUCAUUUUGACACACCAGUGUAUCAAUUAUCACUGUUUUCACCUAUGAUGCUAAAACAGCCCUUUGAGGCUUUAAUUUUUUUAAACAUGACUUAAUGAUCCCAAUUUAGGUUUACUGUUUAUAUUAGAUUUCAUUUAGAAUUUUUCUCCUACACUUGCUUGCAUCAUAACUCUACUCAUUUAGAGAAACAUAAUCUAUCCUUUAUAGAUAAUCUGGUUACUAAAACUAAAUUUGGAUUCAAACAUGAAUUUUACAAAACAGUCAUUAUUGUAGCUGCUAUACCACAACUGUUGUUUCCCAUUCUACUUGUUGUGGCUAUUGGUAUCAGCUAUAUGCUGCCACUAUUAGGCAGUAAGUCACAUCACUCAUGCCCAAAAAUGCUUCUAAAUUAACCUUUUCAGCUGGCUUUGCAGGCUUUGCAGCCCUUAAUUGAGCCUUACAGCUCAAUAAUCUCUGUAACACAUUUCAGUUAUUAGUCUUAUCUUAUAACUUGCUAUUCCAUUAACAUUUUCUAUGUAUGAAUGCACUGCCAACUGCUACUGCUGGUGUUGCUGUUGCUGCCAAUGGGCAGCGACUAUUAUUUUCUUACCAUAAGCUGUUUGGUCUGUUUCAAGUGCUGCAGUCACAUGUCAUCAUGCUCCAUCAACUAGAGUAAACAAAAAUGCAUGAACUUAACUUACUAACUGCAGCCCAAGAAAAACAAACUCAGCUGUCAAAAUGACAGUGCAGUCAUCUACUUGAAGUUGCCAAGGACAACAGCUAUCCGAAGCUUUUUGCUACUGUCAUUAGCAGCCUCCCUUGCUCCUUAACCCAUUCCCAACAAUCCUCUAACCUCAGUUUUGCUAUAUUUCUAGGAAUAGGCCUCAUGGCUAUAAUCUUUUAGAGUUAUAAGGUUAUCCCAGUUGGCCUAUUAAGCUUUGGCUCCUUGGUUUAGUGACUGUUUCAACAGAGUAGGCAAAGGAGUUUGUCAAGCUAGAAUUACUUAGCCUAAAAACUGAACUAUGCUAAAAAUUUCUAUGCCAAAACAUUACAGUCAUCACAUAUGUUGGGUAAAUCAGGUAAAUAGUGUACUAGUUCUACUAUUCAGUUUCUUUUUACUAAAACAGUCCUCUUAGGUCUUUUAUCAAACAGUUGGUGGGCAUGGUUAUAAGCUACUAGUUCCAUAGCCAUUUGUUUAUAUUCCAACUCAUAUUUUCCCCUUAUUACUCCACAGCCCACUUAUCUCCUUGUGCUUAAAUUAUAACAAUAUCAUAAUGGCAUAACAAUCAAUGAAAUGUUACAACAGUUUAUAUAUAGCAGCUUAACACCCACAUAGCAGUCCUCAAAUCCAUACUAGGCCUUUUAGGCUAAAUGAUCAAAACAGUCCUUAAGUUUUUAACACAAGGAUUAAUAUAACAUGUACAUACUAUGUUUUAUGGUUUAAAGACCCCAAUACCAACCAUCCUGUCUUGACACUAUAACAGCUUUAGACUAGCAAUUUGGUCAUGGUUUAUCACACCAAACCAAUAGCAAGCACUGAUAUGUAUGCCUUUCUAACACUAAAACAUUUUACCUACCAUAUUUUCAUGGUUUAAAGCAUCUAGAGGCAAGGUCCUUAAGUUUAAAAUCAAAACAGCCUCUCAUAGGCUUUUAAAGUAAUAUAAGAUAGCAUGCUUGGGCAACAUGAAAACAAGGACUGCCUACUAUGAAUAUAUUAGAAGUAAGGCAUGAUCAUCAUAAUAAACUUCUAAUAACAGUCCACAUAAUGCAAUAACAGUUCAUAUAAGGCAAUAAUAAUUUAUAUAGCAACUAAAGUCCUUCUAACAGUCAUUUAUGCUUAUUCUAGUCACCACAACAAGUAUACUGUCUUAGUCCAUUCUGUAUACUAGUUCUGGGCAUGGUAAUAUAUUUUACAAUCAUAAAUAACCAACCAUCUUGGACUCCUUUCCAGCCACACUGUUUUGCCAUUAUAGCAGUUUUAGACUAGCACCUUAGGCACAGUUCAUCACAGCAAAACAGUAGCAACAUAGCAUAGCGUAUCAGUCCAGUUAUUACAAUAACAGUUGGUAUAUCACAAGGAUGAUGCUACAGCUAUUCAAGUCUCUUUUAGGCCAUUUUGGCAAGGUUUUAGUAAUAAGUUAUCAAAGCGGUCAUUAGUGUGCAAUACAAAGAUUAUUACCUCAUGUACAUGCUAUAGAAUAUAUGUUCAUGUUUUAAGAGCCUAUAUACAAGGUUUCUUGCUGUUAGUUCAUAACAAUCCCUUAUAGGCUUCAAUUUAAUACACGGAAGCAUGAUCUGAAAAAUUUAGUUAUCAAAAUAACAUGUUUAAACAUAAACAUAUACUCGAGGUAUUCUUUUUCUUUCUAUAUAAUCAAGUAGACAUGCUAUUAGGCUCUAUUUACAGCUAGCAUACCUUGAUACCAUAACAGUCCAAUUAGAGCAAUAUUUUAGGCAUGGUCUAUUACAACAAAAUGGUAGCAAGCACUGACAUGUUUUCCUUUCUAACACAGGCACCUUUUAUUUAUCAUAUAUUCAUGAUUUAAAACAUCUAAAGGCAAAAUCUCUUUGCUUUAAGCCAACACAGCCCUCUUUAGGACCCACUUUCCAAAAAUAACCAUGGUUUACCCUUAUGUUUACAAGGAUAACAUGGAUGUGCAACAUAGAAGUUUAGACUAUCUUCUUUAUAUGGUAUUUAAGAUGCAAAAAUAUAUUUGGAUGUCAUAGAAUGCCUUACCCCAUAUAUAUCAGUCCUUAUUAAGCCUCAAAUCUAGCAUACCAGUUUCUCAGAAUAGUGGCCAAGUCUUGGUUAAUUGCUUAGAUUACAUAUAUGCUAGUAUACAAUAGUUAUACCCAAUACAUCAUGCCACAUAUAACAUAUAAGCAGUCCUUUAUUAAUAAUCAUAGCAUAACAGUCCAUUUAACAUCAUAGCAAUUCAUAUGGUAACACAGAUCAUGCUAACCGAAAUCAUAAUAUCAUUAACUUUUUAGCAGCUCCUUAGCUUGACAAAUUAUCAAACACCUAGAGUGCAGUCUAUAUACUUGCACUUAAUACAUAAUUUCUAGCCCUCUGCCCCCAGCCGUAUGGCUUAAACAAUAUCAAGCAUAAGACCACACUUAUCAGUACCAAACCCAGCAGUUCAAAUAACAUGAAAGCAGUCAGUUAUCAUAACAGCCAUACACGUUUUUGGUCAUUGACAAUUCAUUUUACUAAUUAAUUUAAUAGCCAUCCUAAUCAUUUAUCAAUUCAGUUGUUACCCGGAAUGAAUGGAAAGAUUAGAAAGGCCAGAAUUGGCUUACCUUGCUGAUUCGAAGGUAUCAAGUGGUUGAGCUGCUUAAUUCCUUUUCCCCUCUAGCCGAACUCUUCACUCUUACUCUAUAUGACCGUUGCUGCUAAUUCUUUUGGACUCAGUUAAGUGAUGAGGCUAAUUGAUUUUGGGUAAUAACCUGGCCUUUUUAUGGCUGAGCUUAGCUUCCUUACAGUUGAUCGCAUCACCUUCUACUUGCCCCCUAACAUAUAAUCUAUUACCUCUAGCAGUUAGACUGCUCUGCAGCCACCCUACAAGACCCUAGUCUCUCUGCCAUGCCUUAUCUGUUGCUAACCUGUCUACUAACUAAUAACUGACUAACUUAUAGACUAACUACUGCUAACAACAGAACAGCCUCAGCUCCUAAGUUUACCCCUGUGGGCUGUUGGAAAAAAUCCUAAGGCAAGGCUGGGCAGUGGUUUCAUUUUGGGCCUAGUCCCUUUAACCCAAAGUUUUACUUGUUAAUUUGCUAUACUCCAAUGGGUUUACAGGAUUGGGUUUUGGACAUCCAUUUCACUCUUUAACACUUGGAGCUGCCGAAUUGGGCUAGCAAAUAGACUACAUGCAACGAUCAUGGCAAAAUUAUUAAGGCCCAAUAUUUUAAUAUGGACUCUUGUUACAUUAAAACACAUGGACUAUUAUUUUCUCUAGCAACAAUAGUUAUAACAUAUAUCAUUAAAAUGACUAUUCUAUGUAAUCUUAAAUAAUUCAUGAUGGCACAUAAUUUCUUUGCCCUUUAUAACUCAAGAUGCUAAACGAACUAUUAAAUAAAUAAUAUUUUUAUCACAAUGAGAAUUAACAUAUCAUAAAAAAAAAUUUAUACUCAAAAAUUGACAUUACAAUAAUUAAAUAUUACAUAGGAUGAACUACAGGCCAAUGAGGACUUUUACCACAUCAUUCGUCACAUUACGGUCAUUAUUAUACCGAAUCAUCCCUGGUCAUAAUCAUACCAAGUCCAUCUAUGCACGUAAGCCAAAGAUGACUUUCAUCACAAUAUAAGCAUGAGGAUGAUGACAAUAAUAUAAGCAUUAAUCAAACGAAAAUAAUGAUAAAUUUUAAAGACUUUAAAUUUAUCCAAAUGUUUAUCAAUCACUUAAUAAACUCAUAAUCUAAUAUUAUUAAUAUUAUAACAAUAUUUUAAUCACUUCUUGAACUUAUAAACAAUUUAUUCUAAUUGUUUACACUUUCCCAAAUAAUACAUUUUAAUCAUUCAAAAAUACCAUACUCAUAAGAUUUCAUCACCAAUGAUCAAAUCCCUUAUCAAAAAUCUGCAUAUACCUUAUAUAGGAUUUCCAAGCCAUAAAAUCCAUUUUACCAAUUUUUCAACUUCACAUAACAUAUUUAAUUCAUAUGUUCGUAACUAAACUAUUUUCAUGAAAAAUACCAAAUCAGUCCAAAAAAUUAUUCUUUUUUGGGAUUUAGCAGAAUAUAGUCCCAUAUUGAACAUAUAUUUUUCUCAUAAUUUUUAAAAUUCAUUUACUAUUUUUCAUAUGGCCAAAACUGCCGAAUAUUUAGACAUUUAUCAUAAAUUGUACUUUUGUCCAAAAAUUCCGAAAUUUACAAGGUAUACUCCUAUUAUAUAUGUGUACUCCCAAUAAAAAUUUAACCAAUUUUGGAGUUAACCACAAGGAGUUAUAAGGGUUUACUUUUAAAAUAGUUUUUUCCCAUAAAAUUCAUAACUCCUAAUCUAUACAUCCAAAAAUUGCCAUUUUUGGACACAAUCUAGAAAUCUCAACAAACUAUCAUUUCAAAUGUUUCCAAAAUUUUUGAGGGUCAGAAAAAUUACGAAACUGCAAAUAGAUUUUCACCCGUCAUUCGGUAAUCCAGGUAGACAGAUCAUUUCCACAAUUUAAUAAGGAAUGAAUACAAAGGAUCAUUCACCAUGCAUGCGGUAAUCCACAUAGACAGGUUAUUCCAACAGAAUAAUAAAAAAUAGAAUAACAACAGAAUUCACCAGGCAUACGGUAAUCCGCGUAUACAGGUUAUUCCAAUAGAAUAAUAAAUAAUGGAACCAGGUCAUGCGUAAUCCGCAUAGACAGGAUAUUCCAACAGAAUAAUAAAGAAUGGAAUAACAACAGAAAUUCACCAAGCAUACGGUAAUCCGCGUAUACAGGUAAUUCUAACAGAAUAAUAAAGAAUGGAAUAACAAUAGAAUUCACCAGGCAUACGAUAAUCCGCGUAUACAGGUUAUUCCAACAGAAUAAUAAAGAAUGGAAUAAUAGAAAAUUUUCACCACGUAUGCGGUACUUCGCAUAGACAGGUUACUCCAAUAUAAUAAUAAAGAAUGAAAUAACAAAAGAAUUUCACCAUGUAUGCGAUACUUCGCAUAAACAGGUUAUUCCAACAUAAUAAUAAAGAAUGGAAUAACAACAGCUCUCUUCAUGAAUACGAAAGAAAUAAUAAUACCCCUUACCUUAGAAGAAACUGGAUACUGGAAUAGUGAGGUAGCAGGCUUCUCUUCUUCUUUCUCUCUAUAAUUUCUCUCUAUAAUAAUUGCUCUAUAGCUUUAGUGAAUUGGUGAGAAAUGAAGGAAGAAUGAGCUUCUGUUUAUAGGAAAACAUAGUUUCAAUAAUUGCACAUUUUGGGGCUCGAAAUAUUACAUUAUAAUACCUUCCUCUUUUUCUUUAUUUUUAAUUUAGCCCUGCAAGUAUUAUCAAACUUGCACCACCUCCUCUAAUAGUAAAUCAUGUGAAUUAAUAGUAAAUCAUGUGAAUCAAUAGUUCUAGACAUGUGAAAAUACGAAUUACAGUAUAGUACCUCCAUCUAUACCUCUAUUUUUAACUUAGUCAUGCAAGUAUUAUCAAUCUUGCACCAACUCCCCUAAUAGUACCAUAAUGUGAAUCAAUAGUACACACAUGUGAACAAAUAGUUAUAAUCAUAUGAAUUAAUAGCAAUUAAAAGCUCAUUUAUCCGGAUAAUUACCCGAUUGGUCAAUAUAACCUCCAGACAUCAAUUAUCAUCGAAAUAAAUGUCGAUUCCCACUAACACUAAUAAUUCCAACACAAUGGAACUAUCAAUUUCAUCUUUAAUCAACACAAAUUUAUUCAUCAUUAAUAUUAUAACUCAUAAUAUUUAACAACAAGAUCGUUCCCAGGAAAGAGGGGGCCUUCCGGUAAGGAUUUCUCCUCACUGGUGCGCAAUUACCUAACCUCUCCUUGACAGAACUUCUAGACAUUGUCAAUAUUGCAAUUUAAUAAUAUUAAUAAGUUUACCAUCUUAAUUAUUUAUUUAAUAAUAUAACAUAUUAUGCAGAUGAUACUGUGACAAUAAUUGAAUCAAUAAUAUGAGAGAUAUGAUGUAAUAAUUACUGUAGCAAUAAUUGAGUAUAACUGAGUGACUUCUUACGUAAGCAUUAAUAAUCAAUACCGUGUGCUACUCAAUUCGUCAGCUACCACGUUCGCUCUUUCAUGAUGAUAUUGAAUGGUACGAUCGUAAUCUUCUACAGCUCAAGCCAACGUCUUUGGCACAUUAUACGAUUAUUUUAGGUAAAGAAAUAUUUGAGGGUUUUAGAAAUGAGUUUUGUACUUGGGUCAAUACAAAAUAUGAUUUCACGCUCUGGGGUAGGCAAGGAAGUUCUUCGAGAAUACGUCAGAAUAUUUAUUAACAAUAGAAAUAUCAUUUAAAAACUGUGACUCUCAUCCAAGACUUGGACAACACAUGAAAUGAAGGUUUCUACUAACGAAGUUUCAACCAAUAAGUCAAAGUCUAACUUCUCUGGGGUCAAAUUUAAAUGUUGAGCGCAAGCAAGAGAGAUAAAAGAAUGGGUAGAACCGGUAUCUAAUAAGGUAUAGACUUCGCAAAAAUUUAUAAUUAACUAACCCGUGCUAACUUCGUUCGGGUUACUCGCUUUUUGAGAAGUCAUGAAAAACGCUCUUCCUGAAACCACCGACUUUGUUUUGUCCAUAUCCGCCUUUGGUGCCACCGUCCCAGCUGGACUUGACUUUGGUGCACGACAAAAUCGGGCUAAGUGUCCUUUUCCAUAAUUAUAACAUGUUUUGGACUGCAUCACGCAGUUUGGACUGAUAUGUCCCUCCCCUCCGCAUUUGAAGCAUACAAUUGGUGGUCGUUCUCCUUCCUUGAAAACGGGUGUUGGUGCUGCUGUCUUUGCAUCUUUGUUGAACCUUCUCUUCUUGAAAUUUCCACUCCUAUUAUCUUGGUCAUGAUUACCACCGAAGUGGUUACCAUUCUUGGUGUAAGACCCCAACUUUUAUGAAUAAAAAAUGAAUUUUCUAUAAAUAUCAUUUUUGAAUAUUAUGGAGUAAAUUUGAUAUAAUGUUAUAGUUGUGGGUAAUAUUUAUAAAUUUUGAAAAGUACGCAAGUUGUUAUAUAAUAUUCGUUUGGUCGGAAAAUAUUCUUUUUGUCGGGAAUAUCCGUACGACGACACAAUCAUUGGUGGACCCCCACAACGGAAGUAUUGUCGUAGUAAGAAAACGACAGAAUUAUCUUUUUAUAAAAAUAACGGCUAAAGUUUUACCGUUAAAACUGUUGAACUACUCGGUAGUAAAAGUACAGUAAUACGUGUGGUUGCAUAGUAGCACACGAUAUUGAUUAUUAAUACUUACGUGAGAAGUCACUCAGUUAUACUCAAUUAUUGCUAUAGUAAUUGUUGCAUCAUAUCUCUCAUAUUAUUGAUUCAUUUAUUGUCACAGUAUUAUCUGCAUAAUAUGUUAUAUUAUUAAAUCAAUAAUUGAGACGACAAAGUUAUUAAUAUUAUUAAAUUGCAAUAUUGACAAUGUCUAGAAGUUCUGUCAAGGAGAGGUUAGGUAAUUGCGCGCCAAUGAGGAGAAAUCCUUACCGGAAGGCCCCCUCUUUCCUGGGAACGAUCUUGUUGUUAAAUAUUAUGAGUUAUAAUAUUAAUGAUGAAUAAGUUUUGUUGAUUAAAGAUGAAAUUGAUAGUUCCAUUGUGUUGGGAUUAUUAGCGUUAGUGGAAAUCGACAUUUAUUUUGAUGAUAGUUGAUGUCUGGGGGUUAUAUUGAUAAAUCGGGUAAUUUAUCGGAUAAAUGAGCAAUUAAUUGCUACUAAUUCACAUGUUUAUAUAACUAUUUGUUCACAUGUGUGUACUAUUGAUUCACAUUCUGGUACUAUUAGGGGAGUUGGUGCAAGAUUGAUAAUACUUGCAUGACUAAGUUAAAAAUUGAGGUAUAGAUGGAUGUACUAUACUGUAAUUCGUAUUUUCACAUAUCUAGAACUAUUGAGUCACAUGAUUUACUAUUAAUUCACAUGAUUUACUAUUAGGGGAGUUGGUGCAAGAUUGAUAAUACUUGCAGGACUAAAUUAAAGAUAAAGAAAAAGAGGAAGGUAUUAUACUGUAAUAUUUUGAGCCCCAAAACGUGCAAUUAUCAAAACUAUAUUUUCCUAUAAAUAGAAGCUCAUUCCUUCAUUAUUUUUCACUAAUUCACUAAAGCUAUAGAGCAUUUAUUAUAGAGAGAAAUUAUAGAGAGAAAGAAGAAGAAAAGUCUACACUUCACUACUCCAGUAUCCAAUCUUCUUUGAGGUAAGGGGUAUUAUUCUUUCGUAUUCAUGAAGAGAGUUAUUUUUUUUCAAUACUCGUUAUUCCAUUCCUUAUUAUUAUGUUGGAAUAACAUGUCUAUGCGAAGUACCGCAUACAUGGUGAAAUUCUUCUAUUAUUCCAUUCUUUAAUAUUCUGUUGAAAUAUCUUGUUUGUGCGUUUUACGCAAGACCUGGUUCCAUUAUAUAUUAUUCUGUCAGAAUAUCUUGUCUGUGCUUUACGCAUGACCUGGUUCCAUUAUUUAUUAUUCAGUUUGAAUAACAUGUAUACGCGGAUUACCGUAUACCUGGUGAAUUUUGUUGUUAUUACAUUCUUUAUUAUACUCAGUUGGUUAAAGUUUUGGCUUUUAUACUCUAUGAAAUUAGUGGAAUAUCCUUGAUAUUUGCGCUUCAUCCAAUAUCUUUUCAUGGAAAUAUUCUUCUGAGCAUUCUUGAAUUUUACAUCACAAAGCAGUAUCAUGUUGACAUUUUGGACGUUAUUGGUUCCUGGAUAAAUUAAUUCUUGAACUUGUUUUAUUGAAUUCUUAUAUCAUUAUCAUCAUCCUCAUGUUUAUAUUCUGUUGAGAGUCAUCUGUGGCCUGUAGUGCAUAGAUGGACUUGGUAUGAUUAUGACCAGGGAUUAUUCGGUAUAAUCAUGACUGUAAUAUUACAAAUAAUAUGGUAAAAGUCCUCAUUGGCCGUAGUGCAUUGUUGGACAAUUGUUGGUAUGAUCAUGACCAUUGAUGAAUACACGAAUAUCCUUGGUCGUAGUGCAGGGAUGAUGUUGAUUAUUUAUUAACCUGAGUCUCAGCGAUGAAAAUGAUGAAAAACCUUUUUAAAUCAUAGAAGAUAAUAGAUUUUAUGCUCUAUUUGACUCUUUUAAUGGAUUGCUUAUUUUCGCUGCAGUUUUUGAUCUAAAACUUGUUGUUUAUUAUAUUCUAUCAGUUGUUAUACUGUUGAAGGCUAAGGAUAAUUUAUUCUGCAUUAACUUAGUCAUAAUAUUUCUUACUGGGCUUGUUGAGCUCACCCUUUUCUUUCAUGGUUCUCUUCAGGAAAUGAGAACGUAGCUGAGACUAGUCAGGGAACAGAGUGACGGCCCAGAUGUUUGCAUUAAUUGUCCUCACUAUUCUGUGAAAUAGUGUGAUAAUAAAUGUAAUGAGGACUCCAUUGAGUGUGGAUAUUGUCUAGAUGACAAUAUUCUUCUUAAAACUCUUAGAUUAUGUUUUGUCGUAUUUUACACGACUGUUGUAUAAUUAAGUUGUAUUUGAAUUUUGUACCAUAUAUCCGGCGACUCAAGAUGGGUGAUGUAUACCUAUUUUGAGGGCAUCAUAGUUGGUAUCAAAGCUUAGGGAUAUGAUCCCUGGUUGAGAUGUGAGAUAAGAACUAGGAGGGGAGAGACGGGGAAUUCCUUUGUUAGUAUAACCUACCUAAGUUUAUUUGGUAUUUAAUUGGUCGGUCACAAUAUAUGGAUAAUAUGUGACAUGUCAAUUAACCCUUGUUUUGUGACAGUAUUUGAAAAUGGCAUCCGAAAAUGUUGAGAAUAGCAAUGGAGCACAGGAGACCGUUGAGUCACCAUAGAUUAAUACCCAGGAUAAUGUGUAACAGGAAGAAAAUAAUCCUCAGGUAAACAAUAACACCGAUGAAAUGGGGAACGAUGGGAUGUUCAGAGGCUUUAUGCAAUUCAUGCAACAUCAGGCGAGGGCGGCUCCUGUCCAAAAUGCAGGUGGAAACACUGACAACUCUCGGACGGUCACCGCUAAGCAGUUCAAGGAGCUGGGACCACCGGAGUUUUUUGGAGAGCCAAAACCACUUAAGACAGAGACGUGGAUAAAGAAGAUCAACAGGAUAUUUGAUGUCUUGGGAUGCUCCGAGGAACAAAAGGUUCCUUUUGUCACCUUCAUGUUGCGAGCAGAGGCAGAUUACUGGUGGGAAUCCGUAAAGCGUACUCAACUUGCCGCACUGAAAAUGUCUUGGGAGAAGUUCCAAGAACUGUUCAACGAAAAGUACUUUCCCGAAAGUAUUCGUCAAAUGAAAGAGGUAGAGUUCAUCAAGCUUGAGCAAAAAAAUAUGACUGUGGCGCAGUACAAAGCUAAGUUUGUCGAGUUAUCUCGGUUUGCGUCCCACUUGAUUGAUAAUAAGGAGAGAAUGACGCGGAUGUUUUCAAAGAGGUUUGAAACCCGAGAUACGUCAAUACCUAAUUUCUCACAAACCGUGUUUGUAUUCAGAUGUUGUGAAUAGGGCUCAGUUAUUGGAGCGCGAUAAUGAAUCAACCCAACCAAGAGAGAGCAGCCGACAAGUCGAUAAUACCAGUGGUAGCAGUCAUCGAAGCGGUGACAACAAGCGUGGAGGGAAUCAACAUGCCAAAAAUGGUAAUCACUUCGGUGGUAAUCAUGGCCAUGACAAUAAGAGUGGACAUUUCAAGAAGACGAGAUUCAACAAUGAUGGAAAGACGUCAGCACCAGCACCUGUUGUUAAGGAAGGAGAACAAUCGCCGGUCGUAUAUUAUAAAUGCGGAGGGGAGGGACAUAUCAGUCCAAACUGCGUGAUGCAGUCCAAAGCAUGUUACAAUUGUGGAAGAGAAGGUCACCUAGGCUGAUUUUUUCGUGCACCAAAGUCAAGUCCAGCUGGGAUGGAGGCAUCAAAGGCCGUCCCAGACAAGACAAAACCGGUAGUUCAACGGAGAGCGUUUGUCGUAACCUCCCAAAAAGUGAGGAAUCCGAAUGAGGUGAUCACGGGUAAGCUAAUCAUAAACUCUAGCAAAGUCUAUACCUUAUUUGAUACCGGCUCUACCCAUUCUUUUAUUUCUCCUAUUUGCGCUCAACGUUUAAAUUUGACUCCGAAGAAGUUAGACUUUGACUUAUCGGUUAAAACUCCAUUGGGAGAAACCUUCAUUACAUCCACUAUUUAUAAGUCUUGUUUGAUUCAAAUCGGUAACCGUACAUUACCUGUCGAUCUUUUUUCUUUGAAAAUACUUGCAUUUGAUGUGAUUUUAGAGAUUAAUUGGUUAACUACUCAUCAUGCUAAAAUCGAUUGUUUUCGUAAGGUUGUUAGCUUUCAUAUUCCUAACCAACCUAUUAUGCGAAUUCAAGCAACCAAACAACUAAAAUCAAUCACUAUCAUAUCAAGCCAUAAAGCUAUUCAUUUAUUAAAAAAUGGAUGUCAAGCUUUCUUAGCCCAUGUCACGGAUUUAAAUAAAAAUACGUCAGAUUUGAAUGAUAUUUCUAUUGUUCAUAAAUUUCCUGACGUAUUCCUUGAAGAAAUUCCUGGCCUACCCCUAGAGUGUGAAAUUGAAUUUUGUAUCGACCUUGAAUGUGGUACAAAACCCAUUUCCAAAGCCCCAUAUCGAAUGGCUCCUAUUGAACUUCAGGAGUUAAAAACCUAACUACAGGAAUUAUUAGACAUCAGUUUCAUUCGUCCUAGUACAUCUCCUUGGGGUGCUCCUGUUCUAUUCGUGAAGAAGAAAGAUGGAAGUAUGCAACUUUGUAUUGAUUAUCGGGAGUUGAAUCAUGUCACCAUCAAAAAUAGGUACCCGUUGCCUCGCAUUAAUGACCUGUUUGACCAGUUGCAAGGAGCUAAAUUCUUUUCAAAGAUUGAUCUUCGUUCCGGAUAUCAUCAGUUGAAGAUUAAAACUGAUGACAUUCCAAAGACUGAUUUCAGAACUCGGUAAGGGCAUUAUGAAUUUCUAGUCAUGUCUUUUGGAUUGACUAAUGCUCCUGCUGCCUUCAUGGACAUGAUGAACCGAGUAUUCAAGGAAUAUUUGGAUCACUUUGUGGUCGUCUUUAUUGAUGACAUCCUCAUAUACUCCAAAAGCCGUGAAGACCAUGAUCAACACUUGAGGCUGAUACUUCAAAAACUUCGUGAGAACAAGCUUUAUGCCUAGUUAAAGAAAUGUGAGUUCUGGCUUGAGGAAGUUGCAUUCCUUGGGCACGUGAUAUCAAAUCAUGGAAUAUCUGUUGAACCAGCAAAGAUUGAAGGAAUCCAAAGCUAGGAGCAACCAAAGUCAGUGACUGAAAUACGUAGCUUUCUUGGCUUAGUUGGUUAUUAUCGGAGAUUCGUGGAAGGAUUUUCUCGAAUCGCUACUCCAUUAACUCAGCUGACUCGAAAAGAUACAAAGUUCAGUUGGAGCGAGAAAUGUGAGAAGAGUUUUCAAGAACUCAAGAGAAGACUCAUUUCAGCACAUGUUCUGACAAUACCAUCUGGCUCGGAGGGAUUUGUCAUCUACAGUGAUGCUUCAGGCAAAGGGGUUAGGAUGUGUUCUCAUGCAACAUGGAAAAGUCAUAGCCUAUGCCUCACGACAACUCAAAGAAUAUGAGAGGAAUUAUCCUACUCAUGAUCUAAAGUUGGCAGCAGUCGUUUUUGCGCUUAAGAUUUGGAGGCAUUACCUGUAUGGAGAGAAGGUGGAGAUCUAUACGGAUCAUAAAAGCCUCAAAUAUUUCUUCACUCAAAAGGAACUCAACAUGCGGCAAUGACGAUGGCUUGAGCUGUUAAAAGAUUAUGAUCAUACCAUCCAAUACCAUCCUGGAAAAGCGAACGUAGUAGCUGACGCAUUGAGUAGAAGAUCAUAUGCGGGUACGAGUGCAAUAUUGUCAACGCUAAGACCCAUUUUGUAUGACUAACGAAGGAUGGAGAUAGAGUUAAAAACUCCAGGGACCCAUGUGAUAAUGACGGAUAUACGAGUAGAACCGACUUUAAUCAAUAAAGUUAAAGCUGCUCAAGCUACAGACCUGGAGCUGAUGCAUAUGAGGAAGAAAGUGCAAGAAGGUGCUAUUCCAGAAGCAAGAAUCGAUGAAGAAAGAAUACUUCGAGUCAACUCCAGACUUUGUGUUCCUAACGAUUUUGACUUGAAGUAUAAAAUCAUGAUGGAGGCAAACAACACACCGUUUGCAAUCCAUCACGGGAGUACCAAAAUGUAUCGUGAUCUUCGACAUACAUUUUGGUGGAGCAAUAUGAAGAGAGAGAUAGCGGGGUUUAUCUCAAGGUGUCUAACUUUUCAACGAGUCAAGGCGGAGCAUCAAGUGCCAAAAGGUCCAUUGCAACCACUUGAAAUUCCAGAAUGGAAGUGGGAGCACAUUACCAUGGAUUUCGUUACUGGUCUUCCCAAGGUUUCCCAAGGCGUAGAUGCGAUUUCGGUCAUUGUUGAUAGAUUGACCAAGUCUACUCAUUUCUUACCGAUACGAGAAACUUAUACACUUGAACGUCUUGCUAGUAUGUACAUAAAUGAGAUUGUAAGAUUGCAUGGCAUGCCAGUAUCCAUAGUUUCUGAUCGAGACCCAAGAUUCACUUCAAGAUUUUGGGUUAGUGUGACGCCCCCAAAAUAGGUCCACACGAACCAUUCUGAGUCGCCAGAUAUCACACUAUAAAAAUCAAAUACAAACUUUAUUUAUACAACUGUUGAACUGUCGUGCAGAGUACGACAACAGUUAACUGUGAGUUUUAAUACAAAUAUUGUCAUCGUAGACAGUAUCCAAACUCAAAUUGUUACAAUGCCAUAUAAAAUACAGCAGCAAAUAUUUUAAGACCCCAAAGAAGAACGAGAAGAUUACUAUCAUAUUCAUUCUAAUGAGGUGCACUUUUGACGCUUUCAAAGUCGGGUUCUCAUCACCCUUAUUGUUGUUCACCAACAUCAAUUAUUAAGUGACGUAUAAAAUACAACACACACAUCUUAGGUCUUUAAUACAAUUAUCGGUUGCAUAUCAUGCCGUUUUAUAAUGUAUUGAGAAAUUUCGACAGUCUCGGACCAUCACACUAUUUUCCUGUUAUCCCCGCUCGACCCAGCUACACUCUUAUUACCUAAAAGGAAUUGUGAAGCAAAAGGGUGAGCACAAUUAGCCCAGUAAGGAAUAUCAUGGCUAAGAUAAUUAAUUUAUCAACAGCCUUUAUCAGAAUAAAUCAGAGAUUUAGAACAUAUGGUAGAUAAUAAAACGUUUCAACCAUAGUUGCAGCGGAACGAGUAAUCCAUUAGAUGAGUCAAGUAGAACAUAAUGUCUACUAUCUCCUCUAGAUUAAAAGUCCAUCGUUGAUAUUUUAUUCCUGUAAUACUCAUCAACAGUUCUUUGUUAUACUUAAGACAAAUAAAACUUUCAACACUUGUCUUCACCUGAACCACCAAAGAUGUUAGUUAAAUUCACAAUUCAUAUUUAUAAUAAUGUGAAUUAACAGUUCCUUCUUUCCACCAAGACUUAAUAGAAUGUUUACUCAAUAUCUUUACCCCAAAGGCUGAAGGUAUUCAAAUGUAAUAACAAUGAUCAUACCAAUCAGUUGUCUAUCUUUGCAUUACGGGCCAAAGAUAUUCAACUAUAGAACCAAUGGUCAUGAUCAUACCAAUCACAUCAUUGAAUUAUCCAUGCACUACGGCCAAGGAUAUUCGUUAGUAUCACUAGUGGUCAUGAUCAUGUCAUACACCUGUCCAUCUUCACACUACGGGUCAAAGCUAUCAAAUAACAGAUCAUCUUUGCACUACAGGCCAAAAAUAUUCAACAACAUAUCGUCUUUGCACUACAGGUCAAAGACAUACUACUGUAAAACCAAUAACCAACAAUAUAAUAAAGAAUGGAAUAAUAAAAGAAUUUCACCAUGCGUGCGUAAUCCGCACAGAAAGGUUAUUCCAACAUAAUAAUAAAGAAUGGAACCAGGUCAUGCGUAAAUGCACAGACAGGAUAUUCCAACAGAAUAAUAAAGAAUUGAAUAACAACAGACUUCACCAAGUAUACGGUAAUCCGCGUAUACAGGUUAUUCCAACAGAAUAAUAAAGAAUUGAAUAACAACAGACUUCACCAGGUAUACGGUAAUCCACGUAUACAGGUUAUUCCAACAGAAUAAUAAAGAAUUGAAUAACAACAGACUUCACCAGGUAUAUGGUAAUCCGCGUAUACAGGUUAUUCCAACAGAAUAAUCAAGAAUGGAAUAACAACAGACAUCACCAGGUAUACGGUAAUUCGCGUAUACAGGUUAUUCCAACAGAAUAAUAAAUGGAACCAGGUCAGGAGAAAUUCGCACCGACAGGAUAUUCCGACAGAAUAAUAAAGAAUAAAAUAAUAGAAGAAUUUCACCAUGUAUGCGGUACUUCGCAUAAACAGGUUAUUCCAACAUAAUAAUAAAUAAUGUAAUACAUAAGGAUUUCACCAAGUAAAGGGUAUGACGCUUAUACAGUUUAUGUAUAGGGUAUGCCUCAUAUACAGGUUAUUCCAACAGAAUAAUAAAGAAUGGAAUAACAGAAGUUCUCUUCAUGAAUAAGAAAGAAUAACACCCCUUACUAUAAUAAUAUUAUCCCUUACCGUAAAAAAACUGAAAAUAGAGGUAGUGAAGUAGCAGAAUAGUCUUCUUCUUUCUUUCUAUAAUUUCUCUCUCUAGAGUUUCAGUGAAUUCGUAAGAAAAUAAUGAAGGAAUGAGCUUCUAUUUAUAGAAGAAUGGAUUGCAUAGUAACUAACUCAUGAACGGUCCAAAUUGAUUUACUUUAAUCUGACGGUCCAUAUUUAAAGCAAAAUCUUUUAAAUAAAAUAUAAUAUAUUCUAUUUAUAAUCUAAUAAAAUAAAUAACUUUAUGUAAAUACUAUGCAGGCACUAUGCAAAUACUAUGCAUAAUAAAAUAUAAUAUAAUCUAAUUAUUGUCUAAUAAAACGAAUAACUUUAGAAAAGUAUUAUGUUUUAUAUAAAAAGAUUUUACUAUUAGUCUAAUAAAAUGAAUAACUUUAUAAAAGUAUUCUGUUUUAUAUAAAAAGUUUUUCUGUUUUAUUACGUUAAUAAUACGAAUAAAACAAAACUUCAUCAUCGCUUACUUUGAAAAUUUUUCAAAUGUCACCCUUAACUUUAAACUUUUAUCAAUUUAAUCAUUUACCAAAAUAGAAAAAUUGAAUACUUUUAUUUCAUAAAAUUCGGGGUCUCACAGUUAGUUUGCAAAAAGCUAUGGGCACGGAUUUACGAUUUAGUUCGGCAUAUCAUCCUCAAACGGAUGGGCAGUCGGAAAGGACUAUUCAAACUCUUGAGGAUUUAUUAAGAUUAUGUGUCCUUGACUUCAAGGGAAGUUGGGACAAGUUCUUACCAUUGGUGGAGUUUUCCUACAACAAUAGUUAUCAAGCAAGUAUUGGCAUGACUCCAUUUGAAGCGUUGUAUGGAAGAAAGUGUCGUUCUCCAGUAUGCUGGGAUGAGGUGGGUGAAGCAACGUUGUUGGGACUGGAGUUGGUACGUAUGACUACGAAAAAGAUUCAAACGAUCCGACAACGUAUAAAAACCUCACAAGAUNNNNNNNNNNNNNNNNNNNNNNNNNNNNNNNNNNNNNNNNNNNNNNNNNNNNNNNNNNNNNNNNNNNNNNNNNNNNNNNNNNNNNNNNNNNNNNNNNNNNUAUAUAUAUAUAUAUAUAUAUAUAUAUAUAUAUAUAUAUAUAUAUAUAUAUAUUGUCCAAAAUUAAUUUUUAGUUUUUGAGAUGGCAUGUAACCAUCACAUAUAUAUUUCUCCUUAAUGUGAUUGCAUUUAAGCCAUAACAAAGAAAAAAGUUUAAAAUAAUCUUUGGUGACAGCCAAGACCAUCACGAAAAGAAAACCACAUGUGAUGGACCUUUAUGAUUACAUUUAAAGUAAUCUCAACAAAUGGUAUUAUAUGAUGGACUUUUUCAACAAUCACAAAAUAAUAAUAUACAUGACGGCUCCUAGUAGUGGUUAUUUUUUCCAUCACCAUAAACUAUUUGUGACGGACAAGACAAUCACUAAAAAACAAGCAUAUAUGAACAACAAAUAUAUUAGGCGAGGAAUUUACUAGCAAUCACAAAAUAGUAGUAUAUAUGGUAGAUGUUACUCAAUGUCUAAUUGUGCCAUUAUUAUUAAAUAUUUAAGACAAUCAUUACAAUCACUAAAUUUUUCGCGUAAAUUGUACAUCUCUUUUUUAAGUCCCCAUUAAUCUUUAUUUUGCUUUGUUCUCUUUGUAAACUCAUUGUUUUUAUUGUGAAUUCAAAGGAUUUAGAGUUUAUCUCGUUUUUAUAUAACUAACUAUUUACGUUUGUUCUCUUUGUCUCGGUUGGUAUAUAUCUACUUCUUUCUAUGCAAGAAGUCUAGAGUCCAAAUCUCCACCCAAAAAAGAAACAGUGCAAAUGAUGGAGCAAAAUUCUUGCUGUUGGGGAAGAGCAGAUGGACUAAUUGAUGUAACCUUCAAAUUGGUGGGAAGAAAUCUGAAAUGGAAGGAGCAGUAAGCAGGAUUUUUUUUUUUACUAAAUUUAAAUUGUAUUAAAGGAGAAAGAAUGUACAAAAAUCAUGGGAAAACCCAAUCAGAAUAUAGUAUAUACAUCACCUCAAUCAGAAUAUAACAUAGACAUCAUAGGACAUGCCAUAUGAUGUCAUGACUAAAAAAGAAAAUAAGGCCAGAUGCCCAAACAAAAGAGAAACAAUCUCAACAUUCAUGAGAAUACAAUGCAUAGAAAUCAGACACAAAACCAAGAAAAACCUCAUCCAAAGUAGCAGCAGCCCACAAUAGCAGCAAAAGAAAAAUCAGUCCAAAGACCAAAAGGCAUCAUCCAUAACAGAACCGAAAGAGCCUACUGCAGACUAGCAGCACAAUAGAGCACAAGGCCCAACAAGAGAAGCCAACAACAGUUUAGCAAAGCAAAACAGCAGACAGGACAUGGAAAGCAAGAGCAACAAACCCCAAGAGCCCAAUGGCAGCCAUAGAAGUGCAGCAGCUGCAGCCGACAUCAAAUAAAACAGCAGUAAACGAUAGCAGCCAUAAGUACAGCACCACCCCCCAAAUCUGCAGCAUCAAGACAUAGAAAUAGUCACAAUACUGCAGACCAAAACACGCAAACAAUGCAGCAUAAGCAACAAACAGAGCAGCAAAUAGGUCUAUUUUCCUGCUUGUUUUCAAGGUUGUGUAGUAUUUAUUGUCAUUUUAGUAUUUUACAUAUAUGUCCAUUAUGGGUAAAAUAAGUUGUUUGGCAUGGGCAAUGAUGCCAGUGAAGGUUUUCUUUCUUCAGUGCUUGAUGGAAGCUCUCGAGCUGUAGUCACUACAAAGAUGAGGAGAUGCUGAAACCAUUUUCGAGCACAGUGAGAUAUAAUAGUUACAUAUAUGAAUAUGCCAUCUCAGAUGAUCAUGUUGGUGUAACACAGAAGCAUGUCUUCCAUGUGCUGGUACCAUUUCUCCUUCCUUUUCUGACAGUAGGCCUAUGAUUUCUUCUGGGAGUGCUGAGAAAGAGACUGCUAGACUAGAAUAUUGUAUACGGCACUAGAAAUAGGGCAGUCUUUCUGUAAACUGCAGAGCUAUGGUUCCUUGGAAUGAUCAUUGCUUUACAACGCAUUGAGUUUUUUUUUUCUACAUUUCUUUUUCCUGGAAAAGCCUAUUUGAGGGAGGAAAUAGGAGAAGUAGAAAUUUGUUGUGGGUAGAGAUGUUUUGGAUUUGUCCUUGGUUUCAGUAAUUAAACAUCUGCCAUUUUUAUUUGCGAUUAUAUCCGGAGGAAGCUUUUAUAUACUAGAUUCAUAAAUCAAGAAGUUCAAUAUAGGGAGCACCAGCUGCAACAGCAGCAGAGCAUGAGCAGCAACAUUAAUGUAGGUGGAAGCAUUGAAAGGACGUUCUAUUUGUUCAUGCCAUUUAAUCAUGGCAAUCAUUCUAUUUAUUCAUGGUAAUCAUUUUAUUUGUAUAUGCUUGUUCUUAUAUAGCUUAUAUUGACAGAAAAUUUAAAUGGAAGCUAUGAGAACCACAUUUUAUCAAGUCUUUCAGGUGGGUUAGCCUCUGCAUAGCUCUUACUAUUUCUUGCAGCUCGAGGAGCUAAAGCUUCCUAAAGUAUAGAAAUCACAAAACCAAGCAAAUAAGUUUAAAAAAAAAAAAGAACUAAAGAUAGAGUCGCAUGUCUUUCAAAUAUGUUUCAAAAAAAAAACACAUUCUCUAAAACACUGGUAACAGAGCUUCUCUAAAACUGAAUUUCAUGUCCAAGUUCAUGUUAUCAACUUAUAGUCUUAUAUGUAAUCAACAUAACUCAAACGACUUCCUCUUUUUCUAAUAAUUAAUAACAGGGAAAAAAUUUAAAAAUAUGGGUGAAUUGGAGAAAUAUAUCUUACAAUAACAAAGAAAAAGGGAAUCCUAGUCCAGAAACUUGUGCGCGCUCUCACGAAAGAUGUCUCAUGAGUAAGCCUGAAUCUUGACGGAUCUGCAUGUUCAUUGUAGGAGAAAUUUAACAUAAAGAGAUAGCCUCAUGUACACAAAUAUUAAAAUGAAUACUAAAUUCAAACUACAGAAUGAUAAAUAGUCAUUUCUUGAUCGUGCAGCGACAUAACAAUGGAAAACUCGGUCCUGAGAGGCAGUUUCCUGCUCCCAGACCUUCCAGCCACGAAUCUGUACAAGUUAAAAACUUAUUAGCAUUAUAUGUAGAAUCAAUCAGGUGAUAAUAUGAAGAGUGAUAGUGUUUUAUAGAAAAUGAAAAUAUUCGAAAAUUGUUUCGAACAUAUAUUAAAAUAAAUUAUUGUCCUUUUAUUUUAUUAAAUAAAAUAUUAAAAAAAUCAUUGUCUUCUUUAAUGCAGUUUAUAAAGAAACACGGGAAAAUGAAUAUAGGCCAAGUUAGUGAUAAAAGAAAGUGAAUGACAGACUUGGCAGGAACUCUAUUACUGUAGAAAAAUAAAGCAACAAUUGAAAGGAUUCUUAUUUCGAUAAUGAAAGGAAAUAAUAAUCGACUGAUAAUUAUCUGGAACAUGCCAACUACUAUAUAUAUAGGAAAACAUAACUAAAAAACUCAGCUACGUAGGCCUAAAUAUCAUCAUCUUCUUCUUCUUCUUCGAAAUAUUCAUCAUCAUUAAAAUAUUCAUUAUCAUCUUCAUCUUCAUCACUACAUUCUCUAUCUUCAUUUUCUGCUUCCGCUAAUGAUGGAUCCACUUCCGCCCACAUUAGGAUUACUCGUCAAUGGUUGAUCAAAUUUGAUAGAUUCGCCUUCUGAAACAAGAAGUUCUGGCCCUGGAGGGAUAAUAUCAACCACUUGACGUCCAUCCGAUGCAUCCGUUAUGGUUAUUUCGUAACCCCCCUUUUCUUUUCGUAUUAUUUUGCCUACUAUACCUGCUGCUGUAGCAUUAUAAACCGUAUUGUUACUCUUGCUCCCGUCGGGAUAAAUCUGACCCCUUCCCCUGUUUCCGCCUACGUAUAUAGGAUAUUUUAAGAAGUGAACAUCUUUCUUAGUAGCGGGGUCCGGGGAAAGAAUAGGAAAGGUGAUUUCACUAUAUUUUUGACCAGGAACAGGGCCUAUCACAAGAAUAUUUUUUUUAGUGGGGCGAUAGCUCUGAAAAGAAAGAUUGCCUAUCCUUUCUUUCAUCUCGGGAGAAAUCCGAUCAACAGGAGCUAAUUCAAAACCCUCCGGUAAAAUAAGAACAGCCCCUACAUUCAAAGCCCCCUUUUUACCAUUAGCAAGAACUUGUUUUAGUUGCAUAUCAUAAGGGAUUCGAACAACUGCUUCAAAUACAGUAUCAGGAAGUACGGCUUGUGGAACUUCAAUAUCCACGGGCUUAUUAGCUAAAUGGCAAUUGGCACAUACAAUACGCCCAGUCGCUUCUCGUGGAUUUUCAUAACCCUGCUGUGCAAAAAUGGGAUAUGCACUUGAAAUGGAUGUCCGAGUUAUGAUAUAUAUCAUGAGCGAUGCGGAAAUGGAUCGAGUAAUCUGUUCCUUUAUCCAAGAAAAAGUCUUUCUAGUUUGCAUGGUCCAACCAUUGAUCCCGAAAAUUUCUACAAUAAAUUGGGUAGGUCGCUAAUAUAGUUCCCUAUCCGCGAUUCUGCUAUUUACUGGAAUAAUAUAUNNNNNNNNNNNNNNNNNNNNNNNNNNNNNNNNNNNNNNNNNNNNNNNNNNNNNNNNNNNNNNNNNNNNNNNNNNNNNNNNNNNNNNNNNNNNNNNNNNNNGAGAAUCAUCAAGCAAUAUCAAAUUCUGAGUUUGCUCCUCAAUAUUAUAUAAGUCAAAAUCAUGAAACUCUUCCUCUUGAUAUGUCUCUUCAUUACUAUUUUCGGCAACAUCAUAUGUGUUUCUUGCUUUUGUUGUGAUUACAGUAGACCAACCUUUAGCUUUAGUCGACACUGGAUUAGCAUAGAACACUUGUACAACUUGUGAUGCAAUAACAAAUGGCUCAUACGGCUUGUGCCUUGAAUUUGUAUCAAUUGUAGUUAUCCCGUACUUGUUAAUAACUACCCUUUUUUCAGAAUCAUACCAUUCACAUUGGAACAAAAAUACUGAAUUCUCUUCUCCAUAGUAUUCUAGUUCAACUACUUUAAUUAAUUGUCCAUAAUAGUCUCGUUCUUGGCCUUCAAAAGUACAUCCCUAGACUAAAACACCACUAUUUUGAGUUACCUUUCUUGACUCCAAUUCUUUUGUAUGGAACCUAAAGCCAUUGACAAUGAAUCCAUCAUAACAUGUUACCUCUCUAGACGGACCCAUAGCGAGCGCUUUUAGACGCGUAUCAACGACAUCAUCAUUCUUGACUCUCUUUUCAAACCAUUUUAUAAAUGUCGAAUUAUGUUCCUUUUAUAGCACUUUAUCCGACAUGUUUGGACGUAAUUCUUUCAAUAAAUGCUUGUGCUCCCUAGAAGUAAUGAAAUAAAUUAGUAGAUAUAGAGUAAUGAUUUACAUAUCUAAAAGUAAUAAACUUUAUAAGAAUUAAAAUGUCAUACUCGAUGAAAUCAAAGACUUCCUCAUAAUUAGACAAGAUGUAUAAGGUUGCUGCCUCGAGUUCUUUAUCAGAUAGAUCUUCACGUUUUCGUUUUCCUCCAAUUGGACGACCAGGCCUAGGGUGGCUAAAUAUUGAUAACUUUCCAUUAGUUUCAGCUUGACCGCCAUCGUCAUUUCGAUCAGCUCGGUUGAACUUGGUUUGCACCCUAAGAUCAAAAUAUCGAGAAGAAAAGUAAACUAGUUCGUCUAUUAUGUAUGCCUCAGCUAUUGAACCCUCGGGGCAAGCCUUGUUACGCACCCUUUUCUUCAAAGAACACAUGCACCUAUAAUUAUAUUGAAGUUAGGUAAUCACUUUAACUAUAAAAAAGCCUUGGCAAGAAAAGAGAUAUAAUUUAUUAAAACAUCACCUCUCGAAAGGGUACAUCCAACGAUAUUGUACUGGCCCUCCGACCUUGGCUUUAUAUGCCAAAUGAACAAGUAGAUGCUCCAUUGAAUCAAAGAAAGAUGGUGGAAAAAUCAUCUCAAGAUUGCAUAAUAUUUCAGCAAUAAAUAGCUCAAGCUUCUCUAACUCAGCUAACUUAUACACCUUAGAGCAUAUGUCUCGAAAGAAUUUGCACAAAGCAUUUAUUGGUUCCCAUAUAGAGUUUGGUAAGAAAUCACGAAAGGCCAAUGGCAAGAAUCUCUGCAUGAGAACAUGGCAAUCAUGGCUCUUUAGCCCAAUUAUUUUGCAAUUGUCAAGGUUAAUACAAUGAGAGAUAUUUGAAGCAUAACCGUCUGGAACUUUCAACGAUUUAAGCCACUUGCAAACUUGCUUGACUUCUUCGCUUUUUAAAGAAUAUUUAGCUUUUGGCAAUUUAAAUUUCCCAUUACCACUCUCUUCAGGAUGUAAUUCAAAUCUUAUACCAAGCUCUUGCAAAUCUAAACGAGCUUUAAGGUGGUCUUUUGAUUUUCUAGUAAUGUUCAUCACAGUGUAAAAUAAAUUAUCAAAAAUAUUUUUCUCAAUAUGCAUCACGUCUAAGAAAUGUCUUAUUAGAAGCAAACUCCAAUAAGGCAAUUCAAAGAAGAUACUUUUCUUUGUCUAGUUAUGCUCGAUUCCAAACCCAGGAGUCUUAUCGGUACUAUUGUUUUUAUCCUUUCCAAAGAUGACCGAACUAAAUUGAGAUACAAAAUUUAACUCCUCAACACCUGUUAGUCGAGGCGGGGGAUUUCUCCGUUCGGUUUUAUUAUUGAACUUACUCUUCUCAGCUCGAUAUUUAUGAUUACGCUUCAACCAACGACGAUGGCAUCCAAAAUAACUCGGCUUCCUCCCAUGUUUAAGGUUAAAAGCUACACUUGGAUCCAUACAAGGACAUGACAAGGCCCCAUGUGUACUCCAACCCUUCAAUAUGCCUAGCGCAGGAAAGUCACUGAUUGUCCAUAUUACAGCUGCUUUCAUAUAAAAAUUUUGCUUUGAGAAAGCAUCAUAUGUAUCAACUCCAACAUCCCACAAAGUCUUUAGUUCUUCUAUAAGAGGUCGCAAAUACACAUCAAUCUCUCUUCCAGGUCCAUGUGGACCUGGAAUAAGCAGUGACAUAAACAUGUACUCCUCUUUCAUACACAUCCAAGGGGGGAGAUUGUAUGGAACAAGGAAAACUGGCCAUGUCGAAUGAGGUUUGCUAGAAUGCCCAAAAGGAUUAAAUCCAUCAGUAGCUAAGCCAAGUCUUAUACUACGAGCAUCUUCAGCAAAAGAUGGGUAAUUGAGGUCAAAAUAUUUCCAAGCCUCACUAUCAGCAGGGUGCCUUAGCUCACCUGGAAUAUCACAUCAUUUUUCUUUGUGCCACCUCAUAGGCUCGGCCGUUUUUGAUGACAAAUAAAGCCUUUGAAGCCUUGGUAUAAUUGGUAAAAAAACUUAAGACCUUCCUUGCUAUUGGUUUAUUCUUUUUCCCUUUAACACUGCCAUGGUUUUUAUACCUAGAUUCGUUACAAAUUGGGCAAGCAUCUAAAUCUGCAUAUUCUCCUCGAAACAAGAUACAAUCAUUAUUACAUGCAUGUAUUUUUUGUAGAGGUUGCCCAAGGUCCUUCAUUAAGGCCUUGCAGUGAUAAAAUGACUCGGGUAAUUUAUUCUUUUUAGGCAACAUUUCCUUGAAAGCUGAAAGAAAAGCAUCAAAUCCAGCAUUAGACAAACAAUACUUGGAUUUUAGGUGCAACAACAAAGUUACGGCUAAUAACUUGGUGUGAUUUUGACAACCAUCCCACAAGGGCUCGUCUGCAGCCUUUAGAAGGUCAUAGAACUUCUUUGAUUCGCUAUUAGGAUCCUCAUCAAAUUUAGGGCUAAUGCAGCUUGUAAUAUCCCUUAACAUGUCUUUAGGCCAAUUUGCAAUUCCCUCAUCAAUAUCGUCAUCUUAAUUCCCUACUUUCUUAAGUGACUCCCCAUGCUCCGUCCAUGUAGUGUAGUUUGGUACAAAUCCAUGCUUAUAAAGACACAUUUCUACAUCUUCACGUGAUUUAUAGUUUAUGAAAUCACACUUGGCACAAGGACACCGAAUCAUGCCAUCAUCUACGCACUCAGGAUUAGAAAAUGCAAAAUCAAGAAAUGUAUUGACCCCACUCAUAAAUUCAUGUAUAUGUUUAGACUUUUUCCCAACAUGCCUAUACAUCCAACUUCGAUCAUCCAUCUACCAUUUGUAAUUCAAAUAAUUGAAAAAUGUUCAUUUAUGGUGAUAAUUAACCCUUUUAUGAAAUAGAAAAGAAAAAAAAAACUGUACUGACUUUACAACUUAUUUUCUAGCACACUGUUCUUAACAUGGUCACAACUUAUAAUUAAAGAAAACAACAUAUACUACCUGAAUUCAAGAUAAUAUUGGUUAUGAGGUAGUAAAUCAAACAGAGAAAGCGUAAUCAGAGAAAGCAUAUUAGAUUUUCUAAUUAAUGUUCCUAAUUAGUUUUAUAUUAGAUUUUUUACAUGCUACACAGGAAUUGGGGCCAAAUUCGAACAGAGAAAGCAUAAUCAAAAUUCUAAAAUAAUUGGGGCCAAAUUGGAACAGAGAAAGUAAAGAGGGAGACAAUAAACACCCAAGGAAGAGAGGAUUUACCUUCAAAAUCACAAAGCUUAACUUGGAUCACAACUUUGGUACGUAGAAGAAAGGGAGAUGGUUUUAGUUACCGUCUAUGGAGAAGAUGGGAAGAGUUGUUUAGAGCCGCAGAGAGCACUGGGCAGAGGCCGUCGACUGAGAGGGAGUAGUCGACUGUCGACUUUGUCAAGAAAGAGGCAAGCAAGUAGCAACUGAAGCAAUCAAACAAAGAGUGAAGAAGGAGAACUGAAGAUAAGGGCUAGGGCAAAUGUCAAAUGUGAAAGUGAAAUCAGAAAUGGACCGCCGACUCGGUCACUUAGGAUUAUAGAUAGGAGUGAGAUAUAAUAAUAUUAUAAAAUUGUUUUUUUUAAGAAUUACGGUUCGGUUAUUCGGGUAUCCAAAUAACCAGUUUUUGAACACCGAAUCUGUAAUCGAAUACUAAAUAAUAAUUCGGAUAUAACUGAAAUUGUAAAAAAACCGAAAAACCGAAAUAAUUCGGUUAAAAAAUUUCGAUUCGGUUCGGUAAUUCGGUUUUAUUCGUUUUUUGCUCACUCCUAGUCACUGGACAUUUAAUUUUUGUUGGCUUGUUGUUGCUGACUUGCUGUAUUUUGGACAGUUAAUUAGGCUUGCAUUAUUAAGUCAUAAAUUUCAUGUUGGCUUGUUGUUGCUGCUGGACAAGUAAGUUAACAGUUGCUGCCUGCUGGGCAGUUAAUUUGCUAAAUAGUUAACAGGGAAUUUAUGUUGUAUGAUAUUUCGGUUAUUACCCGAAUAUCCGAAAUUACAAUUCGGUAUUCGGUAAUUCGGUUAUUUUCACAUUUCGAUUAGAAUUUUGGAUAGUGGAAUUGUCAUUAAUUCGGUUUUCGGUUAUAACCGAAUAGCUUAUUCGGUUCGGUUAUAACCGAAUGAUCACUCCUACUAAUAACUUGGUAUUUUGAAUCAAAUAUCGGCAUCGACACAUAAGGCUGUAAAAUGAGCAAACAGUUCGGGGUCGAUUCGUACUCGCUCGACUAAAAGUUCAAUUCGAGCUCGACUCUAAAUAUAAAUGAGUCAAAUAUGAGCAAAUUUUAAAGUUCUAUAAAUUACUCGAACCUCCUCAAAUUAUAAUUUUCUAUUGAUACUCGGAUCAUAUUCGUUCGAAAAGUUCAAACUGUUCAGGCUCGAUUCGGAAUCGUACUCGACUCGAUAGCUAAAUGAUCCUCAAUCAAACCUUAUAAUAUACUUGAUAAAAUUUGUGAACCAAAUCUGAUAGAAAUACAUUACGAAAAUUUAAAAAGAUUAUAAAAUGAGUUUUAGUUUUAGUUGGACCAGAUUAAGUAAUCUCAAGUACAUGAAAUUAAAAAUAAAAUAAAAUUAACAAAUUGAAAAAAACAACAACUAGUAGACUCGGGCGUAAAUUAACUUUUAAGGGUUUAAUACACUAUUUGUACGUUCCAAAUUUUAUAUUUGACUUUGUACCAUUGACAUUUAUUUUUUCGUGGGCAUAUAUUUUUAUUAUUAUUAGUUAUUGUCAAUUUUGGUGGAUAAAUUAUUUAAUGUUUGAAGACUAUUUGGGGGAUAUUAAAUAUAUCAUUACUCAUAAUGAUAUUAAAUAUAGUGGGUGCAGAUGAUAGUAAUGUUAUAAAAAAAUUUCAGGCUUCACAAAGAAGAAUAUAAGUUAUUGUAUUAAGCUUCAAUACUUUUUGUAAGAGUAAUAAUUGAUAUUAAAACAUCAUUUUUAUUAAUAAUAUUAUUUUAAAAUAAUAAAAGAGAGGAGACUUAAUUUGUAGCUUAAUCUAAAGAAAGUAUAUAAAUUUUUAAUAUUAUUUUAAUUUAUUUUACUUUUUUGAAUAACAAAUUUGUACUUAAUUACUAGUGGAUCAAUUAAUUCAUAUCUCACAAAUUUACUAAAAAUAAUAAUUAAAUGAUACUCUUUUUUUUGUAGAACAAAGGGUAUAUCAAAAGAUAAUUAAAUCAAAAGAAAUUUAAGCUAAUUAAAUUUAAUUAAAAGAUAAUUAAAAUUUAAACAAACAAAAAUAGACUAAUUUAGUGGCAUAUUCCACUCAUUUUGAAGAAAUGGCGGGAUCUCUGUUUCUAUCUUUAAUUUCAAGUACCAUUGUAUAAACUUCCCCAUCUUUUCCAUAGGCAGCAAACUGAAACCCUACAUCCAUCUUCUACCAAAAUUGUGAUCCCAGUUAAGGUUGUGAUUUCAAAGGUAAGUCCUCUCUUUGGGUGUUUAUUCUCUCCAUCUUUCCUUUCUCUGUUCUAAUUUGUCCCCAAUUCUUAUUUUAGAAUUGUGAUUAUGCUUUCUCUUUUCGAAUUUGGCCCCAAUUCCUGUUUUUAUAGAGAUGUUUUACGAACUGUUAUUGACAAUUUGAUUGUUCAUGUGUUUGUGGAGAUUUAAUAUAUAUAUAUAUAUAUAUAUAUAUAUAUAUGAUUUUGAUAGCGUAUUUACUAAUUUUAANNNNNNNNNNNNNNNNNNNNNNNNNNNNNNNNNNNNNNNNNNNNNNNNNNNNNNNNNNNNNNNNNNNNNNNNNNNNNNNNNNNNNNNNNNNNNNNNNNNNNNNNNNNNNNNNNNNNNNNNNNNNNNNNNNNNNNNNNNNNNNNNNNNNNNNNNNNNNNNNNNNNNNNNNNNNNNNNNNNNNNNNNNNNNNNNNNNNNNNNNNNNNNNNNNNNNNNNNNNNNNNNNNNNNNNNNNNNNNNNNNNNNNNNNNNNNNNNNNNNNNNNNNNNNNNNNNNNNNNNNNNNNNNNNNNNNNNNNNNNNNNNNNNNNNNNNNNNNNNNNNNNNNNNNNNNNNNNNNNNNNNNNNNNNNNNNNNNNNNNNNNNNNNNNNNNNNNNNNNNNNNNNNNNNNNNNNNNNNNNNNNNNNNNNNNNNNAUAUAUAUAUAUAUAUAUCCCUCGAUUUAUAUAUGUAUGUUAAUUAGGUACGUAUAUGUAUGCAUGAAUAUAUAUGAAACUUUGUUAGUUAAUUACUUUGGUUGAGAAUGGAUUGUAGUUUGUAAACAAAUCUAAUAUGAAACUGAUUAGGAAAAGACUUAAAUUGGAAUUCUUCUUUUGGUUGAAUGGAAGGGUUACUCAUUACUUCAUUAAUUUGACAUUAAUUUUGUAUUAUUUUGUUUAAUUAUGUUUUGGUUGGUUAUGUUUUUCAUUUAUUUUAUUCUAUUCCAAGUCAUUAAGAGCACAUGAUGUUUUAGGUAAAACACUGAUUCUACUGGACAGAUGAUUCAUGUACAAAACCAAAGUUAGUGCACACACCCUAUUAUUUAAUAUUCAAAACAUUGGGUUGCUGUUGGGGUGGGUCUGUAGGAGGGCAGGGGUGGAGUUGCAGGGGAGGCGAAUGGAAGAGGGCAAAAGUGCUGGAUGAAGGAGGGACGUUGGCAUGUUCUUGAAUGAUGGUAACCCAUUCUUUAUACAUUUUGAAUGAGAGUGGUUAAUUGCAAAAAAGCACUUGCAAUAGCUACAUUGAAAUUGGUUCCAUUUAUGAGGGACAAGAAAAGCAGCAGUGGGCAGUAAGGAACUGCUAUAACAGUUUUGGGUAUAUCAUUCUAGCUCUAGAAUCUAGUUUGAAGACUUAACCAUAGAGUUUUAGUUUUAGUUGGAGCUGUACAUUCUUUACCAUUAAUGAUUAGUGAUUCUAUUCAAAGUUACCAUGCUUUUUUAAGUUCUCACUUGGGUUUUUGUAAAUGGGUCAAGCUUUGCUUAUUGUGUGCAAGAAAAUCUGAUAUCGCUGUGAAAUCUAUAGUAAGAAAAUUAAAAAUGGUCACUUUGAUAUACUUGCACUUAAUUGAUGCCCACAAUUGUCGUCUUUAAUUGUACUAAUCCAUCAAAGGAGCAUGUCAAUAUUGUUCUAUUCAGCAGUACUAUGAUUUAAUUGAUGCCCUCAUAGUAUCCAUCAAAAGAACAUUUAAUCUUGAUGUAACCAGCAUGCCACGGAACCUGACAUGUGUAGCAAAAAAGCUUUUUACAGUUCAGACAUAUUAGAAAUGAUUGUUCCAUUGAAAUGAUUGUUUGGCAUAUUAGAGGAUCUAACAAGUGAUUACAGUCCAAAGUGGACGACAUUUAAUGCUGGCUACAUUGUCUUCAACUUUUACUUCGAUGUACUUGGUGAAGCAAUCCACACAAAAAGGAUGAAAACAUUCAUCAUUCUUCUUGAAAACAUUCAAUGCAUAUCUCACAAGUGAAAGUUGAACUCUCUUCUUCACCUGAUUUAUCCUCUUCUGUUUUCGCCAAACUCACCUCUUGUUUUUAGCUGUGUGUUCCCCAUUGUUUGUUCUGUUUCUGUUGCAAAAAAAUCAUCAGCUCAUGUGAGAAACAAUUAGAGAAAGUGGAAUUGUACAACAGAAACAUGCAUGAAGUUGUAUAUUAUUGCAAAAUAAAUGGCAACUCUUUCUACAAUUACAAAGAAAAUGCCAAACACAUUUUGAAUUUGCAGCUACAACUAUUACAUGUGUUAUACAAGAGAUGAGAAUACAUUUUGAACAUGCAUGUGUCAAUUUGUGAUCUACAACACAUUUUGAAAAUGCCUAACACAUUUUGAACAUGCAUGUGUUCUACAAUUACAUGAAUUAAUUUGCAUGUGUUGUACUUUGUGUUGUGCAUAUAGUAAUAGGUUCAAUUAAAUGUUGUGUCAAGUGAUAGUGCUAAUUUAUUUAUUUUUUGAUAAAAAAAUGUACAUGCUUGUGGUAUAAUUUCAAACUAGUUUUCCAAUGAGUCAUGAUUAAUUAUUGCUGAUUAAUAUGUUGGGUAUAUAAAUUGUUCUUUGUACGGUUGAAUGUUAUUGUCUUGACAGGUAAGAUGCUAAUUGAUUUUGGAGCUAGUAGAGUAGUGAAUAAUUUUGAAAUUGUAUUACAACAUCAUCUUGAAUAAUUUCUUUUAUUUAUCCUAUAUUUAAUUAUAAGUUUUUUUUCUUCUCCAGCUAUGGUGAGAACUAGAGGUGGGAGUAGUCUUUCCGGUAGGAGAUCAACUCUUCCUCAUAAUAGUGGCGAGACUGUUAACAUGAACAGAAUGAGAGAUGAGCCUAUUGUAUCUCAUGAUAGUGGUGAGAGUAUUGAUAGGGCUACACCGAAUACUACACAAGCCGAAAGGUUAUCUCGUAAGAAAAGGGGGCCAACUCUAGGGAUAAUAAAGCCUAAAACAGGCCAAACAAAGAUGCUUGUUAAUAUCAUUGGACAAAAGUAAGUUUUUACUAAUCUACUCGUGCUUGUCAAUAUGCAAGUUACAUACAAUCAAUUCUGGAUACGUUAAAGAUUCAUUUUCUGACACAUAAUAUAACGUCCGUUUUAACUAUAACAGGGUAAUCUAUGUAGCACAAUGUAAUCCAAAGAACAUAAAAGCAACUAAUCAUAUCAUGUUACUAUAAAAAGCAAUUAAUAGGGGUUCCAUUUAACAAGAUUUGAUUAAUCCUAUUGUGACAACUUUGUUUCUACUUUUCAUUAUUGUUGUACUAAUCAUAUCAUGCUAUGUUACCAUAUCUUGUAAUUAGCUUCCUUGAACCUGAAGCUCGAAGCAAGACUCACAUAUUAUUUCAAAAACGUUUUAAAGAAGCUCGAACCAAAUUCGAGCAAUGGCCAAAACAUGAAAUUGAACUUCUUUGGGGAGAAUAUUUGGUAUGUUUUAAUGAACACACAUUUUAAUUGUAGAAAAAAGUUUAUCAAAAAGUGUAUUAUUCAUUAUAUAUUAAUUAUUAUUUUUACUUGUGGAUGGUGUUAUAGAAAUAUUUUCGUUUCUCUUCAUCGAAGGAGGAGGGAAGGGGUCGAAUCAUAUGGGAGGAAAAUGCACGAAAAAGCUACCCAAACUAUUUAUGGAGAUGGAAAGAUGAUGCCAUUAAGAAGUUUGGCUCCAUUGAGGAAGCAAGGGAUAAAAAGCCUAAUUGGACAACUCUUGAUGUGUGGCAGGAGAUGUGUGAUUAUUGACUGAGUAAAGACUUUUUAGACUCUAGUGAGCUACAAAAAAAGAACAGAAACAUAACUACGUAUGUUCCUCACACAUCAGGCUCCAUAUCGUACGCCGUUAGGAGGGAACAAGAGGUAAAUUAUAAGUUGAUAAAAUCAAAUUAAUAAUAUGCGUAGUCGAUAAAUGCACAUGAUAAUGGUAAAAGAUUCAUAUCAUGAUGCUCUGUUUGGAGUUUUUAAGUGUUCAUGUGGUAUGUAUUGCUUAUUUUUAAUAUUAAUGUUUAUAAUUAAAAUAAUUAUUAUUUUGCUUGUUUUGUCUUAGAAACAAAGACUGCAUCGUCCGCCAACGCAAUAUGAGUUAUAUAAACAAACUCAUAUGAGGAAGGAGAAGGGUAGCGAGGAAAAAACGUGGGUUUGUGAUGAAGCAAAGAGGAAUUUGGUAUGAUUUUCUCUUGUAAAAUUAUAAACUUUGUUUACUCAUGCGAAAGUGAAGAUUGUUGUUCGUUCUUUUCAUAAUUAGUUAUGAGUAUUGUUAAUUAUAUAUACAUAUUUUAUGCAUUGUAUAGGAUGAUUAUGAGAGAAGACUCUUAGCCAAACAUGGUGAUACAGAUAAGCCCGUGAAUGAGUUAGAUGAUCCAAAUUUGGAGACAUGGCAGAAAACUGUUGGAGGCGUCAAAAAGGGUAGACUUGUUGGUCGACCAGGGGAAAAAUGGAGUUCUCGUCGUGGUUCGUAUUGUCCAUCUUUGGUUGCAGAUGAGAACUAUAUUAAAUUAAAGAAAAUGGAAAGCUACAUGACUUAUAUUCAUCAAUACACAAAAAAUAUGGCCGAAACACUUGCACUUGAUCCUCCUAUAGACUUUUGUGAUUUGUUUGCUUCAUCAAAUGCAUCAGCUGAUAUUCCAACGAAUAACUCAACCACGCAUGCUGAGAAUGACAACGGAGAUGAUGACGACUCUCAAGAAAACUUCAUGGAGAAUUCAGGAUGAUUUAGCUCUGCUUUACUUAUCAAUUUUAUUAGUUUAGGGUUCUUUGAUAGAUGUUGGGUUUGUUAAUUGUUUGAUGAACCUAUGACAUGUAGUUACCUAUUUAAGUAGUUGGUAAUGAAUUUAUUUUUAAUUAAAUGGAUCAGAUUUCUUCAUUUUAAUAAAUUUGUAUGAUUUUACGUUUCAAAUUUAUUGUAAUUUAUGUCAUUUAUAAAUUUGAAAUAUAAAAUUGGCAAUUAAAUAUAUUUUAAUAUAGGAAUUUGGUGAUGGCUUUACUAUCACCAAAACGUAUAAAAAGGUUACAAAAAUAGGAAUAAUUGUGAUUGCUUUAGCCAUCACAAGAGACUUAUGCCAUCACAAAAGAAUGUGAUUGUUUUGGCCAUCACAAAUAAUUGGUGAUUGUUUUGGCCAUCACAAAAAGAUGUGAUUGCUUUGGCCAUCACAAAUAAUUGGUGAUUGUUUUGACCAUCACACAAAGAUGUGAUUGCUUUAGCCAUCACAAAUAAUUGGUGAUUGUUUUUACCAUCACAAAAAGAUGUGAUUGCUUCGGCCAUCACAAAUAAUUGGUGAUUGUUUUGACCAUCACAAAAGAUGUGAUUGCUUUGACCAUCACAAAUAACUACUAUGCUAUCGAGAUUACUUUCGCCAUCACAAAUAACUUGUGUGAUUUCGUGAUGGUCAAACUAAUCACAAAAUACAUGUGCGCUAAUGUGACUGAUUUAGUCAUCACAAAAGGAUCGAAUGUUUUGGUGAUUGCCAAAACCAUCACGUAAAACCUUUCAUGAUGGACGUAUACAAAACGGCCAUCGUGAUGCUUAAAAUCAUCACGUAAACCUUUCGUGAUGGUUUUUUUAGUUUUUGUGAUGGAUUUUUGCCAUCACAAAUGACCAUUUUUUUAGUAGUGAUCGAAAGGACGUGGAAUUUAAUAUUGGAGAUCACGUGUUGUUACGUGUUGCUCCAUGGAAAGGAGUUACGAGAUUUGGAAAGAGAGAAGCUCAAUCCUCGAUUCAUUGACCCAUUUUUAAUCCUCGAGCGAGUAGGAACUAUGGCCUAUAGACUCGCCUUACCGCAAAGUAUGUCUCGUGUUCAUAACGUUUUUCACAUAUCUAUGUUACAUAAAUAUGUGAAAGACCCGAACCACAUUAUUGAAUUAGAACCAGACAAGAUAGAGGAAGAUUUAACAUAUGAAGAGUUACCUAUUAAAAUCUUGGAUAAGAAGGAUCAUAUUCUACGCUCCAAGGUUAUACCUCAAGUCAAAGUUUUAUAAGAGAAACCACGAUGUGGAGGAAAUGACCUGGGAGUUAGAAUCUGAGAUGAAGUCAAGAUAUCCUCGUCUCUUCGAUAUACCAGGUACGUACCCUAGUUUCGAGGAUGAAAUUUCAUAAGAAGGGGAGGUAGUAAGACCCCAACUUUUAUGAAUAAAGAAUAAUUUUCUCAAAAUAUAUUUUUGAAUAUUAUGGUGUGGAUUUGAUAUAAUGUUAUAGUUGUGGGUAUUAUUUACAAAUUUUGCAAAGUAAGCAAGUGGUUAUAUAAUAUUCGAUUGGUCGGGGAAUAUUCGUUUUAACAGGGAAUAUUCGUACGACGGUACAAUCAUUGGUGGACCCCACAAAGAAAGUAUUGUUGUAGUUAAAAAACGACAGAAUUAUCUUUUUAUAAAAAUAAUGGCGAAAGUGUUGCCGUUAAAACUGUUGAACUAACCGGUAAUAAAAGUACAGUAAUACGCGUGGUUGCAUAGUAGUACACAGUAUUGAUUAUUGAUGUUUACGUGAGAAGUCACUCAGUUAUACUCAAUUAUUACUAUAGUAAUUGUUGCAUCAUAUCUCUCAUAUUAUUGAUUCAAUUAUUGUCACAGUAUCAUCUGCAUAAUAUGUUAUAUUAUCAAAUCAAUAAUUGAGACGACAAAGUUAUUAAUAUUAUUAAAUUACAAUAUUGACAAUGUCUUGAAGUUCUGUCAAGGAGAGGUUAGAUAAUCUAAUUGCGCGCCAAUAGGGAGAAAUCCUCAUCGGAAAGCCCCCUCUUUCCUGGAAACUACCUGGUUGUUAAAUAUUAUGAGUUAUAAUAUUAAUGAUGAAUAAGUUUGUGUUGAUCAAAGAUGAAAUUAAUAGUUCCAUUGUAUGGAAAUUAUUAGUGUUAGUUGAAAAUCGACAUUUAUUUCGAUAAUAAUUGAUGUCUGGAGGUUUUAUUGACCAAUCGGGUAAUUAACCGGAUAAAUGAGCAAUUAAUUGCUAUUUAUUCACAUGCUUAUAACUAUGUGUUCACAUGUGUGUACUAUUGAUUCACAUGCAUGUACUGUUAGGGGAGUUGGUGCAAGAUUGAUAAUACUUGCAUGACUAAAUUAAAAAUUGAGGUAUAGAUGAAGGUACUAUACUAUACUUAAUUUUUUCACAUGUUUAGAACUAUUGAGUCACAAGAUUUACUAUUGAUUCACAUGAAUUACUAUUAGGGGAGGUGGUGCAAGUUUGAUAAUACUUGCAGGACUAAAUUAAAAAUAAAAAAAAAGAGGAAGGUAUUAUACUGUAAUAUUUUGAGCCCCAAAAUGUGCAAUUAUUGAAACUAUAUUUUCCUAUAAAUAGAAGCUCAUUCUUCCUUCAUUUCUUACCAAUUCACUAAAGCUAUAGAACAAUUAUUAUAGAGAGAAAUUAUAGAGAGAAAGAAGAAGAGAAGUAUGCUACCUCACUACUCCAGUAUCCAGUUUUCUUCUAAGGUAAGGGGUAUUAUUUCUUUCGUAUUCAUGAAGAGAGUUAUUUCUUUCAAUACUCGUAAGGGUUGUUAUUCCAUUCUUUAUUAUUCUGUUGGAAUAACCUGUAUAGGUGGAUUACCGAAUGCGGUGUGAAAUUCUUCUGUUAUUCCAUUCUUUAUUAUUAUGUUAGAAUAACCUGUCUGUGCAGAUUAUGCACGCCUGGUGAAUUCUUUUGUUAUUCCAUUCUUUAUUAUUUUGUCGGAAUAACCUGUCUGUGCGGACUACGCACGCCUGGUGAAUUCUUCUGUUAUUCCAUUUUUUAUUAUUCUGUUGGAAUAACCUGUCUGUGCGGUCUAUCGCAUGCCUAGUGAAUUCUUUUGUUAUUCCAUUCUUUAUUAUUUUGUUGGAAUAACCUGUCUGUGCGGUCUAUCGCAUGCAUGGUGAAUUCUUCUGUUAUUCCAUUCUUUAUUAUUCUGUUGGAAUAACCUGUCUAUGUGGAUUACCGCAUGCAUGGUGAAUGAUCCUUUGUAUUCAUUCCUUAUUAAAUUGUGGAAAUGAUAUGUCUACGUGGAUUACCGCAUGGCGGGCAAAAAUCCAUUUGCAAUUUUAUAUAUUCUAUUAUACUCAGUUGCUUAAAGUUUUGGCUUCUAUACUCCAUGAAAUUAGUAGAAUAUCCUGGAUAUUUGCGCUUCAUCCAAUAUCUUUUCAUGGACAUAUUCUUCUGAGCAUUCUUGAAUUUUACUCCACAAAGCAGUAUUAUGUUGACAAAUUGGAUGUUAUUAAUUUCUGGAUAAAUUAAAUUAUAAAUCUUUAAUAUUUAUCCUUGAACUUGUUUUAUUGAAUUAUUAUGUCAUUGUCAUCAUCCUCAUGCUUAUAUUGUGAUGAAAGUCAUCUUUGGCUUACGUGCAUAGAUGGAUUUGGUAUAAUUAUGACCAGGAAUUAUUCGGUAUAAUCAUGACUGUAAUGUGACGAAUGAUGUGGUGAAAGUCCUCAUUGGCCUGUAGUUCAUUGAUGGACAGUUGUUGGUAUGAUUAUGACCAGGGAUUAUUCGGUAUAAUUAUGACCAUUGAUGAUUACACGAGUAUCCUUGGCCAUAAUGCAUGGAUGAUUCGAUUUUAUUUAUUAAGCUGAGUCUCAGCGAUAAAGUUGAUGAAAAACUUUUUAAGUCAUAGAAGAUAGUAGAUUUUAUACUCUAUAAUUGACUCUUCUAAUGGAUUGCUUAUUCCGCUGUAGUUUUUUAUCUAAAACUUAUUGUCUAUUAUAUUCUUUCAGUUGUUAUACUGUUGAAGGCUAAGGAUAAUUUAUUUUGCAUUAUCUUAGUAAUAAUAUUUCUUACUGGGCUUGUUGAGCUCACCCUUUUCUUUCAUGGUUCUCUUCAAGAAAUGAGAACGUAGCUGGGACUAGUCGGGGAACAGAGUGACGGUCCAGAUGUUUGGAUUAGUAGUCCUCACUAUUCUGUGAAAUAGUGUGAUAAUAAAUGUAAUGAGGACUCCAUUGAGUGUGGAUAUUGUCUAGAUGACAAUAUUCUUAUUAAAACUCUUAGAUUAUGUUUUGUCGUAUUUUACACGACUGUUGUACAAUUAAGUUGUAUUUGAAUUUUGUACCAUGUAUCUGGCGACUCAAGAUGGCUGAUGUAUACCUAUUUUGGUGGCGUCACAUUAACCCUAUUGUUAUAUAUAUUAUAUCCGAUUAUUGUUUAUCAACAUAAUAUUAUACUAUAUAAUUCAGAUAUAUAUUCUGUUCAUUAAUUUCUAAAAAUGAUUAUACAAGUGUCUCCACCUGGAUAAUCAUUGUAUUUAAUCACAUGUUGAUAUAUAUAUAUAUAUAUAUAUAUAUAUAUAUAUAUAUAUAUAUAUACCUAUUGAACCCCAGUAUGUAUACAUUAAGUAAAAGUCGUCUAAGCUAUUCGACCAGCUAGACACAAAUUUAGUUAUAUCGUUUAAUAUGACAAAACUUUUUUGUAUCCAAUCAAAUUAUUUUGGUUCGGAUUCCAGACUAAGUAUGAACAUCCCGAACAUGAGAAAACUUUUAUGCGCCCAAGGCGGACAGAGUAAACGAUAAUAUCUUUCUUUCAUGCAGUAUUGAUCAAUACAGGGUCCAUGGGAUGUAUACCCUCGUGCCCGUAAGUUAUGACGGUUUGCAGAUGAAGUUCUGUUUAACCUUUUUGAAAAUAGAAAACAAUGUGUAUGUCACCCUAACCCUAUAUAUAGUCAAUACAUAGUUUCAAAAAUGUGAGAUAGAGUUGAUAUGUUAUUAUUAUCAGUUUAGUUUACUUCACAACUAUUGAAUCGUUGUAGAAGUAAUGUACAAAGAAAACAUUUAAUUCUUUCAGAUAAUUAUAUUUAUAAUUGUUAUUACUUGCUGGGCACUCAAAUGCUCAUCCUUGCUUAAUUUAAAUGUUUUCAGCUAAGCGUGAUCAACCUGAAGGUUUAGACAAUAAUAAGUGAAAAGGAAAGCAAACAGAAUAUGUUUAACGGUAUCUUUUGUAAUAGUUAAACUGUAUUAAGAUAAUGAUAUGUAUUAUCUAUCAUGUAAAGAAUUAUAGUAAAUGUUGCGUACUUGGGAUUAGACUAUGAUAUUUGUAAAUUAAGUUUGAUUUUUAUAUUAUUGUUAUUAUUAUUAUUAUUAUUAUUCUGCUCAUAAAAAUGGUAUCGUGAAGCACCGAGUUCGGGUUUCAAGUACCUAAAUUUGGGGGCGUCACAGUAUGGUAUUAGAGCUAUAGGUUAGAAACCUUAGGUGGGUUAAACCUUAGGCUAUAACCUUAGAACAGAGGGGAACGUUGAAAAUACAAAUAACUCAUAUAGAGUUUAUAAGGAGAUGAAUUUAAUAAAUUCAUCGUGAAACAAAAUAAAAGAUAACUAAUAAAACUAUUAUUUGCUAUGUGUUUAUACUUAGUGUUAAUCCGGAUAAUUUAUUUGUAUAGAUGUCAGAUAGAAAAAGAAUUAGAAUACCCUCAGAUCAUAAAGAAAGAGCAAAUCUCCAUGACCGAGCCAAUAUUAAAGCUAAUAGCUGAAAUAGAGGCACACAUUGAAAACUACCUCAAAGAGGAGGUUAUUUUGGAAAGUAUAAUACCAGAUCCAGAGACGAUAGUAUAACAGAUAGGUUGAGUGUAGUUAAAGAAUAUAUGGUGAAGCUUGAGUUCUUAAACUCAUUUAUUUGUGGUAAGUUCUUAAACUCAUAAUGUGUAGUAAGAAAAAGGGAAGUAUUUUAGAAUACCUCAUAUCAUUCUCGAAUUACUACUUCAUCUCCUCACCAGCUCUUGAACCCUUGACCUCUAGAAACUCAAUAAUCAAACGAGUACCAAAUGUCUACAAGGAGGACUAGUAUAGUUAUGUGUUAAUGGAUUAUUGAGGAUAAUAGAAUAUAUAGAAUGCUAAGCAAUUGAUCAUUAGUAAAGACGUAAGAAAUAGAUAGUGUUAGUAUUACUUGAAUAGGUAUGAUUCUAUGUGGUGUAAAUGAUAAGUAUGUCUGUGUAAGGAAAUAUUCUCAACUUUUGUAUAAGUUAUGGCUGCGAUUCCUGACUUGUGUGUUAUAAAGGAAUAGCGGAUGUUUAAAGCAGUAUGUGCUAUGGUAUGUCAAGUGAUAUGAAUAUGAGUCUAUGUUGGAUUAACGAAAUAAGUUGAUAUAAAGAUAGUAAUUAUUUAUCUGAACACUGGUUAAUACAGUAAACCGAAUUUUCAAAAUCUAAAAUUUUGAGUACAUGAUUAUUUGAAUAGAAAGUUUUGCGUUAUUUGAGAUGCAUGUACGAUAAGGCUUAGAAUGUAAGUUAAUAAGAAUAAUUUAUGAUAAUGCCAUCGAGAAGAAGAACCUGUCAAUAAAGCUAGAAGAUAACCAGACCCGCCAUAUAAUUUUGCGAAUGUGGACGCUCAAGCUAUGCAGAACGGAAUCCCAGCCGCGGGAAAUCGGCCAGAUAAUCGAUCGACAAACUUUAGAGACUUCAAGGCAAUCGUACUGCCAAGAUUUAGAAGAUCAACUGAUCCUGUUGACGCGUUUGUGAUAGUUAGGGUAACAUAGGGGCAAAAAGACAGCUUUUGCCACCUAUACGAUGAAAGGAGAUAGUUUUGAUAAUACCUGAAAUAAGCCAAGAGUGUGAUGGAAAGGAAAGUUUGUGUGUUGCAAAUGUGGACAGGAGGGAUAUAUCUCUCCUAACUCUCCCAAUCCAAAAGUGUAUAGUGGGUGUUUUAUUUGUGAGUUAAGGGAGCAUAAGGUGAAAGACUGUUUAAGAAAGAGAAGGGAGGCAAGGAAUGCGAAUACGAGGAGAGGCAGCAGGACAUUGACGACAACGAGACCAACUUCAACAAACAAACUGACGGAAUCAACCGCAAGAGUCAUCAACAUGACUGUUUAGGAUUCGGUAGCAGCCGGGGAUGCAACUCCAAGUAUUACUCGAACCAAUUUUAUUUUCUUAUAUAUGAUUUUCUUAUAUAUAUAGUAAAUUAUUUUAUAAAUUAUUUUGAAGGAGGAAUUUGAGUUCUUUUAGAAAUCAAAUUUCUGUUUAUGAAGAUAGAUAAGCUUUUUGCUGAAUAGUUAAAGAUCAGUUAGAUCAAUUAUGAUCGAGAUCUACUUGCAAUGAUUGUAUAGGUUAUGUACCCUUAUAUGUAUAGGUUUUAAAACGGUGAUUCCGGGGACGAAAUCUUUAUAAGGGAGGGUGAAUGUAAUAACCCGAUAUUUUCUAUAUAAUUAAAUCAGAAAUUUUGUGUAUGAAUUUAUUUAUUUAUUUAUUUAUUAAAGUUGGAAAUAUGUGCCAGGUAAUGUGUAUAUGUAUAUAUGUGAUAAAUAAAAUAUAUUUAUUGCAUGAAUAAUUACCAAUAGUUUUAUUUUAGAAUUAUUGCUCAUUAUAAAUUAUAUUAUAAUAAUAAUUAGUUUUAUAGUAGAAAUGUUUUUAUUAAUUCUAUUCUAUGAAAAUGUGUUUAUAUAUUAUUUAAAAAUUAUAUGAAAUGAUUAAAGACUUAUUAUAAUGAUUAUUCUGUUUUAUUAUAUGAAUUUUAGUUCAGAUUAUUUAAGUUAAUUAUUUUAACUUAAUUAUUAUUGUUAUGUAUGCAAGAUAAAUCAGAUAUGGAAUCCAAAUCCUAAUUUUGGAUUUUGAACAACGAAUGAGAAUAAUAAUAUAAUAUUAAUUAUAUUUUUAUUCUUCAGUGCUAUAAAUAUGUAUGUUAUGUUUGUAAGGUUAAUCUGGGGAGCAAUUUCCUUAUGACCUGAUAAAACCCUAAUUUGAAAGUCAAUUACGACUGUAAAAUCUGUUAAGUCAUUGUGAUAUGUGGUAUAUGAUUUGUAUUAUAAGUAUUAAUGUUAAUUAUAUAAAACCCUAAUUAGUAAUUUAAAACUCUAUUUUUCUUAUAUUAGAAACCCUAAACAGUAAUUAGCUAUCCGCUAAGUGGAAACCCUAAUUUAAAACUCAACUAUGAGUUUGAGACUAUUAUGUAACUGUGUUAUUAUGUUUAAGGUUAAGUAUUAUAGAAUUUUAUAUUAAUUAGAGAAACCCGAAUUAACAUUUAGAAAUCCUAAUUUCCAGAAACCCUAAUUUCUAAAUUAGUAAACCUAAUUUCUAAAUUAGUAACCCUAAUUUACUAAAAUAAAAUCCUAAUUGUUAAUUUAGCACGCUUAAUGAUAAUUAGUAAAAUCUAAACCUAAUUUUCAAGUCUAUGUAAUGAGGAAACCAAAUUAAUUACGAAACCUUAAUUUGUAUUUUUAGAAACUAAAAAUUUCAAUUUUUGUUUAAAUUAGAAAUCCUACAACACUUUGUGCUAAACCUUAUGGUCAAACCCUAAGGGUCAAACCCUAAGUGUUUGAUAAGUUACUAGUUUGCCCUUAAAUUGGUUAGCCAAAUGACAAAAAUACCCCUCUUGCAUUAUUGGACAUAACUUGUAAGACUAACCAAUUUUGAGUUGCUCAACAACUCUUACCAGCCCCAUUUGACUAAAAUGCCAGCAAUUAGCCAACUUGAUUUCAUGUUAUAUAUAGAGAGAUCAGGAAAGAGAAAUUUCAUUUAUUAGCCACAUUUGUACAAAAAACUCCUUACCAACUCUCUCUCUCCCAAAACCCACGAAAUGUUGUAGUAGAUCAGUCCCAUAUUAAAGCCCCACUAACACACUUAACCAAAUCAGCAGCCAGAAUCAAGAAUUGAUGUUUAAAGGUAUAAAAUCCUAAGUUAAAGUUUUGAUCUUGUAUGCUAUAUUGGAUUUAUGGUUUUUAUGUUUAAUCAUGUAGAAUAAGGUGUUAAUAGGUGAUCUGGGUUGGCACAUGUUAGAUCCAUAACAUCAAAGUGCUCGAAAUCUAAGUUUUUCAAAAUCUGGAAUUUUUUGUUUUUGUUGUCUGACAGCGAAUGUCAGGCCUUGUAGAUCUGUGCUUGUUUAUUGUUUUGAUGAUUUAAAGGUUUGAAGUGGUAGUUUGGUAUGAGGUCUUUCAUAUGAAAGUGGAAUCACUGUUAUUGGAUGUCUAGAUCGAAAGUUAUUGAUGGUCAAAAGUCGUUGACCAACCAUGACCGAGUGUAAAUCUGGGCAACCCAGAAAGCUUUUUCAGCGUCUGACAAUGUUUUGGAAGGCUUAGAUCUGUCAGUGUGUAAAUGAUUUGAUGAUGUUAUAAUAUACAGUUUAUAGCCUGUCAUAUGUACUUUAUAUUUGUGGCUUUAGAUCCUUUAAACAAACAAUUGAUCAAACUUAGUGGAUGGUCAAACUUGGCCCCUCGGUCACGAUUUCAUUUCUGGGAAUUUCCAGAAAAUCGGAAGAACAGCCCUCUGACAGGGUUUGACCAAGUUAUAUCUUGUAGAUCUGUUGAUGUUAAACUGAUUUGUUGUUAUAUUAUUGUUCCUGGACAUAAGGACUACAUCUUUGAGGCAUUAGAUCACUUGAAUCAUGAACGGAACCUAGAUUAAAUCGAGGAUGAAAGUGACUGGUCGACCACCUGGGUUUCUGGAAAACCCAGGAAUGCUCUGACAACAUAUUUGCAAGCCUAGAUCUCCUUGUGUGUUUGUUGUAUGACCUAGAUAUUGAUUGCUAGUUAUAGUGUUGUAUAAUGACUUCAAUAUUGAUGCUUAAGUUUGCCCAGAAACGAAUUAGACAGAGAAUUAUUAGUGGUCAAAGUUGACCCCUCAAACACAAAGCUAUAAGUGUUCUUGAGCUCAAGAACACCAACAGCGACGCUUACUGUCGCUAAAAGCCAAUAACGACGGUUUCUAAUACUUUUAAUUUCUGAUUUUUCGAAAAAUACUUAAAAAUAGAAAAUAAAUUAUAAAAAUUACAAAAAUGGUUUUAAAAAUUAUUUUCAAUUAUGAAAAAUAACUUUUAAUUAUUUGGGAUAUUUUUCAUUAAUAUUUAUAUAUUUUUUAAUAUUAAUAAUAUUUAAUUUAUUUAAUUAGUGUAUUAAAUAAACUAGAGAAAAAUGAUUUUAAUGUUAUAAAAAUCAAUUGAAAUAAGAAUAAAGUGUUUAAAAAUAUUUUUGAGUUAUAUAUGUAACUUUUAAUAUUUUUGUGAUGAAUUUCAUUAAUUAAUUAAUAUUGGUGAUAAUUAAGUAAUUUAAUAAAUGUAUUAAAUAAAUUAUGAAAAAUAGAAUUUGUGAUUUAAAAAUCAUAUAAAAGUGAUUUAAAGAUUAUAAAAAAAUAUUUAAAGUUAUAAAAUAUAACUUUUGAUAUUUUGUCAUGAAAAAUAUUAAUAAUUUAAUAUUAAUAAUAUUAGAUUUAUUUAAUGAUUAUAUUAAAUAAUUUAGUUUAAAAAUAAUUUUAUUAUUAUAAAAAUCAUUUUAAAUGAAAAUAAAGUGUUUAAAGAUAUUUUAAGUUAUAAAAUAUAACUUUUAAUAUUUAAAGGAUAAUUUCAUUAAUAAUUUAAUAUUAAUGAUAUUAAUUUAAGAUUUAUUGAUAUUAAAUUUAUUUAAUAAUUAUAUUAAAUAAAUAUUUUUAAAAUGGUUUUAUUAGUUUAAAAAUCAUUUAAAAGGAUAUAAUUGAAUUAAAAAUAUUUUAAGUUGGAAUUAAUGACGUUUAAUAUUUGGAUAAAUAGUAAAUUAAUAUUUUAAUAUUAAUGGUAAUUAUUUAAAAAUGAUUUUAAAUGUUUUAAAAAUCAUUUAAGGGUAGUAUUAGUACUUUAAAAAUAUUUUGAGUUAUUAUCAAUAACUUUAAUAUUUUGGUAAUGAUUAUAUUAAUAAUUUAAUAUUAAUUAAAUAUUAAUGAUAAUAUGAUUAUGUACUAUUUAAAUCAUUUAAUUAUGAUUCCAGUGUUUGAAAUUUCAUAAUAAAUUAUAAUAAAUGUUUAAAAAUUAUUAUAAGUCAUUUAAAAAUAAUAUGAUUGAUACUUGUAGAUAUUGAGAUACAAUAUAGAGUCUUAGACUCGAUAUUUACCCAAUAAAGCCGUCGGUAGACCGACAUAUUUUAAAAAUUGAUCUAGACUUAGAUAUUUGACUGUAUUAAUGUUUGUUUGUGAUUUAAUGAUUGUUGAAUAUGUGUGACAAUGUGAUUAGGUUAUGUCCUAACUGCAAUAAGAAGUGCUAUGUGUUAUAGUAUGUUAUUCUAAUCGAACAAAUGAUUUUAUUAAUGAUAGGUUUUGGUAUUAAAGAUAAAACUAAGUUGUGUAUUGUAAGUAGCAGACCAGACAAGUAUCCUAUCUUUGCAUUUUCAUUAUGCAAUGGACAUGAGUAAGAAGUUUAGAACUGUAUUACUACUGUAUCAGAUUAUUAACCCUAUUGUUAUAUAUGUUAUAUCCGAUUAUUGUUUAUCAACAUUGUGACGACCCCAAAAUAGUUAUACAACACCCAUUCUGAGUCGCCAUAAUACAUGGUACAGAAAGAAAACUACAACUUCACUAUUACAAUUGUCAUGCAAAAUACGACAACACAUACUGUGAGUUUAAAUACAAAUAUUGUCUUCUAGACAAUAUCCACAAUCAAAUAAGUCCUCAAUACAUUUAUUAAUACAUUAUUUUACAAAAAUAGUGAGGACUGCUAAAAUAACUAUCUUGAAUCAUCACUCCAUACCCCGGCUAGUCCCUGCUAUAUUCUCACCUCCUGAGAAGAAAAAUGGAACAACAAGAAAAAGGGUGAGUUCAACUAGCCCAGUAAAGAAUAUUAUGACUAAGAUAAUAUACAACAAAUUAUCAUUAGUCCUCAACAGGGAAAAAUCUGAUAGAAUAUAAUAGACAACAAGUUUUAGAUCAGCAAAUGCAGCGGAAACAACAAUCCAUUAGAAGAGUCACGUAGAGAAUGAGUUCUACUAUCUUCUAAGAUUUAAAAGUCCAUCAUCAAUAUUUUAUCCCUGUAACAACAAUCAAUAUACAUCUUUACACUACAGGCCAAAGAUAUUCAUUUAAAUCACCAGUCGGUCAUGUUCAUCUCAACACCUGUUCAUCUUUGCACUACGGGCCAAAGAUAUUCAUCAGUUUAUCAUUCAUCUUUGCACUACAGGCCAAAGAUAUUCAGUAAUAUCAUCAUUUAGGACUGAGGAUGAUGAAAAAUAUUUUUUUUUAAAGAAACGAAUCCAGUGAAACAAAAGGACAAGGAUUAAGAAUUCGUACUUUAGUUUGUCCAAAUUCAAAAAUACUCCAUAAUAAACAAUUAUGGGACAAAUUUUAAGAAUGAAGAUCAAAACAUGGAUAUAAUCAAAGCUAGUAUCAUAAUGGACAUUUUGGAUAAAAAGGAAAUUUUUUAUUUUUCGGUGAAUAAUGUCGUAUUCGUGAAUAGUGCUGUAUACGUGAAUAGUGCCGUAUACGUGAAUAGUAACCCCGACACAAAAAGUUCCAAAUUUGAUAAAAAGAUCAGAUCAAUAUUUCGACGUAAUGAUAUUGACGAAAAUAAUAUCAUUCAUGAAGAAAAUAAUAUUCCUUACCUCAAAGAAGCAGUACUUCGGAAUGAAAGGUCGGAAGUGAUGCUGAAUGAAACUUGUACUGAACAACAACUCUCAAAGUAUCUAAAUACUCACAAAAUACGCUCGAUAAUAUAGAGAGAAAGAGAGAAAGCUUAUGUUUCUUGUGUGAUUUUCAAUUCUAACUUAGCCAUCUAUUUAUAGAAAAAUGUUAACCCGCCGAAGCAGACUUGACCUGCUACCUGAUGGCUUUACCUGUUACUAUUGCCACCCACCACAUUUAAAAUUCAAUUUGAGCACAUUUCUCACCAACCACAAGUGGGGCCCAUUCAAUUCUAGAAUUUUCCACCAAAAUCAUUUAUAACCCUAAUUUCCGAAGCAGUCACCUCUUAAAAUUCAUAACAAAUCAUUCGUUCAUUUUUAACGGUUCAAAAUUUGUGGACAUAUACCCAACUUAUAUAUGUAUAACAUAACCAAAAAUCACAACAAUCCAACGGUCAGAGUAAAAAUUAUAACUCACGCAAUAUAUCGUAAAAAUACUGAUUUGAUUUUUAAUACCUCCAUUCCGACAAAAAUAUAGAUAAAACACCUCAACAUUAACUCCUUCAAUUAUAAUCACAUAAAAUAAACAAAUCCAUCAUUUAUAUAAAAUAAAUAUUUCCUUAUCAUAUAAAUCAAUAAUUAAUUAUUCACAAAUAAUAUUAUAGAAUCACAAUUAUGACAACCAAGCCGUUUCCAGGAAAGAGGGGGCUUUCCAAUAAGGAUUUCUCCUUACUGGCGCGCAAUUAGAUGACCUAACCUCUCCUUAACAGAACUUUCUAGACAUUGCCAAUAAUGCUAUCUAAUAAUAUUAUUAAAGCAAUAUGAAUUAUUGAUCUGAUAAUGGGAAAUACUGUGCAGUAACAAUAAUUGAAAUAAUAAUAAUAUAAAAUAUCAACGCAGCAAUUAUUGAAUCAAUAAAAUAAAAUAUUAAACAGUAACUACUGUAACAAUUAUUGAGUAGUGCCUUCUUACGUAAGAAUCAAUAAUUCAACUAUACUGUGUAAUACCGUGUGCUACUGUGCAACUACGCGUAUUACUGUAUUUUAACCACCAGGUAAUCCAACAGUGUUAACGGUAACAACUGCGCCGUUAUUUAUAAAAACACAUACUUGUCGUUUUCCUUCAUCCAACCAUUUUUCAUUAUGGGGCCCACAAAUGGCUGCGCCGUCGUACGAAUAUUCCCUGACAGCAAGAAUAUUCCACGACGAAACGAAUAUUCCCCGACAACAAUGAAUAUUUUAUAACCACUUGCUUAUUUUGCAAAAUUUGCUUAUCUCAUCCAUAACCAAAAUAUUAUAUCAAAUUAACACCUUAUUAUUCACAAUAAUAAUAAUUAGAGGAAAUUCAAUUUCAUUUAUAAAAAGUUGGGGUCUUACAAACAUGAUAUUAUAUUAUAUAAUUCAGAUAUAUAUUCUGUUCGUUAAUUUCUAAAAAUGAUUUAAUCACAUGUUGAUAUAUAUAUAUAUAUAUAUAUAUAUAUAUAUAUAUAUAUAUAUAUACCUAUUGAACCCCAGUAUGUAUACAUUAAGUAAAAGUCGUCUAAGCUAUUCAACUAGCUAGACACAGAUUUAGAUAUAUCAUUGAAUAUGAUAAAACUUUUUUGUAUCCAAUCAAAUUGUUUUGGUUCGGAUUCCAGACUAAGUAUGAACAUCCAGAACAUGGGAAAACUUUUAUGCACCUAAGACGGACAGAGUGAAUGAUAAUAUCGUUCUUGCAUGCAGUAUUGAUCAAUACAGGGUCCUUGGGAUGUACACCCUCGUGCCCAUAAGUUAUGACGGUUUGCAAAUGAAGUUCUACUUUACCUUUUUGAAAAUAGAAAAUAAUGUUCAUAAUAUGUCACCCUAACCCUAUAUAUAGUCAAUACGUAGUUUCAAAAAUGUGAGAUAGAGUUGUUAUGUUAUUAUUAUCGGUUUAGUUUACUUCACAACUAUUGAAUCGUUGUAGAAGUAAUGUACAAAGAAAACAUUUAAUUCUUUCAGAUAAUUAUAUUUAUAAUUGUUAUUACUUGCUGGGCACUCAAAUGCUCAUCCUUGCUUAAUUUAAAUGUUUUCAGCUAAGCGUGAUCAAUCUGAAGGUUUAGACAAUAAUAAGUGAAAAGGAAAGCAAACAGAAUAUGUUUAACGGUAUCUUUUGUAAUAGUUAAACUGUAUUAAGAUAAUGAUAUGUAUUAUCUAUCAUGUAAAGAAUUAUAGUAAAUGUUGCGUACUUGGGAUUAGACUAUGAUAUUUGUAAAUUAAGUUUGAUUUUUAUAUUAUUGUUAUUAUUAUUAUUAUUAUUAUUCUGCUCAUAAAAAUGGUAUCGUGAAGCACCGAGUUCGGGUUUCAAGUACCUAAAUUUGGGGGCGUCACAAAUAUGGCUCAGUUAUUGGAGCGCGAUAAUGAGUCAACCCAACCAAGAGAGAGUAGCCGACAAAAUGAUAAUACCAGUGGUAGCAGUCAUCGAAGCGGUGUCAACAAACGUGGAGGGAAUCAACAUGCUAGAAAUGGUAACCACUUCGGUAGUAAUCAUGGCGAAGAUAAUAAAAAUGGAAAUUUCAAGAAGAGGAGAAUCAACAAUGAUGGAAAGACGUCAGCACCAGAACCCGUUGGUAAGGAAGGAGAACGACCAGCGAUCGUAUGCUACAAAUGCGGAGGGGAGGGAUACAUCAGUCCAAACUGUGCGCAGCCGUCCAAAAUGUAUUAUAAUUAUGGAAGAGAAGGUCACCUAGCUCGAUUUUGUCUUGCAAGGAAGCCAAGUCAAGCUGGGAUGGAGGCACCAAAGGUCAUCCCAGAAAAGUCAAAACCAGUAGUUCAAGGGAGAGCGUUUUUCGUGACCUCCCAGAAAGCAAGGAACCUGAACGAGGUUAUCAUGGGUAAGCUAAUCAUAAACUCUAGCGAAGUAUAUACCUUAUUUGAUAACGGUUCUACCCAUUCUUUUAUUUUACUAUUGGCACUCAACGUUUAAAUUUAACUCUGGAGAAAUUAGACUUUGACUUAUCUGUUAAAACUCCGUUGGGAGAAACCUUCAUUACAUCCACUGUUUAUAAGUCUUGUUUAGUUCAAAUCGGUACCCUCACAUUACCUGUCGAUCUUAUUUCUUUAAAAAUACUUGCAUUUGAUGUGAUUUUAGGGAUUGAUUGGUUAACUACUCAUCAUGCAAAAAUUGAUUGUUUUCGUAAGGUUGUUAGCUUUCAUAUUCCUAACCAACCUAUUAUGCGAAUUCAAGCAACCAAACCACUAAAGUCAAUCACUGUCAUAUCAAGCCAUAAAGCUAUUCAUUUAUUGAAAAAUAGAUGUCAAGCUUUCUUAGCCCAUGUCACAAAUUUAAACAAAAAUACGUCAUAUUUGAAUGAUAUUUCUAUUGUUAAUAAAUUUCCAGAUGUAUUCCCUGAAGAACUUCCUGGCCUACCCCCAGAGCGUAAAAUUGAGUUUGUAUUGACCUCGAACUCGGUAAAAGACCCAUUUCCAAAGCCCCAUAUCGAAUGGCUCCUAUUGAACUUCAGGAGUUAAAAACCCAACUGCAGGAGUUGUUAGACAUCUGUUUCAUUUUUCCUAGUACGUCUCCUUGGGGUUCUCCUGUUCUAUUCGCAAAGAAGAAAGAUGGGAGUAUGCGACUUUGUAUUGACUAUCGGGAGUUAAAUCAUGUCACUAUCAAAAAUAGGUACUCGUUGCCUCGCAUUGAUUACCUGUUUGACCAGUUGUAAGGAGCCAAAUUCUUUUCAAAGAUCGAUCUUCGUUCUGGAUAUCACCAGUUAAAGAUUAAAACUGAUGACAUCCGAAAGACUGCUUUCAGAACUCGGUACAGGCAUUAUAUAUGAAUUCCUAGUCAUGCAUGUCCGUUGGAUUGACUAAUGCUCCUGCUGCUUUCAUGGAUAUGAUGAACCGAGUAUUCAAGGAAUAUUUGGAUCAUUUUGUGGUCAUUUUUAUUGAUGACAUCCUCAUAUACUCCAAAAUCCGUGAAGAUCAUGAGCAACACUUGAGGUUUAUACUUCAAAAGUUUCGUGAAAACAAGCUUUAUGCCAAGUUGAAGAAAUGCGAGUUCUGGCUUAAGGAAGUGGCAUUCCUUGGGAACGUGAUAUCAAUUCACGGAAUAUCUGUUGACCCAUUGAAGAUUAAAGCAAUUCAGAGCUGGGAGCAACCUAAGUCAGUGACCGAAGUACGUAGCUUUCUGGGCUUAGCUGGUUAUUAUCGGAGAUUCAUGGAUGGAUUUUCUCGAAUUGCUACUCUAUUAACUCAGCUGACUCGAAAAGAUACAAAAUUCGGUUGGAGCGAGGAAUGUGAGAAAAGUUUUCAAGAACUCAAGAGAAGACUCAUUUCAGCACCUGUUCUGAUAAUACCAUCUGGCUCGUAGGGAUUUAUCAUCUACAAUGAUGCUUCAGGCAAAGGGUUAGGAUGUGUUCUCAUGCAACAUGGGAAAGUCAUAGCCUAUGCAUCAUGACAACUCAAAGAAUAUGAGAGGAAUUAUCCUACUCAUGAUCUAGAGUUGGCAGCUGUCGUUUUUGCGCUUAAGAUUCGGAGGCAUUACCUGUAUGGAGAGAAUGUGGAGAUCUAUACGGAUCAUAAAAGCCUCAAAUAUUUCUUCACUCAAAAGGAGCUCAACAUGCGACAACGACGUUGGCUUGAGCUAUUGAAAGACUACGAUCAUACCAUUUAAUACCAUCUUGGAAAAGCGAACGUAGUAGCUGACGCAUUGAGUAGAAGAUCAUAUGCGGGUACGAGUGCGAUAUUGUUAACGCAAAGACCCAUUUUGUAUGACUUACAAAGGAUGGAAAUAGAGUUAAAGACUCUAGGGACCCAAGUGAUGAUGGCAAAUAUACGAUUAGAACCGACUUUAAUCGAUAAAGUUAAAGCUGCUCAACUUACGGACCUGGAGCUGAUGCGUAGUAGGAAGAAAGUACAAGGUGCUAUCCUGGAAGCAAGAAUCGAUGAAGAAGGAAUACUAUGAGUCAACUCUAGACUUUGUGUUCCUAACGACCCUAAUUUAAAGUAUAAAAUCAUGAUGGAGGCGCACAACACACCGUUUGCAAUCCAUCCUGGGAGUACCAAAAUGUAUCGUGAUCUUCGACAUAUAUUUUGGUGAAGUAAUAUAAAGAGAGAGAUAACAGAGUUUAUCUCAAGAUGUUUAACUUGUCAACGUGUCAAGGCGGAGCAUCAAGUGACAAAAGGUCCAUUGCAACCACUUGAAAUUCUAGAAUGGAAGAGGGAGCACAUUACCAUAGAUUUUGUUAUUGGUCUUCCCAAGGUUUCUCAAGGCAUAGUUGCAAUUUGGGUCAUUGUUGAUAGAUUGACCAAGUCUGCUCAUUACUUACCUAUACGAGAAACCUAUACACUUGAACGUCUUGCUCGUAUAUACAUAAACGAGAUUGUAAGACUGCAUGGUAUACCAGUAUCCAUAGUUUCUGAUCGAGACCUAAGAUUACUUCACGAUUUUGGGUCAGUUUGCAGAAAGCUAUGGGCACGGAUUUGCGAUUCAGUUCUUUGAUGCCCCCAAAAUAGGUAUACAUCACCCAUUUUGAGUCGCCAGAUACAUGGUACAAAAUUCAAAUACAACUUAAUUAUACAACAGUCGUGUAAAUACGACAAAACAUAAUCUAAGAGUUUUAAUAAGAAUAUUGUCCAUCUAACAAUAUCCACAAUCAAUGGAGUCCUCAUUACAUUUAUAAUCACACUAUUUCACAGAAUAGUGAGGACUACUAAUACAAACAUCUGGACCGUCACUCUGUUCCCCGACUAGACCCAGCUACGUUCUCAUUUCCUGAAGAGAACCAUGAAAGAAAAGGGUGAGCUCAACUAGCCCAGUAAGAAAUAUUAUGACUAAGAUAAUGCAAAAUAAAUUAUCCUUAGCCUUCAACAGUAUAACAACUGAUAGAAUAUAAUAGACAACAAGUUUUAGAUCAAAAACUGCAGCGAAAUAAGCAAUCCAUUAGAAGAGUCAAGUAGAGCAUAAAAUCUACUAUCUUCUAUGAUUUAAAAAGUUUUUCAAAAUUUUUAUCGCUGAGACUCAGCUUAAUAUAUAUAUAUAUAUAAAAGCAAUAAACGCACCGGAUGUAGACUUACAGUGGACUGCCAAAGUAGACUUCUUGGACUGCAAAUGGAUGAACACUCGUCUCUCGCCGGACUAAAAGUAGCUAUAUACGAGCUAACUAGUGUUUAAAGAAAAGGAAACACUCAAAAGAUGUGUAUGCAGAGCUAAACGGACAGGGCUUCCUCGCCUUUUUCCCUCUCUUCCUUCUCUCAAAUGGCUGACCCCCCCUCUAUAUUUAUAGACGGAUGGCCGCAGGUCUACCUGCGGCUGGUCGUGGUGGGCCCGGGCAUCGCGGGUCUCGUCGUCUUGUAGUACGUGCACUUGCGCACGGUAAUGUCCAAUCGAACUUUCAGAACUUCAAUCCUAGCAUCCAAACGAAGCGUGUCUGUACUUCUUCGGACCGCUGGUGUCGAGAGUUACGUAAUGACAUGGAUUAGAGGUUGUACGAAGUCAGGAAGCGGGGUAUAUGCCCAUGGUCUUCAGGCUUCAAAUUCUAUCCAAAGUAUUGUCACAGGUAAUAGUCACUCGGGAUUGUCAUUCCUCGGUUAUUUGGGACAUUGUUGUAUGUAUGUAUGUCUGAAAGGUUGAGACGACGUGCCAUUUGUUGGACGAACAAGAUGAUGUUUGACUCUUUGCCGGAGUUAUCGCCUGGUUGAGCUGAAAGUAACCGUUGCUCAGGUUACAUCUGAGAUUGGACUACUUGUUGGUAUGCUGCUAUAUCAUCUUGUUACGAGAUGACGUUGGUGACUCCUCACCGGGUUUAUCGCCGGUUUAAGCGGAAAGCAGACGUUGAUCAGGGUUACAGCUAAGAUUGGACCGCCUAUUUGUAUGCCUCACUGUCAUCUGUGAUUGAAGCUGAUUGCAUGUGUUUGCAACAAGCAAUUCUGGAGUUAUCGCCGGAACUGCGAUGGCAUCACUUGGGGUUAUCACCAAGGAUGGGACUACUACUCCCAAUGUUGUCUCUGGGACUGGAACUGAACGUCGCGGUGUCAUCACCGAGACAGGACUGUCCUCUCCGGUGUUGUUGCCGGUCUUUUGAUCUGCACAUCUCGGGGUUAUCUCCGAGAUUGGAAAUGACGUGCCCGGUGUGUGUUCCGGGUUUGGAACCGAUGCUCCCGGUUUGUGUUCCGGUUUGGAGCGAAACUUCCGGUAGUAUCUGGACUUGUUGUGAGCUGUCUUUCAGGGUUAUCUCCAAAAGACGAAUCUACCCUCCUGCAAUGUUAGUAAUAGGAGUGCAGAAAAUUUCGAGUGUCUACAACACCUAGCAACCCAGAUCAUCACUAUAGACUAAAAACAACAUAUUCUAACACCCAAACAUAACAUUUAACAACAUAUCAAAGGUCAGAUUUUUAGGUUUAGUGUUAUACCUUCUUGCUCAAUUUCUUGAUUUUAUGUUACUGAUUUGUUAUGGGAUUUCGUGGGGCUUGAAAAUGGGACAAAAAUGCUAUAGAUUUUCGUUGGUUCUAGUGAGAGAAGCUCUUGGUUGAGUGUUGUGCAAUUUUUAGUGAACAAAUGCAUUUUCUCUAUCCUUAAAUCUAUUUAUAGACAAAUUAGAUACAUGAAUGGCUGAGCUAGAACUUGUUGUUGUCAAUUUAGUGUCACAUGGCUACUCUAGGGUUAGCCAACCACUCCAUCUAGACCUAUUUCUACAAGCAAGCUUCAAUAAUACAAUAGGGCACAAAAGUCUUUUGGCUAGCAAUUUUAAGGGCAUUUUUAUAACUUGUCAAACCCUUAGGGUUUAACCCUUAGGGUUUAGCACAUAACACAAAUGAUUUUUAGCAACUUAGGGUUUGAAUAAAAUAAAAUUAUUUUAGCUUCUAAAAUUUGAAAAUCAAGAUUUGUUAAUUAGAUUAAGUUAGUAAUUAUAUUAUACAUGAACAUUAGGGUUUAGUACCACUAAUCAUAAUUAACCUUGCCAAAAUAGCAAUUAGGGUUUAAGAUUUUAAUAAUUAGGAUUUCUAAAACUCAAUUAGGAUUUUCUAAUUAUCCAAUUAGGGUUCUGAACAUUAGGGUUUUAAUUUAAUAAUUAUGUUUACCAUAAUUAGCAAUUAAAGUCUAUUGUACGUGUUAUUAAUCACAGUAACAUAAUUUUUGACAGAUAAAAUUCUUCAGUUUAAGUUUUGAUUUAGGGUUUCUAAUAUCAGAAAUUCAAAUCUAAUUAGGGUUUGACAUUUAUAAUUAGGGUUCCCUAAUUGGCAUAUCAUUAUGUAACACAACAUAUAACACAGUUAUAUAACAGUCUCAAAUUUCCCAUUUAAAUUGAAAAACAGGGUCAAACCAAUUAAUGCUAGGGUUUGGUCAAUAUACACCAUAAUUGACCAACCAUCAACAGUACGUACAUACAGUACAUAUUUAUGGCACUGAGAAAUUAAAAUAUUAUAAUAUUAUAUAUUAUUCUCAUGCCUUGAUCAAAACCCAAAAUUAGAGUUUGGAUUCCGUAUCUGAUUUAUCUGCCAUAAAUAACCUUAUUAAUUAAGUUAAAAUAAUUAACUUAAUAAUCUGAACAAAAUUCAUAUAAUAAAAUAAUUAUUAUAAUUAUUCUAACAUCAUUUCAUAUAUUACUUAUAUUUUCAAGGAAAAUAAUUAAUAAAACAUUUCUAAUAUAAAAUUAACUGUUAUAAGAAUAUAAUUUAUAAUAAUUAAUAUUUCUAAAAUAAAUCAAUUUGUAAUAAUUAAUGUAAUAAAUUUUAUUUAUCACACAUAUAAUUAUACACAUAUUACCUUGGCACAUAUCACCCAUAUUUAUUUUAAUAAAUAAUAAAAAAAAAAUUUAUACGCAAAAUUUAUGAUUUAUUUAUAUAGAAAAUAUCGGGUUGUCACAUUCUUCACAUUCAUCAGAUUCGGGUGUGUAGCUUGAGCGGCUUUAACUUUAUCGAUUAAAGUCGAUUCUGCUCGUAUAUUCGUUAUCUUCACGUGGGUCCUUAGAGUCUUUAACUCUAUCUUCAUCAUUUGUAAGUUAUACGAAAUGGGUAUUUGUGUUAACAACAUCGCACUUGUAAACACAUACGAUCUUCUACUCAAGGCGUCAGCUACUACGUUCGCUUUUCUACGAUGAUAUUGAAUGGUAUAGUCGUAAUCUUCAAUAGCCCGAGCCAACGUCUUUGGCGCAUGUUACGUUCGUUUUAAGUGAAGAAAUAUUUGAGGGUUUUAAAAAUGGGUUUUGUACUGGGGUCAAUACAAAAUUUGAUUUCACGCUCUAGGGGUAGGCUAAGAAGUCUUCAGGAAUACGUCAGGAAACUUAUUAACGAUAGAAAUAUCAUUCAAAACUGUGACUCUCAUCCCAAGACUUGGAUAGCCCGUCAUAUUGAUACCUAUCAACUUGCCACCGUUAUUCACGGCGUCCCCUACGGAUAGUCUGGCUUCGGUGUAUUCCAAGACUUGGAAGUCAUCAGCGAAAGGCUUAGGUCUCUUUACUUAUGGCUUGAUAUGACAAUGAUUGGCUUUAGUGGUUUGGUUGCUUGAAUUCGCAUAACAGGUUGGUUAGGAAUAUGAAAGCUAACAACCUUACGAAAAGCAUGAUGAGUAGUUAACCAAUCGACUCCUAAAAUCACAUCAAAGGCAAGUAAUUUCAAAGAGAUAAGAUCGACAGGUAACGUGAAAGUGUCGAUUUGAAUUAAACAAGAUUUAUAAACAGUGGAUGUAAUUAACGAAGGUUUCUCCUAACAUAGUUUCAACCGAUAAGUCAAAGUCUAAUUUCUCCGGAGUUAAGUUCAAACAUUGAACACAACUAGGUGAAAUAAAAGAGUGAGUAGAACCGGUAUCUAACAAGGUAUAGACUUCGCAAGAGUUUAUGAUUAACUUACCCGUGAUAACUUUAUUCAGGUUUCUCGUCACGAAAAACGCUCUCUCUUAAACUACUGAUUUUGACUUGUCUGGGACAUCCCAGUUGGACUUAACUUUGCUGUAGAGUACAUUCCACCCUUAAUUGCUUCAUCACAUUCCUGAUCCAUGAUUCGAAUCAUUACUCUCUGAUCCAUAUCGAAUUGGGGUUAACCGCUCUGCACAGGGUAAUUUCGAAUUCGAUGUUGGAUUCUCCCAAUUGUUGUCCAAAAAGCAAAAUCCAUUUCAUCUAUUUUAGCCUUAUUGGAUCUGACGUCUUUUUCUACAAUAUCUACACGUCGUGCGACUUUUACCCAUGCAUCAUCUAUUCUCAUUCGUUCAGUUGUUUUUUCUUUCAUCAGAACUUUGAUCAUAGCAUUCUUAAAUUCCAGCUCUAAUAUCUUAUACUCUGCCAAAGAGUGCUUCUGUUCGAGCAUCGUACAUCGGGUAACACAAUUUUGAAUUGCUACAUCUCUUUGCUCCACGACCGCCUGUCGUUCUUCAGCCUGCUCUUCUAGCUCAUGAAUACAAUUUUGUAAUUCUAAAUUUCGAUCAUAAAAUUCUUCUAAUAAAUUCACCUCAGGUUCCUCUUCUUCCUCACUCUCAGCUGCUACCUCUGCAACUAGCUCGAGUGCAACUAUUAGUUCUUCACUCACCAUGUAGAUAUCUCUAAUUUCUUCUUCGUUUGACAUCACAUUAACCUGGUUAGUGAUUAAAGGUGUCUCAACGAUCUCAUUCACUGCAUUGUUAAUAUUUUUAGCCGCCAUUUUUAAAUACUGUCAUAAAACAAGGGUGAAUUAACAUAUCACAUAUUAUCAAUAUAUUAUGACCGACCAAUUAAAUACCAAAUAAACUUAGGUAGGUCAUACUAGCAAAGGAAUUCCCCGUCUCUCCCCUCCUAGUUCUUGUCUCACAUCUCAGCCAGGGAUCAUAUCCCUAAGCUUUGAUACCAACUGUGACGCCCCCAAAACAGGUAUUCAUCACCCAUCUUGAGUCGCCAAAUACAUAGUACAAAAUUUAAAUACAACUUAAUUAUACAACAGUCGUGUAAAAUACGACAAAACAUAAUUUAAGAGUUUUAAUAAGAAUAUUGUCAUCUAGACAAUAUCCACACUCAAUGGAGUCCUCAUUACAUUUACUGUCACACUAUUUAACAGAAUAGUGAGGACUACUAAUGCUAACAUCUGGACCGUCACUCUGUUCCCCGACUCGUCCCAGCUAUAUUCUCAUUUUCUGAAGAGAACAGUGAAAGAAAGGGUGAGCUCAACUAGCCCAGUAAGAAAUAUUAUGACUAAGAUAAUGCAAAAUAAAUUAUCAUUAGCCUUCAAUAGUAUAACAACUGAUAGAAUAUAAUAGACAACAAGUUUUAGAUCAAAAACUGCAGCGGAAUAAGCAAUCCAUUAGAAGAGUCAAGUAGAGCAUAAAAUCUACUAUCUUCUAUGAUUUAAAAAGUUUUUCAUCAUUUUUAUCGCUAAGACUCAACUUAAUAAAUAAAAUUGAAUCAUCCCUGCACCACAGCGAAGUUUAUUCAUGUAAUCAUCAAUGGUCAUGACUAUACCGAAUAAUCCCUAGUCAUAAUCAUACCAACAACUGUCCACCAAUGAAUUACAUGCCAAUGAUGACUUUUACCACAUCAUUCGUCACAUUACAGUCAUGAUUAUACCGAAUAAUCCCUGGUCAUAAUCAUACCAAGUCCAUCUAUGCACGUAAGUCAAAGAUGACUAUCAUCACAAUAUAAGCAUGAAGAUGAUAACAAUGACAUAAUAAUUCAAUAAAACAAGUUCAAGGAUAAAUUUUAAAGAUUUAUAAUUUAAUUUAUCCAGGAAUCAAUAACGUCUAAUUUGUCAACAUGAUACUGCUUUGUGGAGUAAAAUUCAAGAAUGCUCAGAAGAAUAUUUCUAUGAAAAGAUACUGGAUGAAGUGCAAAUAUCUAGGAUAUUCUACUAAUUUUAUGGAGUAUAGAAGCCAAAACUUUAACCAACUGAGUAUAAUAGAAUAUAUGAAGCUGUAAAUGGAUUUUCGCCCGCCAUGCGGUAAUCCAUGUAGACAGAUCAUUUCCACAUUUUAAUAAGGAAUGAAUACGAAGGAUCAUUCACCAUGCAUGCGAUAAUCCACAUAGACAUGUUAUUCCAACAGAAUAACAAAGUAUGGAAUAACAGAAGAAUUCACCAUGCAUGCGAUAGACCACACAGACAGGUUAUUCCAACAGAAUAAUAAAGAAUGAAAUACUAAAAGAAUUCACCAGGUGUGCGUAGUCCGCACAGACAGGUUAUUCCAGCAGAAUAAUAAAGAAUAGAAUAACAGAAGAAUUUACCAGGCGUGCUUAAUCCGCACAGACAAGUUAUUCCAACAGAAUAAUAAAGAAUGGAAUAACAGAAGAAUUCUCCAGGCGUGCGUAAUCUGCACAGACAGGUUAUUCAACCAGAAUAAUAAAGAAUGGAAUAAUAGAAGAAUUUUGCCACGCAUACGGUAAUCCGUGUAUACAGGUUAUUCCAACAGAAUAAUAAAGAAUAGAAUAACAGAAGAAUUUCACCACACAUACGGUAAUCCGCGUAUACAUGUUAUUCCAACAGAAUAAUAAAGAAUGGAAUAACAACCCUGACAAGUAUUGAAAGAAAUAACUCUCUUAAUAAAUACGAAAGAAAUAAUACCCCUUACCUUAGAAGAAAACUAGAAUAGUGAGGUAGCAGACUUCUCUUCUUCUUUCUCUCUAUAAUUUCUCUCUAUAAUAAUUUCUCUAUAGCUUUAGUGAAUUGGUGAACAAUAAUGAAGGAAUGAGCUUCUAUUUAUAGAAAAAUAUAGUUUCAACAAUUGCACAUUUUGGGGCUCAAAAAAUUACAGUAUAAUAUCUUCUUCUUUUUCUUCAUUUUUAAUUUAGUCCUGCAAGUAUUAUCAAACUUGCACCACCUCCUCUUGGAAGUCCUUGAAUCAAUCAGCUCGAAACAAUCCUUCUUGGACUCAAAUUCUAGUUAAAAUUACCUUUUCUACGCGUACCCAAGCCCCAGCUUGGGUAUUGCCUUGUAAAUAGUAAGCCCCGGCUUGCUAUGCUUCUGAUUUUGAACUCAGGACCCCAAGCCCCGGCUUGGGUAUAAAGCUUAAAAGAGCAAGCCCCGACUUGGGUGCAAGCUGCUAAUAGUUUUUUCUGCUGCAGUGUCCUCAGGUAAAAUGGCCAUAACUUUUGAUCCGGGAGGAGUUACGGGGCCUGCCACCUAUCAAAUCAAAGAUAUCGACGAGAUCUACAACUUUCAUUCUUUGAGAAUUGAGUAAUAACGAACGAAUGAAGGUAGAAAUUGGACUAGAAAUGACUGUUAUGCAAAUGGCCACCCAAAAUAGCGAAGUUAUUCAACAGUCUCCUGUGCUCCAUUGAUAUUCUCAACAUUCUCGGUUGUCAUUUUCAAAUACUGCCACAAAACAAGGGUUAAAUAACAUCACAUAUUAUCUCUAUACUCUGACCGACCAAUUAAAUACCAAAUAAACUUAGGUAGGUCAUACUAGUUCCCCGUCUCUCCCCACCUAGUUCUUAUCUUACAUUUUAGUCAUGGAUCAUAUCCCUAAGCUUUGAUACCAACUGUGACGCCCCCAAAAUAAGUAUACAUCACCUAUUCUGAGUCGCCAAAUACAUGAUAUAAAAUACAAAUACAAUCUUAAAUAUACAACAUAAGUUGUGAGUUUUAAUACAAACAUUGUCUUCUAGACAGUAUUAAAACUCAAAAUAAGUCAUCAAUACAUUUAUUAACACACUAUUUCACAGAAUAGUGAGGACUACUAAUGCUAUCCUCUGGACCAUUACUCCAUUCCCCGACUCGUCCCAGCUAUAUUCUCAUUUCCUGAAGAGAACAAUGAAAGAAAGGGUGAGCUCAACUAGCCCAAUAAGAAAUAUUAUGACUAAGAUAAUGCAGAAUAAAUUAUCAUUAGUCUUCAACAAUGUUAAACUGAUAAAAUACAAUAACUGCAGCGAAAUAAGUAAUCCAUUAAAAGAGUCAAGUAGAGAAUAAAAUCUACUAUCUUUUAUGAUUUAAAAGGAUUUUCAUCACUUUUAUCGCUGAGACUCAGUUUAAUAAAUAAUCCACAUCAUCGAAUCACCCCUGCACUACGGCCAAGGAUAUUCUUUAGUAUUACAACCAUAAAUAUCCAUGCACUACGGGCCAAGGACAUUCGUGUAUUCAUUAAUGGUCAUGAUCAUGCCAAAAACUGUCCAACAAUACACUACGGUCAAUGAGGACUUUUACCACAUCAUUUGUAACAUUACGGUCGUAAUUAUACUGAAUAAUCCCUGGUUAUAAUCAUACCAAGUCCAUCUAUACACUACAGGCCACAGAUGACUUUCAACAGAAUAUAAACAUGAGGACGAUGACAAUGAUAUAUGAAUUCAAUAAAACAAGUUCAAGAAUUUAUUUGUCCAGGAACCAAUAACGUCCAAAUUGUCAACAAGAUACUGUUUUGUGGGAUAAAAUUCAAGAAUGCUCAGAAGAAUAUUUUCAUAAAAAGAUAUUGGAUGAAGCGCAAAUAUCAAGGAUAUUCCACUAAUUUCAUGGAGUAUAGAAGUCAAAACUUUAACCAACUGAGUAUAAUAAAGAAUGAAAUAACAAAAGAAAUCACCAUGCACGUGGUACUUCGCAUAGACUGGUUAUUCCAACAGAAUAAUAAAUAACGGAACCAGGUUAGGCAAAAUUCGCACCGAUAGGAUGUUCCAACUGAAUAAUAAAGAAUGGAAUAACAACAGAAAUCACCAUGCAUACGGUACUUCGCAUAGACAGGUUAUUCCAACAGAAUACUAAAUAACAGAACCAGGUCCGGCGUAAAACGCACAGACAGGAUAUUCCAACACAAUAAUAAAGGCGGAACCAGGUCCGGCGUAAAAGUCACAGACAUGAUAUUCCAACAGAAUAAUAAAUACGGAACCAGGUCCGGCGUAAAACGCACAGACAGGAUAUUCCAACAGAAUAAUAAAGAAGAAAAUAACAGAAGAAUUUCAUCAAAUAUAGGGUAGCCCGCGUAUACAGGUUAUUCCAACAGAAUAAUAAAGAAUGGAAUAACAGAAGUUCUCUUCAUGAAUACAAAAGAAAUAAUACCCCUUACAGUUACAACAAAUAAUAUCCAUUACCGUAAAAGAAACUGGAUAUAGGAAAAUAAAGUUAGCAGACUUCUCUUCUUCUUUCUCUCUAUAAUUUUCUCUCUUUAAAGUUUCAGUGAAUUCGUAAGAAAUAAUGAAGGAAUGAACUUCUAUUUAUAGAAGAAUGGACUGCAUAGUAACUAAUUCAUGAACGGUCCAGAUUGAUUUACUUUUAAUCGAACGAUCCAUAAUUAAAGCAAAGUUUUUUAAAUAAAAUAUAAUAUAUUAUAUAUAUAACAUGUGCAAGAAAAGAAAAAUCACGGGUGGAAGACCCGUGAAUUCAUCUUACUCCCUCUGUCCAUUUUUUCAAACUUACAUAUAUAUAAUAUAAUAUAAUAUAAUAUACAUAAUAAUACUCCUCCCGUCCAUUUCAUCCAUACCCCCCCACCCAAGACUUUUCAUCACAUAUAUAAUAUAAAACAUAUAUAUAUAUAUAUAUAUAUAUAUAUAUAUAAUACUCCCACUAACUUUUCCUUCAACCAACCCGUGACAAACAUAACAUUUCACCCAAGACUUUCCUCCACAAAUGGGCCCCACCCGUGGCCCUCCUAAAAUAACUUCUAUCGAUUAUUUUGAAAACUGGAUAAAUAGGGAUCCAUAAAAUACGUCAAAAUUCACAACAAUUACUAUAACAAUAAUUGAACAAAACUGAGUAGUUCAACAGUAUUAACGGUAAAACUUCCGCCGUUACUUUCAAUAAAAUAUUUUUGUCGUUUUCUCAAUCCGACAAUAAUUCUGUUGUGGGGUCCACCAAUGAUUGUACCGUCGUACGGAUAUUCCCUGACAAAAAGAAUAUUUCCCGACCAAUCGAAUAUAAUAUGACAACUUGCAUACUUUGCAAAAUUUAUAAAUAUUACCCACAAUUAUAAUAUUAUAUCAAAUUAUUCCAUAAUAUUCAAAAAUGAUAUUUAUUGAAAAUUCAUUUUUAUUCAUAAAAGUUGGGGUCUUACAGUAGUUAAAUUCUUAUUUUUGACAUUUUUCAAAUAUUUCAUCCAUGCUUUUACAAUAGACAUCUUUCACUUUGAUGGCGUUUGACAUGCUUACAACAAGUAAUAGAAAUCAUUUUACAGUCAUUAUUUGCAUUAAUCAAGCAUGUUAGUCACAUAGUCAAGUCGUAGUUUCAAUGGUAAUGAAUAGAUUUCUUAUAUGUAAUACAUUUUUCAAAUAUCUCAUCCAUGCUUUUAUCAUCACCAUUUUUCUCUUUGAUGGGGUGUAGUAUGAUAAUAACAUGCAACCAUACAUAUGUAUAGUUACACCAUAUUAAGAACUUAGUUACAUGAAGUUUUCAUGCUUUGCUUAGAGACUUCUAGCAUACAAGGUGCUUUUGUAACUUAUUUUAUGCCUUUGAAAAUAUUCACAACUUGGUUGAGUAAUUUAUAGUUCUUAUAACACUUUUUAGCUUUAUUCUUGUAUACAAAAGUGUAUCAUUCUUGAUUUUCCUCUCUUUCCCAAAAUAGUCCUAACAUGAUCUAUUUGGGGCAAUCAAGCUAGCUUCUCUUGACCAUUUGGGCUUAGUCAGGCUUGGGGUAGCCUAGAUUGGCCUUGCAGUCCCAAUUGGCCUCUAUCUAUGGCAUGAUUUUAUUAAUACCCUCUUCUAUUAAGGUUUACUCUCACCUAUAUCACCAUUUGAUUCUGUUAUUUAUAGGUGAGGAUUUCUUUGAACUGCUACAUGUUUGCUACUUACUUGAUUUUGUUUUCUUUCCGUUUGUAGCUAACUACUCACUAGUAGCAGCUCUCUACUUUAGAUACUAAAUUUACUAGCUUUUAAUCUCCCACUAAACUUUUGGGUCAGCAGCUAGGGGACACAACUCCCUAAUAAUAGAGCAUAUUGGUUAAUUAUCUUAAGCAAUAUAGUUGUAUUGUCUGAAGGUCUAAAGGACAAGUUCAUUACCCAGCUCAGCUACUGUUGCUAUUAGUUGUUAUUUUUCAGUAAUAGAUUGACAGUCUUCAAACUUACCAUGUUUCUUCUUUAAUAACUUUUGUCUAGAAAAUUUCUAUUGCACUAUGUGCACCUUUGAAUACUUGCUUAAAUAAGUAACAAUUACACUCUAUUUAAUUCUGCAGUUUGCAUUUCAAAUCCAAACUACGUUGCCUAUAGCAGUUUAUUGAGGAUGUUUAUUAUUGCCUUAUAGCAACAACCCCCCCUAUUUUGUAAAAUUUCCCAAAUCACAAUUUUAGAUUAACCUAGACUGCCCAAAACCAUUUUAGUAAUGGCUCAUAGCUACAGUUUUAAGCCAACUGUUGCUGCUCCUAGGUAGCAGCUACAUUUGAUUUUGUUUCAUGCCUUGAACUCUCCCUAAUUUUGGUUUACUUGCACUUUAUUUGAAAGUUAUAUAACUAACAUUUUCAACUAAUAGGGAAACUUUAAAUCAAUAGUGAAAUUAUAAUCUAUAUGAUCCAACAUGUUAGCUAAACUGACCCUAGCGAGUCCAGAACAAUGGUCUACAGUCUUCUUUUGUUUUUCUAUGCCAGCAACCAAGCUUGGCUUGGCCCUGUAAGGCUGAUCACCUAAGCUUGGUGUGGCCCUGCUUGGCCUCACGGUCCCUAAGUCAAAUCCAAAGUUGUUAUAGCAGCUGCUAUCUUGGCAACUGCUGCCAUCAAGGAAUAACAGCCCUGCCACUCUUCUUUAAUUCUUAUACUUGCAAACCCCAGAGGAAUGUUUAUACACUAACUUCAACCAUACAUCCUAGUUAGCUCUUAUAAAGUUAUAUUAAUUUGUUAAACAGACUGCCCAAAACUGCUUUAGCAGUCAUUCACUUGUCGACUGUCGCUGCUUGUUUCUAUAACCAGUAGGCAGCCGUCCCAAGUCUUAUGCCACUAAAAGCUUUUACCUCUUAGAUUGAUAUGAAAUCUUGGCAUGUUAUAGGUGAUUCAAAUUCUGAUUAUUUUUAGCUACCAACUAGACUAGGAGAAAAGCUUGCUAGUGCCACUAAAGGUUAAUAUUUCUGCUGCUGCGACAUGCUUUUUGCUGCUGCUUGCAGCUAAUUGCUGCUGCCAAUGGGCAGCUGCGCCCCUUACUUCAGGCCAUUUUUGGCUUCACAUCAAUUAGCCUAUUCACAACCCACUUUCAUUGAUCAAUAAAUGGUACACCUGCCUUCUAAGCUAACUUAGCAACUGUGGCCCAAAUGUACUAUAUGUAAAUCAAAAUGGUGUGCUAACCUUCCUGCUCGGCUCUGCAGAGCAGUGCAGCACAACGCUGGGCGUUUACUGCCAAUGCCUGCAGUAGCCUCAGCUAGCUUUGCCCAAGCUCAAACAUUUUUUUUUCUUAAAAUUUGUUUUUCUUUCCAUUAAUAUGUCAAAACAUAUUUCCUAAUCUUAUAUAAGACGUCCAUAUAUAACCCCAACUUUAAUUCCCUCUAGAAUUCUCUUUUUAGCCAAAACAGUCCACUUGGGACUUUUAACAAAUAUAUGGUGUGCACAGUUUUAAUUUACUCUUUCCAUAGCCAUUUACUUGUGUUAUAAUCUCAUGUUAGCCUCCUUAUUACUCCACAGCCACCUAUCUCCUUGUGCCUAAAUUACAUACAUCUAGCAUGCUAGUGAAUAACCUUUACAACAAUAAAAAAGUAAAAUAAAUGCUAUGUGACUUUACCAGGCCAUUCGGCCAUAACAGUCCAUCACAACUUGCACGAAAUAGUGUUAAACAAGAUAGUUUAUUACUUGAUAACUUUUCCUUAAAAGUUUGAUAUCACAACUUUUACAGAAGAUUACAAUUACCCAUGACAAGUAUAAUUUACUAACACAUCUACAUUACAACAUUAAUAAUACUAACAAUAUAGCAGCCCCUUCUUUUUUCUUUUCAGGCCAUUCGGCCACUGUAGAUUACUAGCAGCAAGAAACUAAAGUGGAAAAGGAUUGGAAAUCUUACCUUAUUGAUUCGAAGGAAACAAAGAAGUUAUACUGCCCAGCUUCUCCACCUACUCUUAGCCGAACUCUUCCACCCUCUCUCUAUAUGACCGAAUUGCUAUAGCUAUUUUGUCUCUACUAAGUGAUGAAGCUAAACUAGUUAAUAAGCUUGGCCCCUUUUUUAUGGCUGAGCUUGGUUCCUUCUACUGUUAACUGCAUCACCUCCUAGUUGGCCCCUACACAGUCAUCAUUCCUAACCUAGCUUCACAGCCACCCUAGCAGACUCUACUUACCUGCUAAGCCUUAUCUUCUGCAAGCUUAUCUAACAUAUUCUUUGUCUGUUAUACAAACUAACCUACCUGUUAACUAGAACCAACUUAGAAACCAUAUGCUUACAGCCUGACUAUGUACUCACGUUAUGCCACUGCUUUUCUUAUUUAGUCUGAAACAGUUAGCUUGUUAUACACCACUGGGUUUACAGGAUUGGUUUAGGUAGGAGUUUGAUAAAUACUUAAUUUGGGCUUAAACCAAUCCUCAAUGGUGGCUGCCGAAAUUGGGCUAGAAAAUGAGUUAGAAUUGGCUUUAUAUUAGACCCAAUACCAUAACCCUUAUUCCUACAUUAAUUAAAGGAGACUUGCAAACAUACAAUUGCAAAAAUUUAUUAUGGCCUAAUAUUUUAAUAUGGACUCUUGUUAAAUUAACACAUGGACUUUUAUAUAUUAUUUUCUCUAGCAACAAUAGUUAACACAUAUAUCAUUAAAAUGUCUAUUCCAUGUAAUCUUAAAUAAUUCAUGGUGGUACAAUAUUUCUUUAUCCUUCAUAAUUUAAGAUGUUUAAUAACCUAUUAAAUAAAUAAUAGUUUUGUCACAAUGAGAAAUAACAUAAUUAAAAUAAAAUAAAAAAUAUACUCACAAAUUGACAUUAUAAUAAUUAAAUAUUACAUAGGAUUUUUUGAGUCAUUACAUACGCGAUAACUCUGCCGUUCUGCAAAAGCACACAGCCUUGUCCUUUAUGCGAUGCAUCAUUGUAUACCACAAAAUUCCCUGUAUCAUCAGGCAAUGACAACACAGGUGUUGAACUCAACCUUUUCAUUAAUUCUUGAAAACUUUCCUCCCACUUCUCUGUCCAAACAAACUUAACCGUUUUCUAGUUAAAUUCGUCAACGGAGUUGCGAUCUUGAAAAAGUCUUGAAUGAAACGCCUAUAGUAACCCGCCAAUCCUAAGAAACUCCUUACUUCUGACGGUAUCUUCGGCUGAUCCCAGUUUAUUACAGCUUCAACCUUUGAUGGAUCUACCGAAAUUUCGUCCUUAUCAAUAACGUGUCCGAGAAACUGUACACGUUCCAACCAAAACUCACAUUUUGAAAAUUUUGCGUACAACUUUUCUUUUUUCAACGUCUCUAACGUCAAUCUCAAGUGUUCAACAUGUUCCUCUUUGGUCUUGGAAUAUACCAAUAUAUCAUCGAAUCAAAUCCAUGAUAUAUUGGUAUGAACAGGGUGUUUAUAUCAUUUGUCUAAGAAUGGUUUAAACACCUUGUUCAUCAAAUCCAUGAACGCUGCAGGUGCAUUGGUUAAACCAAAAGACAUAACCAGAAACUCAUAAUGACCAUACCGAGUUCUGAACGCUAUUUUUGGUACAUCCUCUGGCCUCACCUUUAACUGAUGAUAACCACUCCUCAAGUCUAUCUUUGAGAAAUAGCUUGUUCCCUUCAGUUGAUCGAACAUGUCAUCGAUUCUAGGUAAUGGAUACUUAUCUUUAAUCGUGAUCUUAUUCAAUUCUCGAUAGCAAUGCAGAGCCGUAUCGAUCCAUCUUUCUUCUUAACAAACAACAUCGGCGCUCCCCAUGGCGACACACUCAGUUGAAUAUACUUUUUGUCGAGUAAUUCUUGCAAUUAUACCAUCAACUCCUUCAUCUCUACUGGGGCCAUUCUAUAUGGUGCAUUAGAUAUCGGGGUCGUUCCUGGUAAUAAGUCAAUUACGAACUCGAUUUGUAGAUCCGGCGGAAGACUCGGCAAAUCGUCUGGAAAUACGUCUGCAAAAUCUCUUAUGAUUGGUAUCUCUUCUAACUUCGCACUCUUCUUUUGUGUAUCGACUAUGUAGGCUAAGUAUCCUACACAUUCUUGUCUCAACAACUUCUUGGCUUGCAUCACCGUUAGACAACUUGCUUGUCGAGGUGACUUGCUGCCGUAGAACACAACCUUUGAUGGAGUCAUAAGGUUAACACAUUUCCUUUCGCAAUCAAUUACUGCUCCGUAAUUGAAUAACCAAUCCAUUCCCAGUAUAACAUCAAACUCACAAAGUCUAAUUGGUAUCAAAUCUACCAUCAUCUCGUGACCUUUUAUAACCACCCUACAAUUCCUAUAUAUAAAUCUAACAGGAAUCACUUCCUUAUUCGCAAUCUCUAUGCUUAAGGGAAAUUCUAAUUCUUCCUGAGGCAAAUCUAAAUUUUGAGCAAAUUCAUUGGAUAUAAAUGAAUAAGUAGCACCCGAAUCAAAUAGUACAUAAGCAUUAAUACCAUUAAUCUAAAUGAUACCUGAGACCACAUCCUUAGACUAUAUAACAUCCUGCACGGUCAUAUUAAAAGUCCUCGCAGUAGGUCGACUUUGUGACGCCCCCAAAAUUAGGUAUACAUCACCCAUCUUGGGUCGCCACUUACAUGGUACAAAAUACAAAUACAACUUAAUUAUACAACAGUCGUGUAAGCUACGACAAAAUAUAAACAAUGAGUUUUAACUCGAAUAUUGUCAUCUAGACAUUAUUCAAACACAAAUAAGUCCUCAAUACAUUUAUUGUCACACUAUUUAACAAAAUAGUGAGGACUACUAAUGCUAUCAUCUGGACUGUCACUCCGUUCCCCGACUCGUCCCCGUUACGUUCUCAAUUCCUGAAGAGAAUAGUGAAAGAAAGGGUGAGCUCAACUAGCCCAACAAGAAAUAUUAUGACUAAGAUAAUGCAGAAUAAAUUAUCAUUAGUCUCCAACAAUGUUAAACUGAUAAAAUACAAUAGACAUCAAGUUUAACUGCAGCGGAACAAGCAAUCCAUUAAAAGAGUCAAGUAGAGAAUAAAACCUACUAUNNNNNNNNNNNNNNNNNNNNNNNNNNNNNNNNNNNNNNNNNNNNNNNNNNNNNNNNNNNNNNNNNNNNNNNNNNNNNNNNNNNNNNNNNNNNNNNNNNNNNNNNNNNNNNNNNNNNNNNNNNNNNNNNNNNNNNNNNNNNNNNNNNNNNNNNNNNNNNNNNNNNNNNNNNNNNNNNNNNNNNNNNNNNNNNNNNNNNNNNNNNNNNNNNNNNNNNNNNNNNNNNNNNNNNNNNNNNNNNNNNNNNNNNNNNNNNNNNNNNNNNNNNNNAAUAAUUAAAACGGAACCAGGUCCGGCGUAUAGCACAGACAGGAUAUUCCAACAGAAUAACUGAAUAAUUAAAACGGAACCAGGUCCGGCGUAGCACAGACAGGAUAUUCUAACAGAAUAACCGAAUAAUUAAAACGGAACCAGGUCCGGCGUAUAGCACAGACAGGAUAUUCCAACAAAAUAACUGAAUAAUUAAAACGGAACCAGGUCCGACGUAUAGCACAGACAGGAUAUUCCAACAGAAUAAUAAAGACAGAAUAAUAGAAGAAUGUCACCAAGUAUAGGGUUGCCCGCGUAUACAGGUUAUUCCAACAGAAUAAUAAAGAAAUGGAAUAACAGAAGUUCUCUUCUUGAAUACAAAAGAAUAAUAUUCCUUACCAGAAAAGAACUUAAUAUAAGAGUAGUUUCAGUAGCAGAAUACUUUUCUUCUUUCUCUCUUACAAUUUAUCUCUCUAGAGUUUCAAUGAAUUUGUAAGAAAAUAAUGAAGGAAUGAGCUUCUAUUUAUAGAAAAAUGGAAUGCAUAGUAACUAAUUCAUGAACGGUCCAGAUUGAUUUACUUUUAAUCGGACGGUCCAUAAAAUAUAUUAUAUAUAUAUAAUAUAUAUAUAUAUAUAUAAUAACAAUAAUACUCCCUCCGUAUAAACCAAAAAAAUAAUUUGACAACUUUGAAAAAAACUCCCAACCUUUCAAUUUUCAAUACCGUGGGCCCCACAUGUUCCCCUCCCCCCAACAUGUCAAUAUCACAAGGGUCUCAUUAUAUGUAAAUAACUUUCUAUCAAUAAUAUUGAAAAAUAGGUAAAUGGGGGUCUAAAUAAUACGCCAAAUUUACAACAACUACCUCAUAAAAAUCCCUUCAAUAUUUUUAACAAUAUUUAUCAUCUUUAUUACAAUUCACAAUAUUAAUCGACCAGGUCGUUCCCAGGAUAGAGGGGGCUUUCCAAUAAGGAUUUCUCUCUAUUGGCGCGCAAUUAGAUUAUCUAACCUCUCCUUGACAGAACUUCUAGACAUCGUUAAUAUUGCAAAUAAUAACAUUAAUAACUUUGUCGUCUCAAUUAUUGAUUUAAUAAUAUAAAGAAUAUCAACAAUAAUUGAAUCAAAUAACGUGAGAUACUAUGCAACAAUUACUAUAACAAUAAUUGAAUAAAACUGAAUGACUUCUCACGUAAGCAUAAAUAAUCAAUACCGUGUGCUACUAUGCAACCACGCGUAUUACUGUACUUUUACUACUGAGUAGUUCAACAGUAUCAACGGUAAAACUUCCGUCGUUAUUUUCAUAAAAAUAUUUUUGUCGUUUUCUCAAUCCGACAAUAAUUCUGUUGUGGGGUCCACUAAUGAUUGCGCCGUUGUACGAAUAUUUCCUGCUAAAACGAAUAUUCCCCAACCAAUCGAAUAUAAUAUAGCAACUUGCAUACUUUGCAAAACUUAUAAAUACUACCUUCAACUAUAACAUUAUAUUAAAUUUAUUGCAUAAUAUUCAAAAAUGAUAAUUAUAGAAAAUUUAUCUUUAUUCAAAAAGUUGGGGUCUUACAACCCCCCCUUCUUAAGAAAUUUCGCCCUCGAAAUUAGGGUACGUACCUGGUAUAUCGAAGAGGUAAGGAUACCUUGAUUUCAUUUUAGAUUCUAACUCCCAGGUCAUUUCCUCAACAUCGUGGUUUCUCCACAAAACUUUGACUUGAGGUAUAACCUUGGAGCGUAAAAUAUGUUCCUUGUUAUCCAAGAUUUGAACAGGAACCUCUUUAUACGUUAAAUCUUCCGCUAUUUCGUCUGGUUCUAGCUCAAUAAUGUGGUUCGGGUCUUCCACAUAUUUACGUAACAUGGAUAUGUGAAAAAUGUUAUGAACACCAGACAUACUAGGCGGUAAAGCGAGUCUAUAGGCCACAGUUCCUACUCGAUUGAGGAUUAAAAAUGGGCCAAUGAAUCGAGGAUUGAGCUUUCUUAUCUUUCCAAAUCUCGUAACACCUUUCCAUGGAGCAACAUGUAACAACACAUGAUCUCCAAUAUCGAAUUCCACGUCCUUUCGAUGAAGAUCAGCAUAACUCUUUUGUCGAUCUUGUGAGGUUUUUAUACGUUGUCGAAUCGUUUGAAUCUUUUCCGUAGUCAUACGUACCAACUCCGGUCCCAACAACGUUGCUUCACCCACCUCAUCCCAGCAUACUGGAGAACAACACUUUCUCCCAUACAACGCCUCAAAUGGAGCCAUGCCAAUACUUGCUUGAUAACUAUUGUUAUAGGAAAACUCCACCAAUGAUAAGAACUUAUCCCAACUUCCAUUGAAGUUAAGGACACAGAGUCUUAAUAAAUCUUCUAGAGUUUGAAUAGUCCUCUCUGAUUGUCCGUCCGUCUGAGGAUGAUAUGCUGAACUAAAUCGUAAAUCUGUGCCCAUAGCUUUUUGCAAACUAACCCAAAAUCAUGAAGUGAAUCUUGGGUCUCGAUCAGAAACUAUGGAUACUGGCAUACCAUGCAGUCUUACAAUCUCGUUUAUGUACAUACGAGCAAGACGUUCAAGUGUAUAAGUUUCUCGUAUAGGUAAGAAAUGAGCAGACUUGGUCAAUCUAUCAACAAUGACCCAAAUUGCAUCUAUGCCUUGAGAAACCUUGGGAAGACCAGUAACGAAAUCCAUGGUAAUGUGCUCCCACUUCCAUUCUGGAAUUUCAAGUGGUUGCAAUGGACCUUUUGGUACUUGAUGCUCCGCCUUGACUCGUUGACAAGUUAGACACCUUGAGAUAAACACCGCUAUCUCUCUCUUCAUAUUGCUCCACCAAAAUGUAUGUCGAAGAUCAUGAUACAUUUUGGUACUCCCAGGAUGGAUUGCAAACGGUGUGUUGUGCGCCUCCAUCAUGAUUUUAUACUUUAAAUCAGGGUCGUUAGGAACACAAAGUCUGGAGUUGACUCGAAGUAUUCCUUCUUCAUCGAUUCUUGCUUCCGACAUAACACCUUCUUGCACUUUCUUCCUCAUACGCAUCAGCUCCAGGUUUGUAGUUUGAGCAGCUUUAACUUUAUCAAUUAAAGUCGAUUAUACUCGUAUGUUCGCCAUCAUCACAUGGGUCCCUGGAGUCUUUAACUCCAUCUCCAUCCUUUGCAAGUCAUACAAAAUGGGCCUUUGUGUUGACAAUAUUGCACUCGUACCCACAUAUGAUCUUCUACUCAAUGCGUCAGCUACCACGUUCGUUUUUCUAGGAUGGUAUUGGAUGGUAUGAUCAUAAUCUUUCAACAGUUCAAGCCAACGUCGUUGUCGCAUGUUGAGUUCCUUUUGAGUGAAGAAAUAUUUAAGGCUUUUAUGAUCCGUAAAGAUCUCCACUUUCUCCCCAUACAAGUAAUGCCUCCAAAUCUUUAGUGCGAAGANNNNNNNNNNNNNNNNNNNNNNNNNNNNNNNNNNNNNNNNNNNNNNNNNNNNNNNNNNNNNNNNNNNNNNNNNNNNNNNNNNNNNNNNNNNNNNNNNNNNNNNNNNNNNNNNNNNNNNNNNNNNNNNNNNNNNNNNNNNNNNNNNNNNNNNNNNNNNNNNNNNNNNNNNNNNNNNNNNNNNNNNNNNNNNNNNNNNNNNNNNNNNNNNNNNNNNNNNNNNNNNNNNNNNNNNNNNNNNNNNNNNNNNNNNNNNNNNNNNNNNNNNNNNNNNNNNNNNNNNNNNNNNNNNNNNNNNNNNNNNNNNNNNNNNNNNNNNNNNNNNNNNNNNNNNNNNNNNNNNNNNNNNNNNNNNNNNNNNNNNNNNNNNNNNNNNNNNNNNNNNNNNNNNNNNNNNNNNNNNNNNNNNNNNNNNNNNNNNNNNNNNNNNNNNNNNNNNNNNNNNNNNNNNNNNNNNNNNNNNNNNNNNNNNNNNNNNNNNNNNNNNNNNNNNNNNNNNNNNNNNNNNNNNNNNNNNNNNNNNNNNNNNNNNNNNNNNNNNNNNNNNNNNNNNNNNNNNNNNNNNNNNNNNNNNNNNNNNNNNNNNNNNNNNNNNNNNNNNNNNNNNNNNNNNNNNNNNNNNNNNNNNNNNNNNNNNNNNNNNNNNNNNNNNNNNNNNNNNNNNNNNNNNNNNNNNNNNNNNNNNNNNNNNNNNNNNNNNNNNNNNNNUCAAAAUCCAAUUUCUCCGGAGUCAAAUUUAAACGUUGAGCGCAAGUAGGAGAAAUGAAAGAGUGGGUAGAACCAGUAUCAAAUAAAGUAUAAACUUCGCUAGAGUUUAUGAUAAGCUUACCCGUGAUGACCUCGUUCGGGUUCUUUACUUUUUGGGAGGUUACAACAAAUGCUCUUCCUUGCACUACCGACUUUGACUUUUCUGGGAUGGCCUUUGGUGACUCUAUCCUAACUGAACUUGUCUUCGGUGCACGACAAAAUCGAGCCAGGUGACCUUCUCUUCCACAGUUGUAACAUGCUUUGGAUGGCAUCGCACAGUUGGGACUGAUGUGUCCCUCUCCUCCACACUUGAAACAUAUGAUAGGUGGUCGUUCCCCUUCCUUAACGACAGGUGCUGAUGUUGACGUCUUUCCAUCAUUGUUGAAUCUCCUCUUUUUGAAAUGUCCAUUUUUAUUGUUUUGGCCAUGAUUACCACCGAAGUGGUUACCAUUUCUGGCCUUUUGAUUUCCUCCACGCUUGUUGUCACCGCUUUGAUGACUGUUCUCACUGGUAUUAUCAUUUUAUUGGCUGCUCUCUUUUGGUUGGCUUAACUCGUUAUCACGCUCCAAUAACUGAGCCCUAUUAACAACAUCCGAAUACAAACACAGUUUAUGAGAGAUAAGAUAUUGACGUAUCUCAGGUUUCAAACCUCUUAAAAACAUUCGCGUCAUUCUCUCCUCAUUAUCAACCAAAUGGGACGCAAACUGGGACAACUCGGCAAACUUGGCUUUGUACUGCGAUACUGUCAUGUUGUUUUGUUCCAGCCUGAUGAACUCUACCUCUUUCAUGUGACGAAUACUUUUGGGAAAGUACUUGUCGUUGAACAAUUCUUUGAACUUCUCCCAAGUCAUCUUCAGUGCGGCAGGUUGAGUACGCUUUACAGAUUCCCACCAGUAAUCUGCCUCUCCUCGCAACAUGAAGGUGGCAAAGGAAAUCUUUUGUUCCUCGGAGCAUCCCAAGACAUCAAAUAUCUUGGUAAUCUACUUUAUCCAUGUCUCCGCCUUAAGUGGUUUUGGUUCUCCAAUAAACUUCGGUGGUCCCAGCUCCUUGAACUGUUUGGCGGUGACCAUCCGAGAGUUGCUAGUGUUUUCACCUGCAUUUUGGACAGGAGCCGCUCCUGCCUGAUGUUGUAUGAAUUGCAUGAAUCCUCGAAACAUUUUGUUGUUCAAUAUUUGGUCAGUGUUGUUGUUUGCAUGAGGAUUUUUGCCUUCCUGAUGCACAUUGUCCUGAUUGUUGAUCUGUGGAGACUCAACGGUCUCCUGUGCUCCAUUGAUGUUCUCAACGUUCUCGGAUGCCAUUUUCAAAUACUGCCACAAAACAAGAGUUAAUUAACACAUCACAUAUUAUCCCUAUACUCUAACCAACCAAUUAAAUAACAAAUAAACUUAGGUAGGUCAUACUAGCGAAGGAAUUCCCCGUCUCUCCCCUCCUAGUUCUUAUCUCACAUCUUAGCCAGGGAUCAUAUCCCUAACCUCUGAUACCAACUGUGACGCCCCCAAUAUUAGGUAUACAUCACCCAUCUUGGGUAGCCACUUAUAUGGUACAAAAUACAAAUACAACUUAAUUAUACAACAGUCGUGUAAGAUACGACAAAAUAUAAACAAUGAGUUUUAACUCGAAUAUUGUCAUCUAGACAGUAUUCAAACACAAAUAAGUCCUCAAUACAUUUAUUGUCACACUAUCUAACAGAAUAGUGAGGACUACUAAUGCUAUCAUCUGGACUGUCACUCCAUUCCCCGACUCAUCCCCGCUACGUUCUCAAUUCCUGAAGAGAACAGUGAAAGAAAGGGUGAGCUCGACUAGCCCAGUAAGAAAUAUUAUGACUGAGAUAAUGCAGAAUAAAUUAUCAUUAGUCUCCAACAAUGUUAAACUGAUAAAAUACAAUAGACAUCAAGUUUAACUGCAGCGGAACAAGCAAUCCAUUAAAAGAGUCAAGUAGAGAAUAAAAUCUACUAUCUUUUAUGAUUUAAAAGGUUUUUCAUCACUUUUAUCGCUGGGACUCAGCUUAAUAAAUAAUCCACAUCAUCGAAUCACCCCUGCACUACGGCCAAGGAUAUUCUUUAGUAUCACGACCACAAUUAUCCAUGCACUACGGGCCAAGAAUAUUUGUGUAUUCAUUAAUGGUCAUGAUCAUGCCAACAACUGUCCAUCAAUGCACUACGGGCCAAUGAGGACUUUUUCCACAUCAUUUGUAACAUUACGGUCAUGAUUACACCGAAUAAUCCCUGGUCAUAAUCAUACCAAGUCCAUCUAUGCACUACAGGCCACAGAUGACUUUCAACAAAAUAAUAACAUGAGGAUGAUGACAAUGAUAUAAGAAUUCAAUAAAAUAACUUUCAAGAAUUAAUUUGUCCAGGAAUCAAUAACGUCCAAAUUGUCAAUAAGAUAUUGUUUUGUGGUGUAAAUUAUUCAAGAAUGCUCAGAAGAAUAUUUUCAUGAAAAGAUAUUGGAUGAAGUGCAAAUAUCAAGGAUAUUCCAUUAAUUUCAUGGAGUAUAAAAGUCAAAAUUUUAACCAACUGAGUAUAAUAACGAAUGGAAUAACAAAAGAAAUCACCACGCAUGCGGUACUUCGCAUAGACAGGUUAUUCCAACAGAAUAAUAAUAACGGAACUAGGUCAGGUGAGAUUCACACCGACAGGAUGUUCCAACAGAAUAAUAAAUAAUUAAAACGGAACCAGGUUCGGCGUUUAGCACAGACAGGAUAUUCCAACAGAAUAACUGAAUAAUUAAAACGGAACCAGGUCUAGCGUAUAGCACAGACAGGAUAUUCCAAAAAAAUAACUAAAUAAUUAAAACGGAACCAGGUCCGGCGUAUAGCACAAACAGGAUAUUCAAACAAAAUAAUAAAGACAGAAAAAUUGAAGAAUGUCACCAAGUAUAGGGUUGCCCGCGUAUACAGGUUAUUCCAACAGAAUAAUAAAGAAAUGGAAUAACAGAAGUUCUCUUUUUGAAUACAAAAGAAUAAUAUUCCUUACCGUAAAAGAACUUAAUAUAAGAGUAGUUUCAGUAGUAGAAUAAUUUUCUUCUUUCUCUCUUACAGUUUAUCUCUCUAGAGUUUCAAUGAAUUCGUAAGAAAAUAAUGAAGGAAUGAGCUUCUAUUUAUAGAAAAAUGGAAUGCAUAGUAACUAACUGAUGAACGGUCCAGAUUGAUUUACUUUUAAUCGGACGGUCCAUAUUUAAAGUAAAAUCUUUUAAAUAAAAUAUAUUAUAUAUAUAUAUAUAUAUAUAAACAAUAAUACUCCCUCCGUAUAAACCAAAAAAAUAAUUUGACAACUUUGAAAAAAACUCCCAACCUUUCAAUUUUCAAUACCGUGGGCCCCACAUGUUCCCCUCCCCCAACAUGUCAAUAUCACAAGGGUCCCAUUAUAUUUAAAUAACUUUCUAUCAAUAAUGUUGAAAAAUAGGUAAAUGGGGGUCUAAAUAAUACGCCAAAUUUACAACAACUACCUCAUAAAAAUCUCUUCAAUAUUUUUAACAACAUUUAUCAUCUUUAUUAAAAUUCACAAUAUUAAUCGACCAGGUCGUUCCCAGGAUAGAGGGGAUUUUCCAAUAAGGAUUUCUCCCUAUUGGCGCGCAAUUAGAUUAUCUAACCUCUCCUUGACAGAACUUCUAGACAUCAUUAAUAUUGCAAAUAAUAACAUUAAUAACAUUGUCGUCUCAAUUAUUGAUUUAAUAAUAUAAAGAAUAUCAACAAUAAUUGAAUCAAAUAACGUGAGAUACUAUGCAACAAUUACUAUAACAAUAAUUGAAUAAAACUGAAUGACUUCUCAUGUAAGCAUCAAUAAUCAAUAUCGUGUGCUACUAUGCAACCACGCGUAUUACUGUACUUUUACUACCGAGUAGUUCAACAGUAUCAACCGUAAAACUUCCGCCGUUAUUUUCAUAAAAAUAUUUUUGUCGUUUUCUCAAUCCAACAAUAAUUCUGUUGUGGGUUCCACCAAUGAUUGCGUCGUUGUACGAAUAUUCCCCGCUAAAACGAAUAUUCUCCGACCAAUCGAAUAUAAUAUAGCAACUUGCAUACUUUACAAAACUUAUAAAUACUACCCACAACUAUAACAUUAUAUUAAAUUUAUUCCAUAAUAUUCAAAAAUGAUAAUUAUAGAAAAUUCAUCUUUAUUCAAAAAGUUGGGGUCUUACAGACUUGACUGUGCUGAUCCAGAGAUAGUUAAUGUACCACCAACGUUGUUGUUUCCUUUUCCACCACUUGCACUUCCUGCUGGCUUCUUAGGGCAAUCACGAGCCAUGUGAUCCUACGAACCGCAGGUAAAACAUGCUCCUUUAUUUGGACUAAAACAGUUCAGUGUAAUGUGUCCCUCCUGACCACAGUUGAAACACACCCGCUUUCCCUUCAAACAUACUCCAUUAUGAUUGUUUCCAUAAGUCGCAUAAGCUUCAAACUUUUUCUUCUGCUGAUUUCCUUGUUGUCCUCCCGCAGUCGAAUUUUCACUCCACUUCCUCUUCUGAUUGUUAUUUCCAACGUUACUUCCACCAGCCUUAUUUUCAUUCUCAGUCUUCCUCUUCUUAUAUUCUUGGUUGUACUUGGUCAAGGCAUCGCUUUCACCUUCUGCGAUAAUUGCCUUUUCCAGUAUAACCGCAAAUGUAUUUAACUGAAAUAUUGAAACCUUGCUAUACAGCCAGGGUUUCAAUCCAUGUUCGAACCUUAUCGCCUUUCGUUCAUCAGUAUUGACUUAAUAAGUGGCAAACCUUGCCAAUUCAUUAAACUUCGCAGCAUAUUCUGGCACCGUCAUAGUUCCUUGUUUCAGUUCCAGAAAUUGCAUUUCCAACUUAUUCUGAGAACUCGCUGGAAAGUACAUUUCAAAAAAUAUCUCCUUAAAUCUAUCCCACGCUAUCACUCCUUGUCCCCCACGAACCUUAUUUGCCUGCCACCAGUAGCUAGCUUCAGACUUCAGCAUGAACGUUGUGAACGCAGUCUUCUGAUCCUCGUUGACUCUAGAAACGUUGAACACUUUCUCCAUUUCCAUGAUCUAGGUUUGGGCUUCUACUGGAUUCAUAGACCCUUGAAACUCUGGCGGUCCAACCGCUUUGAAUUCCUUAAAGGUCAUGACUUGAGCUUGCGGUUGAUUCGCAAGUGCACCUGUUAACAAGGUUACCAACUGCUGAACCGGGUUAGCAUUGGCCUCGUUAUUAUUUUUAGUAGACCCCUCAGGAGGUGGUUGUUGACGUGUUUUUCUUCUUCUAGGAGGCAUUUUCUGUUAAGAUAUACGCUCAUUAGUUCAUUACUCAACUUCUUGAUUAUUUGAAGUUUAACUUAAAUAUUCUAAGAUUAAAGUUAUAACACAUAACAUUUCAAAUAAACUCUGGUAUUUUAUUCAUUCAUAAUGUUUUAAAACAUAUUAAAGAUAGCAUAACCGCUAUUAACAUUCACUUUCCUGAACUAAGCAAGUUUUAGGAUUACAUAUUCAUACUACCCCUUUAUUUAUCUCAAAAUAAGGGAUUCACAGUUUAUAUACUCACUUACUUAACCACGUAUUAUUAUUCUCAUUCUUUCUAUCUAGACAUAUUAAGAUGUCGUAAGGCUUCUCUAUGUUCUUCCUCCAUAAUUCGAUACAUCGUUCUACGAUCCAUCAUGAACUACAACGAAUCUUCAAAUUGAGGUGGAUAAUAAAAGACUCGAUCCUGGGCCCUAUCAAUUGCAGAAUUAAAGGCAUAAUCCAUCCCAUUCAUCUUGGCCUUCUUCACUUGAACUUUAUCCUCGGCACGGUCUGCACGUUAAGUCACCUUUAUCCAAGCGUCCUCUGCUCUCGUACGUUUAGUUGAAUCCUCUUUCAAGUCAUCUUUUAACUUCUCCACAUCAGUCUUCAUCUUCUUGUUCACUGCCAACAAAUCUUCAUGCUGACCCUUGGUAUGAAAUAGGUCCCACUCCGUGUUUCCAAGUCUUGAGUCGAGUUCUUGAAUCUCCGCAUCCUUCUGCUCUAUCGUAGCGUGAUGCAUCUCAACCAACUCCUUCAGCUCCUGAACUUUGUCUUGUAAUUCUAUGUUACGAUCGUACAGAGCAUCAUACAUCUCAGCUGAUAUGGAGCUUUGUGGAAACGCCACAGGAUCCUCUUCCUCAUCAUCCAACUCUAUCUCUUCAGAACUAUCCUCCUCGGGAUCGGUCACAGGUUCAUCCUCCUGGAUCAACUGUUCACGCAUAACAUGAAUAUCCCGGGGUUCCUCAUCUCUAGGUAUCUGAGGUAUUACUUCCCUAGCUGGAAUGGAUCCUCCUUCAUUAGACAUCCUAACAACAAAAUAUUUUAAGUUUACUUAACAUUUUUCGAUACUCGCGAGCACAUAAGUUAUUACACAUAGCACAUAAUGUCUUUUAUUAUUUAUCUUCAAUGGAUAGCUUAAUCCAUUCAUUAAAACUCGAUAAGAGUUAGACACCUCUAUAUUUUCUGUCUUCUUAAAGGUUACUUCCUAAGGUUUCCCCACCUAAGGUUCAUAACCUAAAGCUCUGAUACCAACAUGUGACACCCCCAAAUCUGGGUAUUCCUUUUCCACAGGAUUUGGUGCUCACUAUCCAAAACCAUUACAUCUAACUACCCAUAACAAAGGAUAAAGACAUAAUUUAAAUAACUUAACAAUAAUCUUCCCAUUAAAGGGUUACAUCGUCAUAAAACAAUCCCAAAUAAUUUAAUCUUAAAUUAUUACAUAAGUUUGCGGAAUACAUCAUAAAAUAAAACAAGUCUUAUAACAUAAACAUUUAAAUAAACUUUCAUAAAUCUUCAACACUUGGACAUCUUUCCCUUUUCUUUGCUAGUAGAUGGCUCAUCGACUUUCUCAACUUUAGCUGCAGUGUUAAAUGCAAGAGUGAGCAAACAAUUGCUCACUGAUAUAGAGAGUAGUAAUGAUAACAACAUAAGAUUAAACAACGAAUGCUGAACAAUAAUGAAAUUGUUCUAUGAAUAAAAAAUAGAAAACAAGUUCAAAUUUAAUAUCUGAGGGUCUUAAGACCACGAACUAUGUCCCCGAUAUUUAGGUAUUAUUACCCAACCUUAACAGUCAUUUAGACUAUACAAACCCUUCUUAACGUACUUAGGGGGAUCAGCCCUUUGUACCAUGUAUUGUGCACAAACAUCUAAACGUUACACGUACAAAAUCCCCUAUGUUAGGGUUGUUCGUCUCAGCUUGAAUUUAGAAUUUCUGCACUAAAGAGAGUUUAGCUCGGAACUAACUUAUCAAUGGUUCUAGAAUUUUAGAACACUACUCAAUUAUAGACUAAUUCAAUCAAUAAGAGUUUGCUUGCUACUUGAAGAUUUAAUAUAACAAAAAUAGAAUUGAACAAGGCUAUCAAAGUCAAAGAUCGAAUAUCAACAAUAUACAGUUGAGCACUACAACAAAAAAGCUUAUCAGCGACCGCCUAUCAGCGACCGCCUGUGGUCGCUGAUAUCUAUCUGCGACCGUCUACUCGAGUAAACAUGAUAUACAUGCAAAGUACUAUAUCCAAAAGAGUUAGAAUAAUCUCCUUUGAAUCAAUGUAUUAGAACAAUAUAUUCUUUUGAAUAACAAUAUCAAGAUUUAGGAAAGUGAAACUCGCUCAAUGUAACAAACUAGAUUACAAGAGAUUGUACGAUACACGAGAUAGAAUCAAUAGGCUUGCUGAACUUUAAUGUAAAAUUUAGAAUUAGAAAGCUUGUUUGACAUAAAAGAUAACAUAGCUAUGAAACUUGCAUUCAUUAAUAAAAGAAUGAAGUUAGAAAACUUGCUCAAUAAAAGUUUAGGAUAAGAAACUUGCCUUGUAUGUAAGCUACACAAGUGUAAUAAUGUUCGCCAAUUACCCUACACAUAUCAUUGGAAUCGCAAUAACAAUUAGUUGUAUUAUUAUUAGCUUUAAGGGUUUAAACCACCAUUUAGGUCAUAACCUUAACUUAACAUCUAACCAUGUUGGUUAACACCUUUAACAAAUCUAAAAUCCCUCUAUAAACUAACAUAAACUUUAUCAUUCAUUUCUUACUUUCAUAAACAUUAUUUUUUUAUUCAUUACAUAACUUAAUUAAAUAAUCACUUAAAAUCUUCAUACUUUAUAUUACAUCACGUUGAAAUAUGUUAUUGUAGUUCACGUUAACAUGUAUGCCAAACUAGAUUAAGUCCAUUAAUCAUAACCUAUAAAUAAGCAGAAGUCAUUGCCUAGGCUCAGGGCACGGCGCAGCUGCGCUGUCCCAAGCCUUGGCAUCGGCACAGCUGCGCCGUACACGGACAGGAACUGCAGCAGCAGCUCUGUUACACAGCACACACCAAAACUCAAUCAAAUUUCACAGAAAUCAUAAAACUCAACAUCUAAAACUUUGUGAUAACAUUAAUAAUGAUGUUAUUCAUCAUUCUCACUACCUAAACAUUAUAUAUAUUAAAUUUUAAAAGAUCAAAACCCCAAUUUUUCCAAUUUCAUCAUUUUUUUACGCUUUUAGCGAAUUCGAUUGCUACGAAUUCAUUUCUUAAUCAAUUGACACAAUUCAAACUACGUUGUUUUCGUUUCUUAACAUACUAACACAUUCUAACAUCAAAUUACAGAUUAUAGCAAGUAUUGAUCAUGAAAUUUCGUACUUUCUAAAGCCAUUUUUCAAAAAUAAACACUAUUAUUAUAACUUCUUCCUUACAAAGCCAAUUCUCACAUGUUUGGAAAUCAAAUAGCACUCACAUAUAAUGAUUAACAGAUUAUAAACCAUAUAUACAUGUAUUUGUAUUAAUCCAUCGUAAUUAUCAAUAGAAAUUUCAAACAUAAAAGUUAGAAUUAGAGUUAUACCUUACUCCUUUGAUUGUUUGCUAGCAAAAAGAUGGUGACUAGGUUUAGAAAUCCCUCUCCUUGACAAUCAUAAAGAAUUCAAACUCACUGUGUUUUCCUCUCUUGCUCUCUCUCCAAGCUCUCUGUUCUUCACUAAUAUCUAGCCUUAGGGAAAGGAAUAAUACGCGUAAAAAAAUAUACUAACUCCCACUUUCCCCACUAAUGUCAGGUCACAAACCCAAAAGUUUGUGUCAGUUAGAAAUAAGCCAAAGGCCACAGGGCCUUGUUUGGCUAACCACAAUUUCUCCUCUACUAGAUUAUUUUUAUAUUAUUUUUAUUAUAUAGUUUUUAUUUGUCACACUUGCCACCAAUUUAAAUAGCUUACAAUAAUAAUUAUAAUAAUUAUAAUUUUUAUUAUAAUUAUUCUGAUGAUUAAUAAAUAAUUAUAUAUAUAUAAUUUAAUUAAUAAAUUUGACUUAAACAUUACUUUAUUUAAUUUACCUAUUUUCUUUAAUAUAAAAAAAAAUUUAAUUUAAUUUAAUUAUUUCAUUAAAUUAAAUCUUUCAAAUAAAAAAUAGCAUUAUUCAAUUUAAUUAACAUUAAUCAAUUUAGUCACUAAAUUAAUGCACCACAAUUCAUCAAUUAUUUAUUUUUCUCAAUAAAUAAAUUAUUUAAAAUAUUUAUUUAAUUCAAUAAAUAUUUAAAUUAAAUUACAAAUUUCUCGAUCGUUACACUAUUCAUUCGGUUAGUAUUUACCCGGGGUACUAUUCAUGACAAAAAUUGAUUUCUUUUAUGUCCAAAUUAUUUUUGAUACAAUAUUAUUCUUGAAUUUUACUCCACAAUUGGUGAUCAUGUUGACAAUUUAGAUAUUCUUAAACUCUGGAUAAAUUUAAUUAUAAAUAUUUAAUAUUUAUCCUUUAUCUCGUUUGAUUGAUUCUUUAUAUCAUUGUCAUGAUCCUCAUGCUUAUAUUGUGAUAAAAGUCAUCUUUGGCCCGUAGUGCAUAGAUGGACUAUUGGUUAUUGGUUUUACAGUUGUUUUUCUUUGGCCCGUAGUGCAAAGAAGAACUGUUGAUUGAUAUCUUUGGUCGUAGUGCAAAGAUGAAUUGUUGAUUGAUAGCUUUGGCUCGUAGUGCAAAGUUGGACAGGUGUAUGACAUGAUCAUGACCACUGGUGAUACUAACGAAUAUCCUUGGCCGUAGUGUAUGGAUAAUUCAAUGAUGUGAUUGGCAGGAUCAUGACCAUUAGUUAACAGUUGAAUGUCUUCGGCCGUAGUGCACUGACAGACAAUUGAUUGGUAUGAUCAUUGUUAUUACACUUGAAUGUCUUAGCCUUUGGGGUAAGGAUAUUGAGUAAACGUUCUAUUAAGCCUUUGUGGCAAGGAGAAACUGUUGAUUCACAUUAUUAUAAACAUGAAUUGUGAAUUUAUCUAAAAUCUUUGGUGGUUCAGGUGAAGACAGGUGAUGAAAUUUCUCUUUGUCUUGGUAUAAUAAAGAACUGUUAAUGGGUAUUAUAGGGAUAAAAUUGAUGAUAAACUUUUAAAUCAUAGAAGAUAGUAGAUAUCAUGCUCUACUUGACUCUUCUAAUAGAUUGCUUAUUCCACUGCAGUUGUUGAUCUAAAACUUGUUGUCUAUUAUAUUCUAGCAGUUGUUAUACUGUUGAAGGCUAAUGAUAAUUUAUUCUGCAUUAUCUUAGUCAUAAUAUUUCUUACUGGGCUAGUUGAGCUCACCCUUUUCUUUCAUUAUUCUCUUCAGAAAAUGAGAAUAUAGCUGGGACGAGUCGGGGAAUGGAGUGAUGAUCCAAGAUAAGUGGCUUUAGUAGUCUUCACUAUUCUGUGAAAUAGUGUGAUAAUAAUUGUAAUGAGGACUCCAUUGAGUUUGGAUAUUGUCUAGAAGACAAUAUUUGUGUUAAAACUCUCAGCUUAUAUUUUCUCGUAUUCUACACGACAGUUGUAUAAUUAAGUAGUAUUUGUAUUCUGUACCAUGUAUCUGGCGACCCAAGAUGGGUGAUGUAUACAUAUUUUGGGGGCGUCACAUCAACAACCACCACAAAUAUAAAACCUUUGAAGCCAAGCCUGUGAGACCCCAAAUUUUAUGAAUAAAGAUUUAAAUUUCUCGAAAUAUUUUUUUUGAAUAUUACGGUGUGGAUUUGAUAUAAUGUUAUAGUUGUGGGUAAUAUUUAUAAAUUUUACAAAGUAAACAAGUUGUUACAUAAUAUUCGUUUGGUCGGGGAAUAUUCUUUUUGUUGGGGAAUAUCCGUACGAUGGUGCAAUCAUUGGUGGACCCCACAACGGAAGUAUUGUCGUAGUAAGAAAAUGACAAAAUUAUCUUUUUAUAAAAAUAAUGGCGAAAGUGUUACCGUUAAAACUAUUGAACUACUCCGUAGUAAAAGUACAGUAAUACGUGUGGUUGCAUAGUAGCACACGAUAUUGAUUAUUAAUACUUACGUAAGAAGUCACUCAGUUAUACUUAAUUAUUGUUAUAGUAAUUGCUGCAUCUAUCUCUCAUAUUAUUGAUUCAAUUAUUGUCACAGUAUCAUCUGCAUAAUAUGUUAUAUUAUUAAAUCAAUAAUUGAGACGACAAAGUUAUUUAUAUUAUUAUUUGCAAUAUUGAGAAUGUCUAGAAGUUCUAUCAAGGAGAGGUUAGAUAAUCUAAUUGCGCGCCAAUAGGGAGAAAUCCUUAUCGGAAAGCCCCCUCUUUCUUGGAAACUACCUGGUUGUUAAAUAUUGUGAGUUAUAAUAUUAAUGAUGUAUAAGUUUGUGUUGAUUAAAGAUGAAAUUGAUAGUUCCAUUGUGUUGGGAUUAUUAGUGUUAGUGGAAAUCGACAUUUAUUUCGAUAAUAAUUGAUGUUUGGAAGUUAUAUUGACCAAUCGGGUAAUUAACCGGAUAAAUGAGCAAUUAAUUGCUAUUAAUUCACAUGCUUAUAACUAUGUGUUCACAUGUGUGUACUAUUGAUUCACAUGAUUUACUAUUAGGGGAGUUGGUGCAAGAUUGAUAAUACUUGCAUGACUAAAUUAAAAAUAGAGGUAUAGAUGAAGGUACUAUACUGUAAUUAUUUUUUUCACAUGUUUAGAACUAUUGAGUCACAUGAUUUACUAUUGAUUCACAUGAUUUACUAUUAGGGGAGGUGGUGCAAGUUUGAUAAUACUUGCAGGACUAAAUUAAAAAUGAAGAAAAAGAGGAAGGUAUUAUACUGUAAUAUUUCGAGCCCCAAAACGUGCAAUUAUCGAAACUAUAUUUUCCUAUAAAUAGAAGCUCAUUCUUCCUUCAUUUCUCACCAAUUCACUAAAGCUUUAGAGCAAUUAUUAUAGAGAGAAAUUAUAGAGAGAAAGAAGAAGAGAAGUCUGCUACCUCACUAUUUUAGUAUGCAGUUUCUUCUAAGGUAAGGGUAUUAUUUCUUUCGUAUUCAUGAAGAGAGUUAUUUCUUUCAAUACUCGUAAGGGUUGUUAUUCCAUUCUUUAUUAUUCUGUUGGAAUAACCUGUCUGUGCGGACUACACACGCCUGGUGAAUUCUUUUGUUAUUACAUUCUUUAUUAUUCUGUUGGAAUAACCUGUCUGUGCGGACUACGCACGCAUGGUGAAUUUUUUUUUAUUCUAUUCUUUAUUAUUCUGUUGGAAUAACCUGUCUACGCAGACUACCGCAUGCAUGGUGAAUGACCCUUCGUAUUCAUUCUUUAUUAAAUUAUGUAAAUGAUCUGUCUACGUAGAUUACCGCAUGACGGGUAAAAAUCCAUUUGCAGUUUCAUAUAUUCUAUUAUACUCAUAUGCGAUAUCAUUUCUUUUGUACUCGUCAUAUAAUAUCAUUUUCUUUGGAAUUUUUCUUUUACGAGUUACUAUUGACAGAUUACUAUUCACCUGAUUAUUAUUCACUCUAGUAUUAUUCACUCAGGUAUUCGGGGCACUUUUCGUGUCAGAGUAUUAUUCACGGGUUACUAUUCACCCGAUUACUAUUCACUCUAGUAUUAUUCACUCGGAUAUUUGGGACACUUUUCGUGUCGAGGUACUAUUCACGGAGUACUAUUCCUGAAGUACUAUUCAUGAAAUACUAUUCACCCAAAAAAUAUAUUUCUUUUCAGUCCAAAUUAUUUUUGGGUACAAUAUUAUUCUUGAAUUUUACUCCACAAAACAAUAUCAUGUUGACAAAUUGGACGUUAUUGAUUCUUGGAUAAAUUAAAUUAUAAAUCUUUAAAAUUUAUCCUUGAACUUUUUUUAUUGAAUUAUUAUGUCAUUGUCAUCAUCCUCAUGCUUAUAUUGUGAUGAAAGUCAUCUUUGGCUUACGUGCAUAGAUGGACUUGGUAUGAUUAUGACCAGGGAUUAUUCGGUAUAAUCAUGACCGUAAUGUGACGAAUGAUAUGGUGAAAGUCCUCAUUGGCCUGUAGUUCAUUGAUGGACAGUUGUUGGUAUGAUUAUGACCAGGGAUUAUUUGGUAUAAUCAUGAACAUUGAUGAUUACAUGAGUAUCAUUGGCCGAGAUGCAGGGAUGAUUCGAUUUUAUUUAUUAAGUUGAGUCUCAGCGAUAAAGUUGAUGAAAAACUUUUUAAAUCAUAGAAGAUAGUAGAUUUUAUGCUCUACUUGACUCUUCUAAUGGCUUGCUUAUUCCGCUGCAGUUGUUGAUCUAAAACUUGUUGUCUAUUAUAUUCUGUCAGUUGUUAUACUAUUGAAGGCUAAGGAUAAUUUAUUCUGCAUUAUCUUAGUCAUAAUAUUUCUUACUGGGCUAGUUGAGCUCACCCUUUCUUUCACUGUUCUCCUCAAGAAAUGAGAAUAUAGCUGGGACGAUUCGGGGAACGGAUUGACGGUCCAGAUGGUUGUUUUAGUUGUCCUCACUAUUCUGUGAAAUAAUAUGAUAAUAAUUGUAAUGAGGACUCCAUUGGGAGUGGAUAUUGUCUAGAAGGCAAUAUUCUUGUUUAAACUCUCAGUUAUGUUUUGUCGUAUAUUACCCGACAGUUGUAUAAUUAAGUUUGUAUUUGAUUUAUGUACCAUAUAGUUGGCGACUCAAGAUGGGUGAUGUAUACCUGUUUUUGGGGUGUCAAAGUUGGUAUCAAAGCUUAGGGAUAUGAUCUCUGGCUGAGAUAUGAGACAAGAACUAGGAGGGGAGAGACUGGGAAUUCCUUCGCUAGUAUAUAUGACCUACCUAAGUUUAUUUGGUAUUUAAUUGGUCGAUCAGAGUAUAGGAAUAAUAUGUGAUAUGUCAAUUAACCCUUGUUUUGUGACAGUGUUUGAAAAUAGCAUCUAAAAAUGUUGAGAUCAGCAAUGAAGCACAUGAGACCGUUGAGUCACCAACGAUUAAUACCUAGGAUAAUGUGCAACAGGAAGAUAAUAAUCCUCAGGUAAAUAACAACACCGAUUAGAUGAUGAACGAUGGGAUGUUCAGAGGCUUUAUGCAAUUCAUGCAACAUCAGACGAGAGAGACUCUUGUUCAAAAUGCAGGUGGAAACACUGUCAACUCUCGGAUGGUCACCGCUAAGCAGUUUAAGGAGUUGGGACCACCAGAGUUUUUGAGAGAGCCAGAACCACUUAAGGCGGAGACGUGGAUAAACAGAUCACCAAGAUAUUUGAUGUCUUGGAAUGCUCAGAGGAGCAAAAGGUUCCCUUUGCCACCUUCAUGUUGCGAGGAGAGGCAGAUUACUAGUGGGAAUCAGUAAAACGUACUCAGCCUGCCGCACUGAAGAUGUCUUGGGAGAUGUUCCAAGAACUGUUCAACAACAAGUACUUUCCUGAAAGUAUUCGUCAUGUGAAAGAGGUAGAGUUCAUCAAGCUUGAGUAAAACAAUAUGACCGUGGCGCAGUACGAAGCUAAGUUUGCCGAGUUAUCUCAGUUUGCGUCCCACUUGGUUGAUAAUGAAGAGAGAAUGACGCGGAUGUUUCUAAGAGGUUUGAAACCCGAGAUACGUCAAUAUCUAAUUUCUCACAAACUGUGUUUGUAUUCAGAUGUUAUGAAUAGGGCUCAAUUAUUGGAGUGUGAUAAUGAGUCAGCACAACCAAAAGGCAACGACCAACAACACGAUAAUAAUCAUACCGGUGGCAACGGCCAUCGGAACAAUGAUAACCAUCGUGGGGGAAAUUAUUAUGCCAAGAAUGGUAACCACUUCGGUGGUAAUCAUGGCCAAGUUAAUAGAAGCGGAAAUUUCAAGAAGAGAAGGUUCAAUAAUGAUGGAAAGACGUCAUCACCAGCACCCGUUGUUAAGGAAGGAGAACGACCGCCGGUCGUAUGUUACAAAUGCGGAGGGGAGGGACACAUAAGUCCAAACUAUUCACAGCCUUCCAAGGUAUGUUUUAGUUGUGGAAAAGAUGGUCACAUAGCUCGAUUUUUUUCUUGUAGCGAAAUCAAGUCCAGUUGGGACAGUGGCACCAAAGGCGGAUACGGACAAAACAAAGUCGGUGGUUUCAGGAAGAGCGGUUUUUAUGACUUCUCAAAAAGUGAGUAACCCGAACGAAGUUAACACGGGUUAGUUAAUUAUAAAUUCUUGCGAAGUCUAUACCUUAUUAGAUAUCGAUUCUACCCAUUCUUUUAUUUCUCUUGCUUGCGCUCAGCGUUUAAAUUUGACUCCAGAGAAAUUAGACUUUGACUUAUUGGUUGAAACUCUGUUAGGAGAAACCUUCGUUACACCCACUGUUUAUAAAUCUUGUUUUAUUCAAAUCGACACUUUCACGUUACCUGUCGAUCUUAUCUCUUUGAAAAUACUUGCCUUUGAUGUGAUUUUAGGAAUCGAUUGGUUAACUACUCAUCAUGCCAAAAUUGAUUAUUUUUGUAAGGUUGUUAGCUUUCAUAUUCCUAACCAACUUGUUAUGCGAAUUCAAGCAACCAAACCACUAAAGUCAAUCACUGUCAUAUCAAGCCAUAAGUAAAGAGCCCCGAGCCUUUCGUUGGUGACUUCCUUGUGUGGAAUGCAUCGAAGCCGAACUUUCUGUAGGGGACGUCGUGAAUAACAGUGGCAAGUUGAUAGGUAUCAAUGUGACGUGUUAUCCAAGUCUUGGGAUGAGAGUCACAGUUUUGAAUGAUAUUUCUAUUGUUAAUAAAUUUCCUAGCGUAUUCUUGAAGACUUCUUAGCCUACCCCUAGAGCGUGAAAUCGAAUUUUUUAUUGACCCCAAUACAAAACUCAUUUAUAAAACCCUCAAAUAUUUUCUUUACCCAAAACGAACGUAUAAUGUGCCAAUGACGUUGGCUCGAGCUGUUGAAGGUUACGACUAUACCAUUAAAUUCCAUCGUGGGAAAAGCGAACGUGGUAGCUGACACAUUAAGUAGAAGAUCGUAUGCGUUUACGAAGUGUGACGUUGUUAACACAAAAACCCAUUUCGUAUAACUUAUAAAUAAUGAAGAUGGAGUUAAUGACUCUAGAGACCCACGUGAAGAUAACGAAUAUACGAGUAAAAUCGACUUUAAUCGAUAAAGUUAAAGCCGCUCAAACUACACACUCGGAGCUAGUGAAUACGAAGAAGAAGGUUCAAGAAGGCGUUAUUCUAGAAGCAAGAGUCGAUGAAGAGAGAAAAUCUCAAUCCUCGAUUUAAUUGGGCCAUUUGAAAUCCUCGAUGGAGUAGGAACUGUGGCCUAUAGACUUGUUUUACCGCCAAGUAUGUCGCGUGUUCAUAACAUUUUUCAUGUAUCGAUGUUACGUAAAUAUGUGGACGACCCGAACCACAUUAUUAAAUUGGAACUAGACGAGAUAGCAGAAGAUUUAACAUAUGAGGAUAUACGUGUUAAAAUCUUGGAUAAGAAGGAUCGUAUUCGACACUCAAAUUUUAUACCUCAAGAGUUAGAAUCUGAAAUAAAGUCAAGGUAUCCUUAUCUCUUCGGCAUACCAGGUACGUACUUAAAUUUUGAGGGCGAAAUUUCAUAAGAAGGGAAGAUUGUGAGAUCCCAAAUUUUAUGAAUAAAGAUUUAAAUUUCUUGAAAUAUAUUUUUUGAAUAUUACGGUGUGGAUUUGAUAUAAUGUUAUAGUUGUGGGUAAUAUUUAUAAAUUUUGCAAAGUAAGCAAGUUGUUAUAUAAUAUUCGUUUGGUCGGGGAAUAUUCUUUUUGUCGGGGAAUAUCCGAACGACGACACGAUUAUUGGUGGACCCCACAACGGAAGUAUUGUCGUAGUAAGAUAAUGACAAAAUUAUCUUUUUAUAAAAAUAACGGCGAAAGUGUUACCGUUAAAACUGUUGAACUACUCGGUAGUAAAAGUAUAGUAAUACGCGAGGUUGUAUAGUAGCACACGGUAUUGAUUAUUGAUGCUUACGUAAGAAGUUACUCAGUUAUACUCAAUUAUUGCUACAGUAAUUGUUGCAUCAUAUCUCUCAUAUUAUUGAUUCAAUUAUUGUCACAGUAUCAUCUGCAUAAUAUGUUAUAUUAUUAAAUCAAUAAUUGAGAUGACAAAGUUAUUCAUAUUAUUAUUUGCAAUAUUGACAAUGUCUAGAAGUUCUAUCAAUGAGAGGUUAGAUAAUCUAAUUGUGCGCCAAUAGGGAGAAAUCCUUAUCGGAAAGCCCCCUCUUUCCUGGGAACGACCUGGUUGUUAAAUAUUAUGAGUUAUAAUACUACUGAUGAAUAAGUUUGUGUUGAUUAAAGAUGAAAUUAAUAGUUCCAUUGUGUUGAGAUUAUUAGUGUUAGUGGAAAUUGACAUUUAUUUUGAUAAUAAUUGAUGUCUGGAAGUUAUAUUGACCAAUCGGGUAAUUAACCGGAUAAAUGAGUAAUUAAUUGCUAUUAACUCACAUGCUUAUAACUAUGUGUUCACAUGUGUGUACUAUUGAUUCACAUAAUUUACUAUUAGGGGAGUUGCUACAAGAUUGAUAAUACUUGCAUGACUAAAUUAAAAAUGGAGGUAUAGAUGAAGGUACUAUACUAUAAUUAAUUUUUUCACAUGUUUAGAACUUUUAAGUCACAUGAUUUACUAUUGAUUCACAUGAUUUACUAUUAGGGGAGGUGGUGCAAGUUUGAUAAUACUUGCAAUUAAAAAUGAAGAAAAAGAGGAAGGUAUUAUACUGUAAUAUUUUGAGCCCCAAAACGUAUAAUUAUUGAAACUAUAUUUUUCUAUAAAUAGAAGCUCAUUCUUCUUUCAUUAUCACCAAUUCACUAAGCUAUAGAGCAAUUAUUAUAGGGAGAAAUUAUAGAGAGAAAGAAGAAGAUAAGUCUACUACUUCACUAUUCCAGUAUCCAGUUUCUUCUAAGGUAAUGGGUAUUAUUUCUUUCGUAUUCAUGAAGAGAGUUAUUUCUUUCAAUACUCGUAAGGGUUGUUAUUCCAUUCUUUAUUAUUCUGUUGGAAUAACCUGUCUGUGCGGACUACACACGCCUGGUGAAUUCUUUUGUUAUUAUAUUCUUUAUUAUUCUGUUGGAAUAACUUGUCUGUGCGGACUACGCACGCCUGAUGAAUUCUUCUAUUAUUCCAUUCUUUACUAUUCUGUUGGAAUAACCUGUCUACGCGGACUACCACAUGAUUGGUGAAUUCUUCUGUUAUUCCAUUCUUUAUUAUUCUGUUGGAAUAACCUGUCUACGCGGACUACCGCAUGCAUGGUGAAUGACCCUUCGUAUUCAUUCUUUAUUAAAUUAUAGAAAUGAUCUGUCUACGUAGAUUACCGCAUGGCGGGUGAAAAUCUAUUUGCAGUUUCGUAUAUUCUAUUAUACUCGUAUGAGAUAUCAUUUCUUUUGUAUUUGUCAUGGAAUAUCAUUUUUUUUGGUAUUUUUCUUUUACGAGUUACUAUUCACGGGUUAGUAUUCACCUGGUUACUAUUCACUGUAGUAUUGUUCACUCGGGUAUUCGGGACACUUUUUGUGUCGGAGUACUAUUCAUGGGUUAUACUAUUCACGGGUUACUAUUCACCCGAUUACUAUUCACUCUAGUAUUAUUCACUCGGGUAUUUGGGACACUUUUUGUGUCGGGGUAUUAUUCACAGGGUACUAUUCUCGAAGUACUAUUCACGGAGUACUAUUCACCAAAAAAAUAUAUUUCUUUUCGAUCCAAAUCAUUUUUGGGUACAAUAUUAUUCUUGAAUUUUACUCCACAAAAUAGUAUCAUGUUGACAAAUUGGACGUUAUUGAUUCCUAGAUAAAUUAAAUUAUAAAUCUUUAAAAUUUAUCCUUGACUUGGUAUGAUUAUGACCAGGAAUUAUUCGGUAUAAUCAUGACCGUAAUGUGACGAAUGAUGUGGUGAAAGUCCUCAUUGGCCUGUAGUUAAUUGAUGGACAGUUGUUGGUAUGAUUAUGACCAGGGAUUAUUCGGUAUAAUCAUGACCAUUGAUGAUUACAUGAGUAUCCUUGGCCGUGAUGCAGGGAUGAUUCGAUUUUAUUUAUUAAGUUGAGUCUCAGCGAUAAAGUUGAUGAAAAACUUUUUAAAUCAUAGAAGAUAGUAGAUUUUAUGCUCUACUUGACUCUUCUAAUGGAUUGCUUAUUCCGCUGCAGUUGUUGAUCUAAAACUGUUGUCUAUUAUAUUCUAUCAGUUGUUAUACUGUUGAAGGCUAAGGAUAAUUUAUUCUGUAUUAUCUUAUUCAUAAUAUUUUUUGCUGGGCUAGUUGAGCUCACCCUUUCUUUCACUGUUCUCUUCAGGAAAUGAGAAUAUAGCUGGGACGAGUCGGGGAACGGAUUGACGGUCCAAAUGGUUGUUUUUGUAGUCCUCACUAUUCUGUGAAAUAAUGUGAUAAUAAUUGUAAUGAGGACUCCAUUGGGAGUGGAUAUUGUCUAGAAAGCAAUAUUCUUGUUUAAACUCUCAAUUAUGUUUUGUCGUAUAUUACCCGACAGUUGUAUAAUUAAGUUUGUAUUUGAUUUAUGUACCAUAUAUUUGGCGACUCAAGAUGGGUGAUGUAUACCUAUUUUGGGGCCGUCACAAAGCCCAUACACUCCCAUUUUAGAUCAUAGCUCCUAUGCCCAGACCCAUUAAGAGCAUACCCAGCCCCUACUAAUAUGCACAAUCUAAGCUCCCAUGAUCUAAAGCCCCUGACUUUGCAAAUAUAGAUCGAUAGAUAGAUUUUCGGGAAGGAUCACAUUUUGGUAGAUAGAUGGUUUAAUUUGUUUAACUAUUUAUUAUAAAAUUGAGUAUAAUUUAAUAUAAUUAAUUAUUUAGCUUACCUUCUCUCUCCUUGUCUGCAUUGACACAUAGAUUUAUUGAUUGCCACGUCCUUCUUCUGUUAAAUGGUUAACAGACAUAGACGACAAAAUUAAUUUUUGUAAAUAAAGUAUAGUUCAAUGAGUUGACCGUAAAAAAAUUUAGUUUAGUGAUGCAUUUGUAAACCGAUGUUGAGUAGAGUGGAGAAAAGUGUAUUUAAUCCGCUCCAAAAGUCACCACUUUACAAGUCUCGUCAACAAUCAGCACCAUGUAAACACUCACCCUCUUUGGUGAACUUGAAGAGUUUGAAAAUCAACUUAGGAGGUAUGAUGAUGAAAAUGAGGCACCAAUAAAGAAGACAUUGACACUUCAAGCUGAGAGUAACAAUGAAUGUGAUAACGAAGAUUUUGAUAAAGAAAUUGAAAUGCUCUCAAGAAACUUGAGAGACUAUUUCAAAAGAAAAUAAAAAAGGUAGCUCAACUCCAGUGGGUAAGUUCAAAACAGAACAAGAAGAAGAAAUUGUCCAACUCUAUUUCAUAGGACUAGAAGAUGAUGAUCAACUUGAGGUAACAAAUUUUCAUGAAGCUUUUGAAAUAUCUAUGCCUGAUUAUAUUGCUUUACAAAAUGAAAAUCAACAACUCAAAAAAAAAACUGUUUAUUUUAAGAAUUGCGUAAAUGCUAAUGAAUGAAGUUAAGUCAUUUAUUAAAGAGAGAAAAGAAAAUGAAUAUCUUAAAAAUGAAAAUGAAGUUUUAAAAGAAAAUUUAAAAAUGAGAGAUGAAUGCAUAAAUGCUUUUAAUGAUGGAAAAAUGAUGAAUGUGCAACAUGAUGAUAAUGUCACAAAUGCAAAAAUAACAUCUUUAAAAAAUGAUCUUGCUAAAUUUGUGCAAUGAGAAGAGAACCUAAAUGUUAUGUUAGGGGCACAAAGGUCUAGUCUUGAUAAAUAAGAAAUUGGGUAUAAUCCUAUUAAAAUGUGAAAAAUAGAACUAAUAAUAAUAUUAUAAUGAUUAAUAGAAAACCAAUGCAUAAACCACUUUAUUGUUCACCGUUUGUUACUUGUAAAAAAUAUGGUUUUAAAGGUCAUUUUAAAAUGUGGCUUUAUUAGAAUAAAGCAAAUUUGGGUAAAGAAAUGUGAUUUAUAUGCUACUAACCUAAUAGGACCCAAGAAGAUUUGGGUACCAAAAUGGUAGAGACUAUUUGUUCAUUUUGUAGAUGUCUCAAGGUCAAAAAGGAGACAGAUAAUACUUAUAAAUUAUUUGGCAAAAUUCGCAAGUACCUUAUUUUUUUAAAUAGAUUUUUAAUUAGAUAUAUUAUGAAAACUCUAUGGAUUUCGUAUCAUAUGGCUUCAUAACAUCAUUUAUUAUAAAGUUUUUAUUGUGCUAAAUGCUCCAUAUUUAAUACAAACGACAAUCUUGAUGAGGAAUAAGUGAAUAUUAUUUUUGAUGAACUUAACCAUGAUCUGUUAAAGGAAGAGAAUGAGGUUUCUGCUGGAAAUGACUAUCUGAAUUGUGGAACCCAAACAGUUCAAUCCGGAUAGUCUAAGCCGUCUCUAUCAGAAGGAAAGAUAGAUGAAAUCAGACAAUUUGACCCGUCUGUUUUAGAAGAAAACUCAAAUUUACAAACACCUAAAUCCAAACAGAUCGAGUCGUCUACUUUAGAAGACAAAACAUAUGAAUAUUCGGAUGCAGUAACUUAUAUUCCAGAGGAUGAAUCUCAAAAGCAAAUGACUACUGCCAGGCUUCCUAAAUCUUCUAGAACUAUGGGAAAUCAUCAUCCAAGUCUGAUCAUCAGAAAUUUCAACAUUAGGAUGUCCACAAGAAGAGGUUUUGAAGAAAUUUGUUUGCUACACUAAGGAGCUUAUCUAUUAAGCUUAUUGUUGGUAACAAAAUUGUGGAUAUAUAGGUAACAAAUCACAAAGGUAUGGUCAUUUUAUUUAAUUGCUAUAUGUGAUAUUGUUAUAAGCUUGCUCCCGUGUCUUUAUUUUAUGAAUUAUUUUUUGUUUGUCACAAAUGGGAUAGAGAUAUAACUAAAUUGAUGAUUUUUUUUUUUUUGAUAAUAACAAAGGGGAGAAAUGUUUAGAAAAAUUGAUGAUUAUGAUAUCUGAUGGUUAUAUUGAUUAUAAUAUGUUUAGAUUUUUUUGAUAUCAUAUUGAUGAUAAUGGUUGGAUAUUUUGAUUCAUUAUCUGUUAUAGCUUAUCAUUAUGCAUUAUUUAUCAUAACAGUUAUGUGAUCUUUAUAUCUCCUAUAGGCAUAAAUUUAUGGGGAGCAUGAUUGCAAGGAAUAAUAUAUUGUCAUCAUCAAAAAAGAGGGAAAUUGUUAGUUUUAUUAUUUGUGAUUUUAAUAAUGACAAUAUAUUUGUAAAUAUAAUUUAUUUAAUGUAUUGAAUUAAUUUUGUAAUGGUUUGUUGAAUAUGAUAUAUAGUAAGUUUGGUUCAUGAUAAUUUAAUUUGGUUAUAAUUCAAAUUGUUAUUACGUGCAGGAUUGAAUUGAAAUAUUUUCUUCCAGGUUGUUAUUUUGUUAAAACAGGUUGUUUCAAUUUUGAAUUGGAAUAUGUUAAGGAGUUUGUUUAGCAGUGUAAUCUAUCUAUUAAAUAUAUUAAAAUGCAGUACAUGAUAUCAUAGCUUGACAUAUGUCAUUCUCACAAUUCAACACGUGUCCUGUCUAAUUAAUAUUCCUUAAGACCCUUAACAAAAGUGCCCAGCUAACAUAACAAAUGAGGAUGAAAACAAACUUUAAUUCAUUCCCCUAAAUUUUAGAUUUAUAAUCCCCUAAAUCAUGCUACAAAUCUAAACUAUUUUGAUAAUAUCAACUGUUUUGAUAUUAUCCUUUGUAAUUUAAUUAUUAUUUAAUAAAAUUACUUUUUUAUGCUAUUAAUUAAUUUUUUAGAUUUAUAAUCUUCUAAAUAACUACAAAUCUAAACAGUUAAUAACAUAAUGUCAUUCUCUUAAUUUUUUAAAUUUACAAUCCUCUAAAUCACUACAAAUCUAAACUGUUUUGAUAAUAUCAACUGUUUUGAUAUUAUCCUUUGUAAUUUAAUUAUUAUUUAAUAAAAUCAUUACUUUAUCUCAACACCACCCCCUACAAUGUAUAUUCAUUUGUUUUUCUGUGUAAAAUUUGAUCAUCGCACAACAAUCUACCAUCUUCUUAUUAUAUUUUAAUUUAUUAAUUAUACAUACAUAUUUAUUGAAUAAUUCCGCCCGCAACGCACGAGUUUGUAUCUAGUGUGGUCUAAUUUGGAGUCUUUAAAUUAACUGGUUUAGAUAUUUGUGUAGAGUAUGGGCUCUAUCUACUCGUUAAUUUUAGCCUAUGUUGAUUACGUAUCUUUGAUUUUCUAAUUUUGAGAAUAUUUUAAGCUGUUAGCUAUAUCUAUAGUUCUGAAAUAUCAAAUUCUCGAAAUGAAAGACCAAGUCAUGCUAACCAUUUCAUAUAGUCGUUGGACUGAGUUCUAUAUAUUUUCUUCAUGUUUGUCUAUAGUGAGCAGGACUCUUGAAGCUUAUAGCAGCCAUAUUACACAGAUUAAUCAAGAGCUUUUCAAAGUUAUUUUCAGCUACUCAUUAUAUUGUUAAUUUAUUUCAGUUAAAAAUUAAGAGUCUAUUAUAAUCUAUAUUUAUUGUAUUAAAUUUUAGUUCAAGUCUUGUUUGGCUUGAUCGAUCCAAUAGUGGAUAGGUUUGUUCGAAGAAAACUUUUAAGGUUGCAGAGGUGCAAAUGUCUCAGUGGUGAGAAAGGUUGCAAUGAUGCAAAGGGGCAGAGGUGUUCAUCGCAGUGGAAAAUUUUAUUUGAACAGGGAGUUCUUUUUAUUAUACUUAAUGGAGUCUUAAAAGUUUAAUAAAAAGAGUCCAAUACCGGUUGGUUUUGAACGUGGAUUAAGCCGUUAGAGUUUAAGGGCAGAACCACGUAAAAAUUCUUGUCUGUGGUUUGUUAAUUCUUCUGGGUUGAUAAUUUAUUUCUCACGUUGCAUCUAAUCUCAUUCAUAUUACAUUUUAUUGUUGGUAGGAAAAGUAUACUAAUCUAGACACUAUCUUCUGUCUUUAUAACAAAAGUAAAAUUGACUCUAAAGCAGACACUUUUAUUUGUCUGUUUUAAGUUUAGCAGCAAGUUCAGCAGCAGGAAAAUAAAAUUAGUCAUUGUUAGUGUGCUUAUUUAUAGAAUUACAUCCACAUCUGUAAUUCUACUGAGAUUUAAUGAAUGUUUAUUUUGCCGAUUAAAAAACAAAGGAAAAAGAAUAAAAGUAAUAAGAUGUUCGAAACAUUUGAUUGUAUUAUUAUAUUUUUGUGAGCCAAGGUGAAAGCAAAGCCACCUAGUGGUAGUUGUUUUAUUUAUAAUAUGGUAAUAACAACCAUGAACUGAUAGUUGAUUUAUUUAUUAUAUGCUAAUAACAGCUAUCAGCUAGUGGUUGAUUUAUUUAUUAUAUUCUAAUAAACAGCCAUCAACUAGUAUAUAGUUUCUUGAUCAACUGUUCAUAGGAAGAUUACUGAUCGUUCAUUUAGGCGUUGGGGGGACUAAUUUGAACACCAUAGAUAACUAAACCCGUCUCCAUAGUCGUGUUUUCACUCCCGUCGAGAGCAAAUUUGAAAUCUCCAGAGUCAAAGCUAUUCAAGAAUUCCCCAGCUUUGAGUGAAAUCGGUGUGUUCCUCGGACAAUCCAUCAACCUAUAUCCAUUCACUUGCGUGGACCCAUCCGGAGGAGUAAGUGUAAGACUCACCGGACUUUCUAUGUUAAGGUUGUCUUUCAGCAGCACCACAAAAGACACCUCAUAAGUUCAUUUUUCAAGAGUUUCUGUCGGAUAUUUUCCAUCAACAUGUAGGACUAAGCUACCAAUUAAUUCAGCACUGGCAUCACUGAAAAAAAAUGAUAGUAGAAUUAAAGUCAGAAACUUUUGAUAUAAGGAGCUUAAAUUCAUUAAGGUGAUUUUAUUGAUUUUUUUUUCUGGAAAAUUUUUAAUGUUAAGUCCUUCUAUCUGACUAGAGUCUAGACUUCAAUAAAAUUUCUAUAGUCCUUCUAUCACUUUAAUUUAAUGACAUAGUUGCUUAUAUAUCCCUAUUUUUAACUGAAUAAAAUUCAGGUGUUUAAACACAAAUCUUGACCUUUGACAUCAAUUAAGUUAACUAAGUCUUAUUUCUACUUACGUAAACUUCCAGCCUGAAGGGUUGGCAUAAUUGAGUUCCUUUGCAUGCACAAAAGCCCAACUGCUCUGAAUAAGUCAACAGAAAUUUACAUUAUUAUAUGGAUAGAUAAGGCAAACCAGCGGUGACCAAUAAAUGAUAUGUCGAUGCCUUUAUAAAUAUAUAUAUAUAUAUAUAUAUAUAUAUAUAUAUAUAUAGAAUAUUGACGGUUGACAUUGUCAAAAUAACAAUUAUAAAAGUGUUGCCAAAUGUAUAUUUACUCUGAUAGCGAUGACAUUAUCAACCACCUAUAUAUAAAUAGCAAAUGUUUCAUAGCAAAAGUUUAUUACAGAAUAUGUAUCACUCAAACCAUCUUAUAUCAAUCAUGCAUUACAACAUCAGAUAGAUGAGAUCUUAAAAUUUUUGAACACUCCGCGACAUUAUGUUGCAAAUGGUACCAAAUUUUAAAAAUCCCAAAGGUGUAAGAUGGUCUAAAUUUUGCAAAAAUGUAUCACUUGCAAAAUUUACAAAUAUUAAGGAUUAUUUUUGUUCUGUAGACAACUUUAGUGUGUAUAUAUAUUUGAUGUUUGUUUCCAAUUUCAGUGGACUUACCUUCUGGCCCGGGUCCUUUUUGAGCAACGCAUUUUCCUUAGCUUGAGACAACAAUGUCUUGAGGUCAACCUUGUGAUACCUCACUACUUGUGCCAUUUCGCCUUUAAUUCUGCUAUAUAUAUUUUUUGUUUUUGUUCUUGAUGUCUAUAUAUCUCUCUUCCAAAGGCUAGCUCUAUUUAUAGAUAGCACAAAAGAGGGUAUAUUCAAUAAUAACCUAUCUUCAAAUAUUCCUUCCUUUUUCACAGUGGGGAUCCUGAUAAGUUUAACAUCAUCAUCAUCAUCGCCAAGGAUAUAGAGCAUCAGAUUCUGUUUAAUAAUUUUGUUGGAAUAUUUCUUUUCCAUUUCUCAGUUCAAUAAUUCUUUCUUUAGCUUGUUGCGCUGGCAAAAUUCGAUGAAGGCGAAAGGUACGUAGGCAUUCAAGUAAGUGAUGAUUUUCUUCUAACCAGAAGUAUGAGCAGGUUGAUGAUACAUAUGUCAUGCCAACAUAACAAACUUUAGAGGAGCCGAGUUCGAAAAAGAGAGGGUACUGGUAUAAUUGCCUUAAUUCGAUCUUAUCACCCAAGCACGGGUGCCAUCUAUUUUGGUUCAAUAUAAUGGAGUAUAUAUUCAAAUCAACAAAACAAGGCAAGAACAAAAAAUAAAUUUAAAGUGCAUAUUUUAAUAGGAAUAUCUAUUAAUAUAUAUAGGUAUGUUACUCAAAUAUCUAUACCAUCUAUACCAAUUUAUAGCAAGAUAAAUACGAGUUAUUUAAGUUGGUCUUGAGCCAAUUUAGUAAUCCAAUUUUGGUGACUCCGUAACUCAAAAUGUUUUUUUUUUGUUUUUUUGUUUGAUUUUUAUGUAUUCUUGGUCAUAAAUUUUGAUAUUCCCAAAAGUCAACUAAAACACUCAAAAGUUAUAUAUUUUCACAAAAUUUUAGUACACAUUUAUUAUUAAAGAUGGAAUAUAUUAUCUAUCAUUAAGAAUUGAGUAAAUAUAUAAAAAUAAAAUAAAAUUAAUGAAAUAACUUUUGAGCUAUCAAGUCAUCAAAUUUGGAGAGCUGAGUUGACUUGAGUUAUAUUAAAAUGUCAUUCAAAAAUAUUAUAUAUAUAAUUUACCAAAUAAAUCGUUUUUAAACUUAUCCGUACUUCGUACGGAUUAUUAAUUUUGUUUGUAUUAAAAGUAGAAGUAUAAGCAUCUCGCAGGCCAAAAAUAAAAAAAGAAAAAAAAAAAGAAAAGAAGAGCAAGACUACUUCUUUUUCUUCCUUUUUAUCUCCUUUCUUUCUUUGUUUCUUUUUAGACGGAGGACUUCAUUUCAUCUUUGAAAAUAAACAUAAGAAUUUAUCAAAGGAAAUACAAGAUAGACGAUACAAAUAUUGAGAUCUAAUGGAACUUUUGUUGUCUAAUUAUUAUUAUUUUUUAUUUUCAAAUAUACGCAUACAUGAUAAAGAUUCACAAUUAUAUAUAAUAGGCUAAAAUCAACAAUCCGCUAAAAAAUUUGCGGUCUGUCAAAAUGUUUAGUUGUCGAGCUAGUAUAAAUUACCGUCUACCAAAUCGUUAUUAGUUAACAAACUAGUGUAAAAAUUUCACUUUGGAAGCUAAUAUAAACUAUCAUCUAUCAAAUUGUUAUUAAAUGGGGAGCUACGAAUGUAAACUAUCGUCUAACAAACUUUAUUAGCUGAUGAGCUAGUGUAAAAUAUCAUUUAUCAAACUGUUAGAUAGAGUGUUGGUUACAGUUAAAUGUGUCUUUGGAUCAAUUCCUAUACAGUCCGCUUCUCCAACGGACCGGUUUGUCAGCGAACCAACUAUAGUGACGGUUCAAUCCGUCGUUAUAGCAUAGAAAAAUGUUAACGCCAAGAUUCGUCCACGUGCAAAAACGAAAUCACACAGAGGAACUUGUCGGCUUGGGCCGCCAGGGGAUAGCUCUGGUAUAAGAAUAAGUACUGACUGAAUAAAGUUAACAAUGGAGGCUUAUAAUUUUAGUGCUGAAAAAAUAAUAAGAUAUUGUGUGCAUGUGAACCAGGGUAUAUAUAGCCUUGUAUUUAUAGUGAUCACACCUCUUUAAAACGCAUCAUCUCGUAUAGGAGUAGAAUUCCUCAUUAAGAUGGAUACCUUAAUGGGACAUGAUUGAAUCUCCUUAAAAAAAGAAAGUCGGAUACUAUCCUGACUCUUUCCUUAGAAGUUAGAAAUUAAAUAUAAUUAGGAAUCCUAGAUUCCUUAAAAUUCUCCCACUGCCCGUGGGGAGACUUCCUCCACGUGGACUAUGGCCCACCGAAUUCUGUGGUCCCAAAUAAUCAUGUUCCAACAUUGUCCCCCAUUGUAAUACCUAGAAAAAUAAUUAAAAAAAUAAAAAACAUUUAAGUUUAUAUUUUAAAAUAUAUUAGUUGGAUUUUAUUAUUUAUUUGGGUCAAAGUGGUCAUUAAUUUAUGUGGGCUAAUAAAUAUUAAUAAAUUAGGGAUAAAUUAAUUUGAUAAAAUUGAGCCUUAAAACUAAUUGGGUCUAAUUUAUAUUUGUGUAAUAAUAAAUCUUAUUAAAAUUUUAUUAAAAUUAAAAGAAUUAAUAAAACAUAUUAAUUAAUGAAUAAAUAACAAACCUAAUCUUACUUUUAUUAUACAAACUGAGGGAAAGAAAAAGAAGAGAAGUAGGUGAGGCGACUUAAGAGUGAAGAAUGAAAAUUUGUCACUCUUGAUAUUUGGCAAGACACAUUUAGUAAGUUGUUACUAUUUGUUUUUUAAAUUGUUAGAUCCAUCAUGUAGAAAGCCAGUGAUUCAUAAGAAAGUUAAAAUACAUUAUAUAUGAAGUAUACUUUUAGAAGUUUGAUACAUUAUUGGUUAAUGUGGAUAGCCUUUAAGGCAGAGUAUCCAUGUGAAUUGGAUAUCGUGAAUGGCAUACUAAAAUAAUAUACGCUUAGUAUAUGGCGUGAAUCAGAUAAGAUCAAAAGGUAUUUACUGAUUAAAUGUAUCUGAAUAUAUCUAAAUAUAUCUGAAUGUAUCUGAAUUGUAUGUUCUCCAAAAUCCUAGCACCCAUAUUUAUAGGCCAUAGAAAAAUCCAUAACCAAUUAAAUAGGAUUUUUAAUAUAAAAUUGAGUAUAGAUAGAAACGAUAACUUUUCUAAAACAGAUUCUAGGUAAUACCUAAACCCAAAUCCAAUAAGGAUUCAUGUUAUACCCAACAAAUGUCCACCUUGACUUGAAUCCUCCGAAUAUUGCACAAACAGUAAACUUUUUCCUCUUCUCAAAAUGCACAACUCAAGUGCAUCGAACACUAACCACGUCCAAGCAAUGUUUGAACUUGGUAUGUGUUAACGGCUUCGUUAACAUGUCAUAUGGAUUUUCUGCUGUACCAAUCUUCAAGACCUUAUUGUCACCAUCUUCAACAAUGUCUCGAACAAAAUGAUACCUGACAUCAAUAUGUUUCCCCCGAGGACAAUACUCACAGAAGUCAAACUUUAUUAUUUUUUGUAUAGACAACUCGCUAGAUUUCUUCGUCUCCUAAUCCGUAUCAGACAUAUCUACAGGCUUCAUUGGCUUCCCUACAAUGGCUUUCUUCAAGCCUUGCUGAGUAAAAACAGCCUUCAUCCGAACCUGCCAAAGACUGAAACUAAUUUUCCCAUCGAAUUUGUCAAUAGAAAAUUUUGUUGAUGAAGUCGAACUCAACGUCAUAGUAUAUAUCGAUAAUAACCAAGCUCUGAUACCAAUUUAUUAUGACAAACUAUGACAAACACAAUAAAUCAAUGCAGAAAGAUAAAGACAAUAACACAAGGUUUUACAUGAAAACUCAAAUUGGAAAAAAACUACGGAGAAGGCAAAAGAAAUCCACUAAAUAAAUAUCUGAAGAGUACAAGAUAAAAAAAGAGAAUACUAAAUUGAGUAUAGGUAAAAAAGAUAACUUUUCUAAACCAAAACAGAUUCUAGGUAAUACCUAAAUCCAAAUUCAAUAAGGAUUCAUGUUAUACCCAACAAAUCUCCACCUUGACUUGAUCAUUCCUCCAAAUAUUGCACAAAUAUUGAACUUUCUCUUCUUCUCAAAAUGCACAACUCAAGUGCAUCGAACACUAACCACAUCCAAGCAAUGUUUGAACUUGGUAUGUGUUAAUGGCUUCGUUAACAUGUCAUCUGGAUUGUCUACAGUACCAAUCUUCAAGAUAUUAAUGUUACCAUCUUCAACAAUUUCUUGAAAAAAAUGAUACCUGACAUCAAUAUGUUUUCCCCGGGACAAUGCUCACAGAAGUACAACUUUCUUACUUUCUGUCCAGAUAACUCGCUAGUUUUCUUCGUCUCCCAAUCCGUAUCAGAGAUAUUUACAGGAUUUAUUAGUUUCCAUACAAUGGCUUUCUUCAAGCCUUACUGAGUAAAAACAGCCUUCAUCCGAACCUACCAAAGACUGAAACUAAUAUUCCCAUCGAAUUUGUCAAUAUCAAAUUUCGUUGAUGAACUCGAACUCAACGCCAUAGUUUGGAUCGAUAAUAACCAAGCUUUGAUGUGACGCCCCCAAAACAGGUAUACAUCACCCAUCUUGGGUCGUCAAAUACAUGGUACAUAAUACAACUACAAACUUCUUUUAUACAACUGUCGUGUAAAAUACGACAAAACAUAGCUGAGAGCUCUCAAUGGAGUCCUCAGUACAUUUAUUAUCACACUAUUUCACAGAAUAGUGAGGACUACUAAAACAACCAUCUGGACCGUCAAUCCGUUUCCCAAUCAGUCCCAGCUAUAUUCUCAUUUCCUGAAGAGAACAGUGAAAGAAAAUGAUGAGCUCAACUAGCCCAGUAAGAAAUAUUAUGACUAAGAUAAUGCAGAAUAAAUUAUCCUUAGCCUUCAACAGUAUAACAACUGAUAGAAUACAAUAGACAACAAGUUCUAGAUCAACAAAUACAGCGGAAUAAGCAAUCCAUUAGAAAAGUCAAGUAGAACAUAAUGUCUACAAUCUUCUAUGAUUAAAAAGUUUAUCAUCAAUUUUAUCGCUGUAAUACCCAUCAACAGUUCUUUAUACCAAAGACAAAGAGAACUUUCAUCACCUGUCUUCACCUGAACCACCAAAGAUUUUAUUUAAAUUCACAAUUCAUGUUUAUAAUAAUGUGAAUCAACAGUUCCUCCCUGCCACAAAGGCUUAAUAGAACGUUUACUCAAUAUCCUUACCCAAAGGAUAAAGAUAUUCAAAUGUAAUAACAAUGAUCAUACCAAUCAGUUGUCUAUCUUUGCACUACGGGCCAAAGAUAUUCAACUAUAAAACCAUUAGUCAUGAUCAUACCAAUCAAUUGCAUGUCGGUGCACUACGACCAAAGACAUUCAACUGUUAACUAAUGAUCAUGAUCCUGCCAAUCACAUCAUCGAAUUAUCCCUGCACUACGGCCAAGGAUAUUCUUUAGUAUCACCAGUGGUCAUGAUCAUGUCAUACAGCUGUCCAUCUUUGCACUACGGGCCAAAGCUAUCAAUCAAUAGUUCAUCUUUGGAUUACGACCAAAGAUAUCAAUCAACAGUUCUUCUUUGCACUACAGGCCAAAGUCAUACAACUGUAAAACCAAUAACCAACAGUCCAUCUAUGCACUACGGGCCAAAGAUGACUUUUAACGCAAUAUAAGCAUGAGGAUCAUGACAAUGAUAUAAAGAAUCAGUCAAAUGAGAUAAAGGAUAAAUAUUAAACAUUUAUAAUAUAAUUUAUCCAGAGUUCAAGAAUAUCCAAAUGUUAUCAAUCACUUAAUAAUCUCAUAAUCUAAUAUCAUUAAUAUUAUAACAAUAUUUUAAUCAUUUCUUAAACUUAAUUAUAAACAAUUUAUUUUAAUUGUUUACACUUUACUAAUUAAUGCAUUUAAUCAGCCUAAAAUGCCAAACUCAUAAGAUUUCAUCACCAAUAACCAAAACUCUCAUAAAAAAUCUGCAUAUACCUUAUAUAGGAUUUUCAAGCCAUAAAAUCCUAUUUAUCAAUUUUUUAACUUCACAUAACUUAUUUAAUUUAUAUGUUCGUAACUAAACUAUUUUCAUGAAAAAUAUCAAAUCAGUCUAAAAAAGUUUUCUUUUCUGAGAUUUAGCAGAAUAUAGUCCCAUAUUGAACAUAUAUUUUUCUCGAAAUUUUUAAAAUUCAUUUACUAUUUUUCAUAUGGCCAAAAUUACCGAAUAUUUAAACAUUUAUCAUAAACUAUACUUUUGUCCAAAAAUUCCAAAAUUUACAGGGUAUACUCCUUUGAUAUAUAUGUACGCCCAAUAAAUUUUUUAUCAAUUUUGGAGUUAACCACAAGGAUUUAUAAAGGUUUACUUUUAAAAUAGUCUUUUCCCAUAAAAUUCAUAACUUCUAAUCUAUACAUCCAAAAAUCACCAUUUUUGGACACAAUCUAGAAAACUCAUCAAAUUAUCAUUUCAAAUUUUUCCAGAAUUUUUGACGGUUAGAAAAAUUACGAAACUGCAAAUGGAUUUUCACCCACCAUGCGGUAAUCCACGUAGACAGAUCAUUUCCACAAUUUAAUAAAGAAUGAAUACGAAGGGUAAUUCACCAUGCAUGCGGUAGUCUGCGUAGACAGGUUAUUCCAACAGAAUAAUAAAGAAUGGAAUAACAGAAGAAUUCACCAUGCAUGCGGUAGUCCGCGUAAACAGGUUAUUAAUUCCAAUAGAAUAAUAAAAAAUGGAAUAACAGAAGAAUUCACCAUGCAUGCGGUAGUCCGCGUAGACAUGUUAUUCCAAUAGAAUUAUAAAGAAUGGAACAACAGAAGAAUUCACCAUGCAUACGGUACUCCGCGUAGACAGGUUAUUCCAACAGAAUAAUAAAGAAUGGAAUAGCAAAAGAAUUCACCAUGCAUGCGGCAGUACGCGUAGACAAUUUAUUCCAACAGAAUAAUAAAGAAUGGAAUAACAACCCUUACGAGUAUUAAAAGAAAAUAACUCUUUUCAUGAAUACGAAAGAAAUAAUACCCCUUACCUUAGAAGAAAACUGGAUAAUAGUAAGGUAGCAGACUUCUCUUCUUCUUUCUCUCUAUAAUUUCUCUAUAUAAUAAUUGCUCUUGUGAGACUUAGUGAAUUAGUGAGAAAUGAAGGAAGAAUGAGCUUCUAUUUAUAGGAAAAUAUAGUUUCAAUAAUUGCACAUUUUGUGGCUUGAAAUAUUACAGUAUAAUACCUUCCUUUUUUUCUUCAUUUUAAUUUAGUCCUACAAGUAUUAUCAAACUUGCACCACCUCCCUAAUAGUAAAUCAUGUGAAUUAAUAGUUCAUUCAUGUGACUCAAUAGUAUAAUCAUGUGAAAAAAAAACUAAUUAUAGUAUAGUACCUCCAUCUAUACCUCCAUUUUUAAUUUAGUCAUGCAAGUAUUAUCAAUCUUGCACCACCUCCCCUAAUAGUACUUGCAUGUGAAUCAAUAGUACACACAUGUGAACAAAUAGUUAUAAGCAUGUGAAUUAAUAGCAAUUAAUUGCUCAUUUAUCCGAUUAAUAAUCCGAUUGGUCAAUAUAACAUCCAGACAUCAAUUAUUAUCGAAAUAAUUGUCGAUUUCCACUAACACUAACAAUCCCAACACAAUGGAAAUAUUUUUAUCAACAAAUUUAUUUUUGAAAUUUUGAAGUUUGACUUUUUCUGCAAAAGUCAAAUGUUGACUUUUUGACCAAAAAGUCAACCCCAGUAAAUUUUGUGUUUAUAGUCUAUUUUUACUAAUUUUAUCGUUCUGGACUCAAAUAUCACGUUCGCGUCUCCAAAUUUAAUUCUGAACUCAAAUUCUAGUUUUUAAUAACAUUCAUAAUUAAUAUUAUAACUCACAAUAUUAACAACCAGAUCGUUCCCAAGAAAGAGGGGGCUUUCCGAUAAGGAUUUCUCCCUAUUAGCGCGCAAUUAUAUUACCUAUCCUCUCCUUGACAGAACUUCUAGACAUCGUCAAUAUUGCAAAUAAUAAUAUGAAUAACUUUGACGUCUCAAUUAUUGAUUUAAUAAUAUAAAAUAUUAUACAUAUGAUACUGUGACAAUAAUUGAAUCAAUAAUAUGAGAGAUAUGAUGCAGCAAUUACUGUAGCAAUAAUUGAGUUUAACUAAGUGACUUCUUACAUAAGCAUCAAUAAUCAAUACCAUAUGGUACUAUGCAACCACGCGUAUUACUGUAUUUUUACCACCAAUUAUUAUAUGACAACUUACUUACUUUGAAAAAUUUUCACAUAUCACCCUUAACUUUAACAUUUUAUCAAUUUAACUAUUUACUAAAUAGAAUAAUAAUUAUAAAAAUUGAAUACUUUCAUUUCGUAAAAUUCGGGGUCUUACAAUCUCAUCUCCUUAUGAAAUUUUGUCCUCGAAAUUUACGUACCUAGUAGUUCGAAGAGAUGAGAAUACCUUGCUUUCUUUUUCGUUUUGUACCUUCCCGGUUAUUUCCUCUCUAUCAUGAUUUUCCCAUUUCUCAUCUCCUGUAUUUCAGAUAUCAUUCUAGAAUAUAGAUUCAAAAUAAGGGUUAAUUAACAUGCCACAUAUUAUCUCUAUAUUCUGACCAACCAAUUAAAUAACAAAUAAACUUAGGUAGGUCAUACUAGCGAAUGAAUUACCCGUCUCUCCCCUCCUAGUUCUAGCCUCACAUCUUAGCCAGGGAUCAUAUCCCUAAGCUUUGAUACUAAUUGUGACGCCCCCAAAACAGGUAUACAUCACCUAUUUUGAGUCGCCAAAUAUAUGGUACAUAAUACAACUACAAACUUCUUUUAUACAAUUGUCGUGUAAAAUACGACAAAACAUAGCUGAGAGUUUAAACAAGAAUAUUGCCUUCUAGACAAUAUCCACUCUCAAUGGAGUUCUCAUUACAUUUAUUAUCACACAAUUUCACAGAAUAGUGAGGACUACUAAAACAACCAUCUGGACCGUCAAUCUGUUUCCCGACCAGUCCCAGCUAUAUUCUCAUUUCCUGAAGAGAACAGUGAAAGAAAAGGGUGAGCUCAACUAGCCCAGUAAGAAAUAUUAUGACUAAGAUAAUGCAGAAUAAAUUAUUCUUAGCCUUCAACAGUAUAACAACUGAUAGAAUACAAUAGACAACAAGUUUUAGAUCAACAACUGCAGCGGAAUAAGCAAUCCAUUAGAAGAGUCAAGUAGAACAUAAUGUCUACUAUCUUCUAUGAUUAAAAAGUUUAUCAUCAAUUUUAUCGCUGUAAUAUCCAUCAACAGUUCUUUAUUAUACCAAAGACAAAGAGAACUUUCAUCACCUGUCUUCACCUGAACCACCAAAGAUUUUAUUUAAAUUCACAAUUCAUGUUUAUAAUAAUGUGAAUCAACAGUUCGUCCUUGCCACAAAGGAUUAAUAGAACGUUUACUCAAUAUCCUUACCCAUAAGGAUAAAGAUAUUCAAAUGUAAUAACAAUGAUCAUACCAAUCAGUUGUCUAUCUUUGCACUACGGGCCAAAGAUAUUCAACUAUAAAACCAAUGGUCAUGAUCAUACCAAUCAAUUGUAUGUCAGUGCACUACGGCCAAAGACAUUCAAUUUUUACCUAAUGGUCAUGAUCCUGCCACUCACAUCAUCGAAUUAUCCCUGCACUACGGCCAAGGAUAUUCUUUAGUAUCACCAGUGGUCAUGAUCAUGUCAUACACCUGUCCAUCUUUGCACUACGGGCCAAAGCUAUCAAUCAACAGUUCAUCUUUGGAUUACGACCAAAGAUAUCAAUUAACAGUUCUUCUUUGCACUACAGGUCAAAGACAUACAACUUUAAAACCAAUAUCCAACAGUCCAUCUAUGCACUACGGACCAAAGAUGACUUUUAACGCAAUAUAAGCAUGAGGAUCAUGACAAUGAUAUAAAGAAUCAGUCAAAUGAGAUAAAGGAUAAUUAUUAAAUAUUUAUAAUAUAAUUUAUCCAGAGUUCAAGAAUAUCUAAAUGUUAUCAAUCACUUAAUAAUCUCAUAAUCUAAUAACGUCCAAGUUGUCAACAUGAUACUUCUUUGUAGAGUAAAAUUCAAGAAUGCUCAGAAGAAUAUUUUCAUGAAAACAUACUAGAUGAAGCGCAAAUAUUAAGGAUAUUCCACUAAUUUCAUGGAGUAUAGAAGUCAAAACUUUAACCAAUGGAGUAUAAUAAAGAAUGAAAUAACAAAAAAAAUCACCAUGCAUGCGGUACUUCGCAUAAACAGGUAAUUCCAACAGAAUAAUAAUAACGGAACCAGGUCAGGCAUAAUACGCACCGACAGGAUAUUCUAACAGAAUAAUAAAGAAUGGAAUAACAACAAAAAUCACCAUGCAUGCGGUACGUCGCAUAGACAGGUUAUUCCAACAGAAUAACAAAUAAUGGAACCAGGUCUGACGUAAAACGCACAGACAGGAUAUUCCAACAGAAUAAUAAAGACGAAACCAGGUUCGACGUAAAACGCACAGACAAGAUAUUCCAACAAAAUAAUAAAGACGGAACCAGGUCUGACAUAAAAUGCACAGACAAGAUAUUCAAACAGAAUAAUAAAGAAUGGAAUAAUAACAGAAUUUCACCAUGUAUGCGGUACUUCGCAUAGACAUGUUAUUCCAGCAGAAUAAUAAAUAAUGGAAUAACAAAAGAAUUUCACCAAGUAUAGGGUAGUCCGCGUAUACAGGUUAUUCCAACAGAAUAAUAAAGAAUGGAAUAAUAGAAGUUCUCUUCAUGAAUACAAAAGAAAUAAUACCCCUUACAGGUACAACAAAUAAUAUCCCUUACCGUAAAAGAAACUUGAUAUCGGAGUAGUGAAGUAGCAGAAUACUUUUCUUCUUUCUCUCUAUAGUUUCUNNNNNNNNNNNNNNNNNNNNNNNNNNNNNNNNNNNNNNNNNNNNNNNNNNNNNNNNNNNNNNNNNNNNNNNNNNNNNNNNNNNNNNNNNNNNNNNNNNNNUAACUUUAUAAAAGUAUUCUGUUUUAUAUAAAAAGAUUUUACUAUUAGCCUAAUAAAACGAAUAACUUUAUAAAAGUAUUCUGUUUUAUAUAAAAAAAAAUUCUAUUUUAUUACAUUAAUAAUACUAAUAAAACAAAACUUAUAUAUAUAUAAUAUAUAUAACAAUCAACAAUAAUUGAAUCAAAUAACGUGAGAUACUAUGCAGCAACUACUGUAGCAAUAAUUGAACAAAACUGAGUGACUUCUCACGUAAACAUCAAUAAUUAAUAUCGUGUGCUACUAUGCAACCACGCGUAUUACUGUACUUUUACUACCGAGUAGUUCAACAGGUUUAAUGGUAAAACUUCCGCUGUUAUUUUCAUAAAAAUAUUUUUGUCGUUUUCUCAAUCCGACAAUAAUUCUGUUGUGGGGUCCACCAAUGAUUGUGCCGUCGUACGAAUAUUCCCUGUUAAAACAAAUAUUUCCCGACCAAUCGAAUAUUAUAUAACAACUUGCAUACUUUGCAAAAUUUAUAAAUACUACCCACAACUAUAACAUUAUCUCAAAUUCACACCAUAAUAUUCAAAAAAAUAUUUCGAGAAAAUUAAAUCUUUAUUCGUAAAAUUUGGGAUUUUACAUUGUCGGCUCACAAUCUCCAGAAGACUAAAAGCCUCCUAUAAUUUUUCAUUAUAAUGUGUUUUUACCCGGAGAUAACUUAACGAAAGAGCCAGCCAUAGUUCAGAAUACAUGGAUCAAUGAUAUUGGAUGGGGGAAGAAGGAAAGAUGCCCUGACCAUCGAUCCACUAACAUUGUGAAAUGUACAUUAUAUACAUUCUCCUUGCUAGCUUUUGUUGGUAACCAAACCUUCACACCAAGGUAACCAAACUGUCAUACCAAGGUAACCAAUCCACACCUCCAUACCAAGGUAACCAAACCUUCAUACCAAGGUAACCAAUCCACACCUGUAGUUUUUUCAUAAUGCAGUUGGUAACCAAACUUUCAUCUCAAGGUUACCAAACCUGCAGUUUUUUUAUAGUGCAGUUGGUAACAAAACUUUCAUACCAAGGUUAUCAAUCCACCUCCACACCUUCAGUUUUUCAUAGUGCAGUUGGUAACUAAACCUCCAUACCAAGGUAACCAAUCCACACUUGCAGUUUUUUCAUAGUGCAGUUGGUGACCAAAUAAACUAUCAUACCAAGGUUACCAAACCUGCAUACCAAGGUUACCAAUCCACCUCCACACCUGCAGUUUUUUCAUAGUUCAGUUGGUAACCAAACUUUCAUACCAAAGUAACUAAACUGUCAUACCAAGGUAACCAAUCCACUUCCACACCUUCAGUUUUUUCAUAGUGCAGUUGGUAACCAAACCUUCACACCAAGGUAACCAAACCUUCAUACCAAGGUAACAAACCUUCAUACCAAGGUAAUCAAACCACAUCCACACCUGCAGUUUGUUCAUAGUGCAGUAAUUGGUAGCCAAACAUUCAUACUAAGGUAACCAAUUCAGUGUUAUUAGGUUACCAAUUUAUUUUGAAUGUGAUGCAGUUGGUAGCCAAACCUUUAUGCAGUGGGUAGCCAAACAUUCAUACCAAGGUAACCAAUUCAGUUUUAUUAAGUUACUAAUUUAUUUUGAAUGUGAUGCAGUUGGUAGCCAAACCUUCAUGCAGUUGGUUGCCAAACUUUCAGUCCAAGGUAACCAAUUCAUACUGUAGGCGUUGAUGUAGAUUGGUUACCUUAGUAUAAAGGUUUGGUUACCUUGGUAUAAAAGUUUGGUUACCUUGGUACGAAGGUUUGGUUAUCAACAUUACAUUACACAUCACUCUCUUAUCUCUCUCUUUUCUAUUCAGAAAAUAAUUUUUUUUUAUAAAACUAGAACUGAAGGUGUUCCAGUACUAUUAUUAAGUAGCUAGCUAGCUUAUUACAUGAUGACACCAAUUAUGCCUUUAUCUCCGUUCAUGUCAUGAACUCUAAUUGCUCUCUGGUGCCAUGACAUUACUAAUGAUCUUCUCCUCUGCAGUAUCUCGUGAAUUUUCUUUUCUUACCGGAAAACGGUUGCUCCCGCCACCACUGCCCCACCCUCCACCUCCACCGUCUCUGUAACCACCACCUGAGCCACCACCGCCAACUCCNNNNNNNNNNNNNNNNNNNNNNNNNNNNNNNNNNNNNNNNNNNNNNNNNNNNNNNNNNNNNNNNNNNNNNNNNNNNNNNNNNNNNNNNNNNNNNNNNNNNNNNNNNNNNNNNNNNNNNNNNNNNNNNNNNNNNNNNNNNNNNNNNNNNNNNNNNNNNNNNNNNNNNNNNNNNNNNNNNNNNNNNNNNNNNNNNNNNNNNNNNNNNNNNNNNNNNNNNNNNNNNNNNNNNNNNNNNNNNNNNNNNNNNNNNNNNNNNNNNNNNNNNNNNNNNNNNNNNNNNNNNNNNNNNNNNNNNNNNNNNNNNNNNNNNNNNNNNNNNNNNNNNNNNNNNNNNNNNNNNNNNNNNNNNNNNNNNNNNNNNNNNNNNNNNNNNNNNNNNNNNNNNNNNNNNNNNNNNNNNNNNNNNNNNNNNNNNNNNNNNNNNNNNNNNNNNNNNNNNNNNNNNNNNNNNNNNNNNNNNNNNNNNNNNNNNNNNNNNNNNNNNNNNNNNNNNNNNNNNNNNNNNNNNNNNNNNNNNNNNNNNNNNNNNNNNNNNNNNNNNNNNNNNNNNNNNNNNNNNNNNNNNNNNNNNNNNNNNNNNNNNNNNNNNNNNNAGAGUGUUGGGAGAUAGCAUUAGAUAUACAUAAUAUUUUUACAUAUUUACUAAUACACAAAAUCAUUUUCUAAUUUCUCUUUCAUCUUUCAUUCUAAACUAGCUAUCAAAGCAAAACAAAAAAGAGAGAGGGAGAGCAUAGAUUUGAUAGCCUUAAGGAGGUAAAGGGGAAGAAUUUUAAUCUUCAUGCACCCUAAGUUCAUCAAUUACUUUGGUAAAAGAAGAAGAACAUCCCAAAGAACAAGGUAAAGACCCUAAAAAAUUUCAAGUUUUGUUACUUUCUUUUGAUAAGUUUUGAUGAAAUAAAGAGCUUGUGUUCUUGAACUUUAAAACUCUUGAUCUACAUGUGUAUGCUUUUUUCACAUGUAGGUCUAGUUAUUUUUGAAGUUAAAAGUUUUUAAAAAAAAGAAAAAAGAAGAAGAAAUGAAAGUAUGUUCAAAAGGGGCUAAACACCCUAAAUUAACUAUUUUUUUUAUUUAGUUUUUUUUGAUGAAAUGUAAAGAUGAUGUUUCUAAGUUCUAAAAUUUUUUAUCUUUAUGUUUUCUAGUGUUUCAUAUAAAGAUCUAACCAUUUUUUAUGUUAAAGGUUUGAUCAAAGGUAAGGAAAGGAAACUAGUUUUUUUUUAACGAAUAAAAACCCUAAAACUUUUUAUUCACUUUGAAAUGCUAUCAUUUAAAAUCUACAUCUCCUAUUUAUGAUCCGUCAAAGAUGGGUGCUAGAUAUAGGAGUUAGCUUUCAAACCUAAGUGGUAUCACUCAAAUAUGUUGAAUUUACAAGCUUUGGUGACUGUUUUAACAAAGCUAUCCAGAUUUUUAAAAGAGAAAAAUGGAACAAUCUCAUUAUACUACAAAACAAUAUUAUUAAGGUUUAUUUACACUAUUUUAAGAGAAGCUAGAAAUGAGUUGCUGUUUGUCCAUAAGCAACAGCCACAAAGGUACUGUCUGAGAGCCUAGGAAGAGCUCCCAGACACUGUUUGUAUGCCUACUGCUACUGCCGAGGCAGUAGCCCUGCACCAAGUUCACUUUUAGCAACUUCUGAUAUUCUACUUUGCUUAGGCUAAAUUUUUAGAGAUGGUAAAGGUACUAUAUUAGUCUCUUUUAGAAACCUACGAGGCUUAAAUUUCACGUUUAUUUACUGUCCAAAAACAAUUGUCAAAGUGACUUAACAUAAUAGGUUUUAAUUUUUCACUUUGGCCUAAUAAUGUAGUUUAUUUCAUUUUAGUAAUGUUAAACUUAUUAAUUAUCUUUAUAUGUGUUGUCUCAACCACACUCAAGCUGCAAUUCCUUCUAAAAUCCCAUUUUUAGUUAAAACAGUUCACCUAGGACUUUUAACAAACAGGUGGUGUGCACAGUUCCAAUUUCUUCUUUUCAUAGCCAUUUAUUUGAGUUAUAAAUCCAUUUUUAUCCUCCUUAUUAUUCCUCAGCCCAACCUAGCUCCUUAUGCCUAAAUCCAGCUCAUAACAGUUAAAUACACGAUUUAAUAUGUGUAUAAUCAAGUAAUUGACAACUAUCUAGUUAUAACUUAGUUAGCUCACUAAUUUUCUUACUUUCAACCUUAUUAACAAUACAUUUCCAGCCCCAACAGUAGGCACAAUCCAUAACAGUUCUAGGCAUAGCAAUAUAUUGUACAAUCAUAAGCAUGUGCAAUCACUUAUUACAAUUAUAGGCAUAAGCAGUCACUUAUUACAACCUAACAAUUUCAAUUCUUGACAUACAAACUUAGUAAACAAUGGUUUUAUUACUCUACAUAAACAAGGUUCACAACUUAUAACUUUAAGCAUGAUAACUAGAAACAACCUCUAUCUUGAUUAAGGUGAAUAUUAAAGCACUUGGAAUAUGUAGUCUCUAAAAGAUAUUUGCAUACAUAGCUUCAAUUGGAUAAAUUCUUAGCUUACAUGUGAUUCUCACAACACAGUUUUUUUAUUAGUUAGUAAUAUAACCAAAUCAAGUCAUGACUUUGAAAUUAUAGGUAGCUAGGGGUUGUUUUGAAUCCUAAUCCAAAACAGGCCCAGAUUUGCCCUACUCUAGGCUCUUUUGAAAACUUCCAUAAACCUUCAUGGUUAGGUUCUUUAGACCCCAUGUUAUAAAGUAUAACCCACUUCAUUUUCAAGGACAGAUAAGUUCUUAUAUAAGUUUAUCAAUCUAGUUAAAAGUGGUUUCAUUUUGCUUAUGUAUAUGAUUGUCAUGGUAUGUAAGUUAUACCAAUACAUGUUAUACUUAGGCAUAGAGGGUACUUGAAGCAUAGCUACCCUUUAAAUGAGAACUUAAACAUAAUUUUGGACUCCAUUCCCAGCCAGCCUAUUUUGACACUAUAACAGUUUUAGAGUAGCAUUUUAGGCAUGGUUUAUUACACCAAAACAGUAGCAAGCACUAACGUAUAUGCCUUUCUAACACAUGAACCUUUUAUGUACCAUAUUUUCAUGAUUUAAAGCAUCUAAAGUCAAGGUCUUUAUGCUUUAGGCCAACACAACCCUCUUUAGUAUUUAAAUUCAAAAACAAACAUGGUUUACCAACAUGUUUACGAAGAUAGCAUAAGUGUGCAACAUAGAAGCUUAUACUAUCUUUUUAUAUAGUAUUUAACAUGCAUAAUAUAUGUUUGGAUGACAUGGAAUAUGUAAGACCCCAACUUAUUAUAAAUAAAAUUGAAUUUCUCUAUUUAUUAUCUUGAAAUAAUAAGGUGAUAAUUUGAUAUAAUACUUUAGUUAUGGGUGAAAUGUGCAAAUUUUGCAAAAUAAGCAAGUGGUUAUAAAAUAUUCAUUUUUGUCGAGGAAUAUUCGUUUGGUCAUGGAAUUUUCUUGUUGUCGGGGAAUAUUCGUAUGACGACGCAGCCAUUUGUUGGACCCAUAACAGAAUAAUUGUCGGAUGAAGAAAACAAUAAGCUUGAGUUUUUAUAAAUAACGGCGUAGUUGUUACCGUUAACACUGUUGGAAUACCCGGUGGUUAAAAUACAGUAAUACGCGUGAUUGCACAGUAGCACAUGGUAUUACACAGUAUUUUUGAAUUAUUAAUUCUUACAUAAGAAGACACUACUUAAUAAUUGUUACAGUAAUUACUGUUCAAUAUUUUAUUUUAUUUAUUCAAUAAUUGUUGCGUUGAUAUUUUAUAGUAUUGUUGUUUCAAUAAUUGUCAUUGCACAGUAUUUCCCAUUAUCAGAUCAAUAAUUCAUAAUAUUUGAAUAAUAUUAUUAGAUAGCAUUAUUGGCAAUGUCUAGAAAGUUUUGUCAAGGAGAGGUUUGGUCACUUAAUUGCGCGCUAGUAAGGAGAAAUUCUUAUCGAAAAGCCCCCUCUUUCCUGGGAACGGCCUGAUUGUCAUUAUUGUGAUUCUGUAAUAUUAUUUGUGAAUAAUUAUUUAUUGAUUUAUAUGAUAAGGAAAUAAUUAUUUUAUAUGGACAUAAAUGAUAUGAGACCCCAGAUUUUAUGAAUAAAUAUUUAUUUUUCUCGAAAUAAUUUUUUAAUAUUAUGGCGUGGAUUUGAUAUAAUGUUAUAGUUGUGGGUAGUAUUUAUAAAUUUUGCAAAGUAUGCAAGUUGUCAUAUUAUAUUCGAUUGGUCGGGAAAUAUUCUUUUUGUCGGAGAAUAUCCGUACGACGGCACAAUCAUUGAUGGACCCCACAACGGAAUAAUUGUUGGAUUGAGAAAACGAUAAAAAUAUUUUAUUAAAAAUAUCGGCGGAAGUUUUACCGUUAAUACUGUUGAACUACUCGGUAGUAAAAGUACAGUAAUACACGUGAUUGCAUAGUAGCACACGGUAUUGAUUAUUGAUGUUUACGUGAGAAGUCACUCAGUUUUGUUCAAUUAUUACUACAUUAGUUGCUGCAUAAUAUCUCACGUUAUUUGAUUCAAUUAUUGUUGAUUGUUAUAUAUAUAUAUAUAUAUAUAUAUAUAAGUUUUGUUUUAUUAGUAUUAUUAAUGUAAUAAAACAGAAAAACUUUUUAUAUAAAACAGAAUACUUUUAUAAAGUUAUUCGUUUUAUUAGGCUAAUAGUAAAAUCUUUUUAUAUAAAANNNNNNNNNNNNNNNNNNNNNNNNNNNNNNNNNNNNNNNNNNNNNNNNNNNNNNNNNNNNNNNNNNNNNNNNNNNNNNNNNNNNNNNNNNNNNNNNNNNNNNNNNNNNNNNNNNNNNNNNNNNNNNNNNNNNNNNNNNNNNNNNNNNNNNNNNNNNNNNNNNNNNNNNNNNNNNNNNNNNNNNNNNNNNNNNNNNNNNNNNNNNNNNNNNNNNNNNNNNNNNNNNNNNNNNNNNNNNNNNNNNNNNNNNNNNNNNNNNNNNNNNNNNNNNNNNNNNNNNNNNNNNNNNNNNNNNNNNNNNNNNNNNNNNNNNNNNNNNNNNNNNNNNNNNNNNNNNNNNNNNNNNNNNNNNNNNNNNNNNNNNNNNNNNNNNNNNNNNNNNNNNNNNNNNNNNNNNNNNNNNNNNNNNNNNNNNNNNNNNNNNNNNNNNNNNNNNNNNNNNNNNNNNNNNNNNNNNNNNNNNNNNNNNNNNNNNNNNNNNNNNNNNNNNNNNNNNNNNNNNNNNNNNNNNNNNNNNNNNNNNNNNNNNNNNNNNNNNNNNNNNNNNNNNNNNNNNNNNNNNNNNNNNNNNNNNNNNNNNNNNNNNNNNNNNNNNNNNNNNNNNNNNNNNNNNNNNNNNNNNNNNNNNNNNNNNNNNNNNNNNNNNNNNNNNNNNNNNNNNNNNNNNNNNNNNNNNNNNNNNNNNNNNNNNNNNNNNNNNNNNNNNNNNNNNNNNNNNNNNNNNNNNNNNNNNNNNNNNNNNNNNNNNNNNNNNNNNNNNNNNNNNNNNNNNNNNNNNNNNNNNNNNNNNNNNNNNNNNNNNNNNNNNNNNNNNNNNNNNNNNNNNNNNNNNNNNNNNNNNNNNNNNNNNNNNNNNNNNNNNNNNNNNNNNNNNNNNNNNNNNNNNNNNNNNNNNNNNNNNNNNNNNNNNNNNNNNNNNNNNNNNNNNNNNNNNNNNNNNNNNNNNNNNNNNNNNNNNNNNNNNNNNNNNNNNNNNNNNNNNNNNNNNNNNNNNNNNNNNNNNNNNNNNNNNNNNNNNNNNNNNNNNNNNNNNNNNNNNNNNNNNNNNNNNNNNNNNNNNNNNNNNNNNNNNNNNNNNNNNNNNNNNNNNNNNNNNNNNNNNNNNNNNNNNNNNNNNNNNNNNNNNNNNNNNNNNNNNNNNNNNNNNNNNNNNNNNNNNNNNNNNNNNNNNNNNNNNNNNNNNNNNNNNNNNNNNNNNNNNNNNNNNNNNNNNNNNNNNNNNNNNNNNNNNNNNNNNNNNNNNNNNNNNNNNNNNNNNNNNNNNNNNNNNNNNNNNNNNNNNNNNNNNNNNNNNNNNNNNNNNNNNNNNNNNNNNNNNNNNNNNNNNNNNNNNNNNNNNNNNNNNNNNNNNNNNNNNNNNNNNNNNNNNNNNNNNNNNNNNNNNNNNNNNNNNNNNNNNNNNNNNNNNNNNNNNNNNNNNNNNNNNNNNNNNNNNNNNNNNNNNNNNNNNNNNNNNNNNNNNNNNNNNNNNNNNNNNNNNNNNNNNNNNNNNNNNNNNNNNNNNNGAUAUUGUUUAGAAGACAAUAUUUGUAUUAAAACUCACAGCUCUCUUGUUGUAUAUUAAAGAUUGUAUUUGUAUUCUGUACCAUGUAUUUGGCGACUCAGAAUAGGUGAUGUAUACCUAUUUUGGGGGCGUCACAGUUGGUAUCAAAGCUUAGGGAUAUGAUCCCUGGCUGAGAUGUGAGAUAAGAACUAGGAGGGGAGAGACGGGGAAUUCCUUCGCUAGUAUGAACUACCUAAGUUUAUUUGGUAUUUAAUUGGUCGGUUAGAGUAUAGGGAUAAUAUGUGUUAUGUUAAUUAACCCUUAUUUUGUGGCAGUAUUUAAAAAUGGCAUCCGAUAAUGUUGAGAAUAGCAAUGGAGCACAGGAGACCGUUGAGUCUCCACAGAUUAAUAAUCAGGACAAUGUGCAACCGGAUGACGAUAAUCCUCCUGUAAACAACAACACUAAUCAAUUGACGAACGACGGUACGUUUAAGAGCUUUUUAGAAUUCAUGCAACACCAAACGAGAGAGACUCCUGUUCAUAAUGCUGGAGGAAACAAUGGCAACCCACGGUUGGUCACCGCUAAGUAGUUCAAGGAGCUGGGACCACCAGAGUUUUUGGAAAAGCCAGAACCACUUAAGGCAGAGACGUGGUUAAAGCAGAUCACCAAGAUAUUUGAUGUCUUGGGAUGCUUGAAAGAGCAAAAAGUUCCAUUCGCCACCUUUAUGUUUCGUGAAGAAGCAGAUCACUGGUGGGAAUCUAUAAAACGUACCCAGCCUGACGCACUCAAGAUAUCUUGGGAGAAGUUCCAAGAGCUGUUCAACGACAAGUACUUUCCUGAAAGUAUUCGUCACAUGAAGGAGGUGGAGUUCAUCAAGCUGGAGCAAAACAAUAUGACCGUGUCGCAGUACGAGGCUAAGUUUGCCGAGUUGUUCCGAUUUGCGUUCCAUUUGGUUGAUAAUGAGGAAAGAAUGACGCGAAUGUUUCUAAGAGGUUUGAAAUCCAAUAUACGUCAAUACCUCAUUUCUCACAAACUUUAUUUAUAGUCAGAUGUUGUGAAUAGGGCUCAGUUAUUGGAGCACGAUAAUGAGUUAGCACAACCAAAAGGCAAUGACCAACAACACGAUAAUAAUUAUAUCAGUGGCAACGGUCAUCGGAACAAUGAUAACCAUCGUGGGGGAAAUUAUCAUGCCAAGAAUGGUAACCACUUCGCUGGUAAUCAUGGACAAGAUAAUAGAAGUGGAAAUUUCAAGAAGAGAAGGUUCAAUAAUGAUGGAAAGACAGUAGCACCAGCACCCGUUUCAAAGGAAGAAGAACGACCACCGAUCGUAUGUUUCAAAUGCGGACAGGAGGGACACAUCCGUCCAAACUGUAUGCAGCAAUCCAAAACGUGUUUUAAUUGCGAAAGAGAAGGUCACCUAGCUCGAUUUUAUCGUAUGGUAAAGUCAAGUCCAGCUGGGAUAGUGAUGCCAAAGGAUGUCCCAGACAAGCCAAAGCUGAUAAUUUAAGAGAGAACGUUUUUUUUCUCGUGACGAGGAACCUGAAUAAAAUUAUCAUGGGUAAGUUAAUCAUAAACUCUUGCGAAGUCUAUACCAUGUUAGAUACCGGUUUUACUCACUCUUUUAUUUCACCUAGUUGUGUUCAAUGUUUGUACUUAACUCCGGAGAAGUUAGAAUCUGAUUUAUCUAUUAAAACUCCGUUGGGAGAAACCUUCGUUACAUCUAUUAUUUAUAAAUCUUGUUUGAUUCAAAUCGACACUUUCAUGUUACCUGUCGAUCUUAUCUCUUUGAAAAUACUUAUCUUUGAUGUGAUUUUAGAAAUCGAUUGGUUAACUACUCAUCAUGCUUUUCGUAAGGUUGUUAGAUUUCAUAUUCCUAACCAACCUGUUAUGCAAAUUCAAGCAACCAAACCACUAAAUUCAAUCAUUGUCAUAUCAAGCCAUAAGUAAAGAGCCCCGAUCCUUUUGUUGUUGACUUCCUUGUGUGGAAUGCACUGAAGCCAGACUUUCUGUAUGCGACAUCAUGAAUGACGAUGGCAAGUUGAUAGGUAUUAAUAUGACGUACUAUCCAAGUCUUGGAUGAGAGUAACAGUUUUGAAUGAUAUUUCUAUCGUUAAUAAAUUUCCUGACGUAUUCCUGAAGACUUCAUAGCCUACCCCUAGAGCAUGAAAUCGAAUUUUAUAUUGACCCCAGUACAAAACCCAUUUCUUACACCCUCGAAUAUUUCUUCAACUAAAAUGAACGUAACAUACGCCAAAGACGUUGAAUCGAGCUGUUGAAGAUUACGAACGUACCAUUCAAUACCAUCGUAGGAAAAGCUAACAUGGUUGCUAACGCGUUGAGUAGAAGAUCGUAUGCGGUUACAAGUGCGAAUAUAAGAACCCACGUGAAGAUAAUGAAUAUACGAGUAGAAUUGACUUUAAUCAAUAAAGUUAAAGCCGCUCAAGCUAAAUACUCAGAGCUGAUGAAUGUGAAAAAGAAGGUUUAAGAGGGUGUUAUUCUAGAAGCAAGAAUCGAUGAAGAGAGGAAAUCUCAACCCUCGAUUUAAUUGGCCCAUUUGAAAUCCUCGAUUGAGUAGGAACUGUGGCUUACAGACUCAUUUUACCGCCAAGUAUGUCGCGUGCUCAUAACGUUUUUAACGUAUCGAUGUUACGUAAAUAUGUGGACGACCCAAACCACAUUAUUAAUUUAGAACCAGAUGAGAUAGCAGAUGAUUUAACGUAUGAGGAGAUACGUGUUAAAAUCUUGGAUAAGAAGGAUUAUAUUCGACACUCAAAGGUUAUAUCUCAAGAGUUAGAAUCUGAAAUGAAGUCAAGGUAUCCUCACCUGUUCGGCAUACCAGGUACGUACGUAAAUUUUGAGGGCGAAAUUCCAUAAGGAGGGGAGAUUGUGAGACCCCAGAUUUUAUGAAUAAAUAUUUAAUUUUCUCAAAAUAAUUUUUUAAUAUUAUGGUGUGGAUUUGAUAUAAUGUUAUAGUUGUGGGUAGUAUUUAUAAAUUUUACAAAGUAUGCAAGUUGUCAUAUUAUAUUCGAUUGGUUGGGGAAUAUUCUUUUUGUUGAGGAAUAUCCGUACGACGGCACAAUCAUUGGUGGACCCCACAACGGAAUUAUUGUCGGAUUGAGAAAACGACAAAAAUAUUUUAUUAAAAAUAACGGCGGAAGUUUUACUGUUAAUACUGUUGAACUACUCGGUAGUAAAAGUACAGUAAUACGCGUGGUUGCAUAGUAGCACACGGUAUUGAUUAUUGAUGCUUACGUGAUAAGUCACUCAGUUUUGUUAUUGGUAUUAUUAAUGUAAUAAAACAUAAAAUCUUUUUAUAUAAAACAGAAUACUUUUAUAAAGUUAUUCUAUAAAUAGAAUAUAUUAUAUUCUAUUAUGCAUAGUGUUUUGCAUAGUAAAAUCUUUUUAUAUAAAACAGAAUACUUUUAUAAAGUUAUUCUAUAAAUAGAAUAUAUUAUAUUCUAUUAUGCAUAGUGUUUUGCAUAGUAAAAUCUUUUUAUAUAAAACAGAAUACUUUUAUAAAGUUAUUCUAUAAAUAGAAUAUAUUAUAUUCUAUUAUGCAUAGUGUUUUGCAUAGUAAAAUCUUUUUAUAUAAAACAGAAUACUUUUAUAAAGUUAUUCUAUAAAUAGAAUAUAUUAUAUUCUAUUAUGCAUAGUGUUUUGCAUAGUAAAAUCUUUUUAUAUAAAACAGAAUACUUUUAUAAAGUUAUUCUAUAAAUAGAAUAUAUUAUAUUCUAUUAUGCAUAGUGUUUUGCAUAGUAAAAUCUUUUUAUAUAAAACAGAAUACUUUUAUAAAGUUAUUCUAUAAAUAGAAUAUAUUAUAUUCUAUUAUGCAUAGUGUUGCAUAGUGUCUGCAUAGUGAUUUGCAUAGUAAAAUCUUUUUAUAUAAAACAGAAUAUUUUUAUAAAGUUAUUCGUUUUAUUAGAUUAUAAAUAGAAUAUAUUAUAUUUUAUUUAAAAGAUUUUGCUUUAAAUAUGGACCGUCCGAUUAAAGUAAAUCAAUCUGGACCGUUCAUGAGUUAGUUACUAUGUAGUCCAUUCUUCUAUAAAUAGAAGCUCAUUCCUUCAUUAUUUUCUUACGAAUUCACUGAAACCCUAGAGAGAGAAAUUAUAGAGAAAAAAAAGAAAAGUAUUCUGCUACUUUACUACUCCGAUAUCAAGUUUCUUUUACGGUAAGAGAUAUUAUUUGUUGUACUCGUAAGGGGUAUUAUUUCUUUUGUAAUCAUGAAGAGAACUUCUGUUAUUCCAUUCUUUAUUAUUCUGUUGGAAUAACCUGUAUACGUGGUCUACCCUAUACUUGGUGAAAUUCUUCUGUUAUUCAAUUCUUUAUUAUUCUAUUGGAAUAUCCUGUCUGUGCGUUUUAUGCCAGACCUGGUUCCGUCUUUAUUAUUCUGUUGGAAUAUCCUGUCUGUGCGUUUUACGCCGGACCUGGUUCCGUCUUUAUUAUUCUGUUGGAAUAUCCUGUCUGUGCGUUUUACGCCGGACCUGGUUCCGUUAUUUAUUAUUCUGUUGGAAUAACCUGUCUAUUCGAAGUACCGCAUGCAUGGUGAUUUUUGUUGUUAUUCCAUUCUUUAUUAUUCUAUUGGAAUAUCAUGUCUGUGCGUUUUACGCCAGACCUAGUUCUAUCUUUAUUAUUUUGUUGGAAUAACCUGUCUAUGUGAAGUAUCGCAUGCAUGGUAAUUUCUGUUGUUAUUCCAUUCUUUAUUAUUCUGUUGGAAUAUCCUGUCGGUGUGUAUUACGCCUGACCUGGUUCCGUUAUUUAUUAUUCUAUUAGAAUAACUUGUCUAUGCGAAGUACCGUAUGUAUGGUGAUUUCUUUUCUUAUUCCAUUCUUUAUUAUACUCAGUUAGUUAAAGUUUUGACUUCUAUACUCCAUGAAAUUAGUGGAAUAUCCUUGAUAUUUAUACUUCAUCCAGUAUCUUUUCAUGAAAAUAUUCUUCUGAGCAUUCUUGAAUUUUACUCUACAAAGAAGUAUCAUGUUGAAAAUUUGGACGUUAUUGAUUCCUGGAUAAAUUAAUUCGUGAACUUGUUUUAUUGAAUUAUUAUGUCAUUGUCAUCAUCCUCAUGUUUAUUUUUUUUGAAAGUCAUCUGUGGCCUGUAGUGCAUAGAUGGACUUGGUAUGAUUAUGACCAGGGAUUAUUCGGUAUAAUCAUGACCGUAAUAUUACAAAUGAUGUGGAAAAAGUCCUCAUUGGCCCGUAAUGCAUUAAUGGACAGUUUUCGGUAUGAUUAUGGCUAUGGAUUCUCUUCGGCCAAGGGUGCAAAAAUGAAUUGUUUUAUGUCAUGAUCAGGACCGUUGAUGAAAACACGAUUUUCUUUGGCCCGUAGUGCAUGGAUAAUUCGUGGUCGUGAUACUAAAGAAUAUCCUUGGCCUGUAGUGCAGGGAUGAUUUGAUGAUGUGGAUUAUUUAUUGGGCUGAGUCUCAGCAAUAAAAGUGAUGAAAAAACUUUUUAAAUCAUAAAACAUAGUAGAUUCUAUUCUCUACUUGACUCUUUUAAUGGAUUGCUUGUUCCGCUGCAGUUAAACUUGAUGUCUAUUGUAUUUUAUCAGUUUAACAUUGUUGAAGACUAAUGAUAAUUUAUUCUGCACUAUCUUAGUCAUAAUAUUUCUUACUGGGCUAGUUGAGCUCACCCUUUCUUUCACUGUUCUAUUCAGGAAAUGAGAAUAUAGCUGGGGCGAGUCGGGGAACGGAGUGAUGGACCAGAUGAUAGUAUUAGUAGUCCUCACUAUUCUGUUAAAUAGUGUGAUAAUAAAUGUAAUGAGGACAUAUUCUGAGAGUGGAUAUUGUUUAGAAGACAGUAUUUGUAUUAAAACUCACAGCUCUCUUGUUGUAUAUUAAAGAUUGUAUUUGUAUUAUGUACCAUGUAUUUGGCGACUCAGAAUAGGUGAUGUAUACCUAUUUUGGGGGCGUCAAAAAUGAUGGGUAGAAAAAUAUUUAUUUUGUGUGGUUAUAAAUGAAGAAAUUAAUUUUGAGGUAUUUUAUAAUUAUUUUGUCAGAAUGGAUGUAUUAAAAAUCAUCCGUAUGUGGAUUUCGGACAUUUUUUGUUUAGAAUUUGGAAAAACUUUCUUCUCUAAAGUUGUAGAGAAUUUGAUUUCCUAUGGAAUGGACAUAAAAUUCAUAUUUUUCUGAUAAAAGAGCUAUUUAUUGUGAAUUAAAUGGAGUAAAGAUAAUCAAAUUGAAUUAGUUUUCAAAUUGAAUUUGAAUUCUUUUAUUUAUUUAUUUUUCAAAAAUAUGUGAUAAAUUAUUGGGGUGGGUGAGCAAAGUUGGACAAUCUUGAUUCAAGUAAGGUGUGCGUAGAAGAGAAGGAAAUAAGAAUAUUAUUUUAUUAUUUUAGUCUCCUUUGGCGUUCUAGCAUUUUUCUAUAAAUAGGUGCUUAAGUUAGAAUUGAAAAUCACACCAGAAACAUAAGCUUUCUCUCUCUAGAUUAUCGAGCGUAUUAUUGUGAGUAUUUUUCUUGAGUAUAGGAAUACUUUGAGCGUAGUUUUCUGCAAGAUUUUCUCAGAAUAAUAUCCAAUAUUCCAGGCAAAUCCAGUUUCUACUAAGGUAAAGGAUAUUAUUUUAUUGCUUUUAUAAUUCCUGAAAUGAUUAGAAAUUUCACUUCAUCUAAUAUCCUUUUAUAGGAAUAUUGGUCUGAACUUUUUAUCAAAUUUAGAACUUUUCAUGACGGGUACUGUUCACCGGUACUGUUCACGGGUACUGUUCAAAAAAGAAAAAAAAAUUUCUCCUUCCCAGUUAUCUGUUGUGACCUUUAAUCCUGAAAUUGAAUCCAUGUUUUUGAUCUUUAUUCUUGAAUUUUACUCCAUUAUGGUUUAUUAUGGAGUAUUUUUAAACUUGAGUUAUCUAAAGUACAAAUCUCUAAACUUUAUCCUUUUAUCUCACUUGAUUCGUUCUCUAAAAUGUUUUUCAUCAUCCUCAGUCCUUAAUGGUGAUACUUGAUAAAUAUCUUUGGCCUGUAGUGCAAAGAUGUAUGAUUACCUGAUGAAUAUCUUUGGCCUGUAGUGCAAAGAUGAACAGGUGUUGAGAUGAACAUGACCAACUGGUGAUACAAAUGAAUAUCUUUGGCCCGUAGUGUAAAGAUGAAUAUUUGAUUCAAGAUGUAUAUUGAUUGAUGUUACAGGGAUAAAAUAUUGAUGAUGGACUUUUAAAUUCAUAGAUGAUAGUAGAUUUCAUUCUCUACUUAACUCUUCUAAUGAAUUGUUGUUUCCGCUGCAGUUGUUGAUCUAAAACUUGUUGUCUAUUGUAUUCUAUCAGAUUUUUCCCUGUUGAAGACUAAGGAUAAUUUGUUGUAUAUUAUCUUAGUCAUAAUAUUCUUUACUGGGCUAGUUGAGCUCACCCUUUUCCUUUUUGUUCCAUUUUUCUUCUCAGGAAGCGAGAACAUAGCAGGAACCAGUCGGGGUAUAGAGUGAUGGUCCUAGACAGUUGUUUUAGAAGUCCUCACUAUUUUUGUAAAAUAGUGCAUCAAUAAUUGUAAUGAAGACUUUAUUUGAGUGUGGAUAUUGUCUAGAAGACAAUAUUUGUAUUUAAACUCACAGUAUGUGUUGUCGUAUUUUGCACGACAAUUGUAAUAAUAAAGUUGUAGUUAUUUUCUGUACCAUAUAUUUGGCGACUCAGAAUGGGUGAUGUAUACCUAUUUUAGGGGCGUCGCAGAAUAGCUUAUACCAUAUCAGUCAUUAUCAAAUCCUCUAGUCUAGCAUACAAAAUCCUUAAAACGGUGGCUAAGUCUUAGUUAAAUGCUUAGCUCAUAUAUAGACCGGUAUACACCAAGUUAUAAUCAUCUUAUGCUCAUGCAAAACUAACCUUUUAAGCACAUUUGCAUCUUUAGAAUUUUAAUAUAGAAUAUUGGCAUAGGAUUAGACUUGGCUGUACUCAUUUUCAACACAGUUGACUCCAAUAGUCUAUUAACAGACAUUUUACCAAACAGUUGGGAUGCGGUUCAUAUCUAUCCAUACAAUACAUAUAUUCUUAGCUUAGUGAUCCCAGCCUUAUGGCUUAAACAAUAACAAGCAUAAGAUGAUACAUAACAACUCCAAUCACGGUAAUCCAAAUAGCAUUGAAACAGGCAUCCUAUUGUACCAAUUCCAAUAUAACAGCCAUACAUGUUACCUAAACUCUAACAGUCCAGUUGCUAUCAUUUAAAGAAACAGGAACGAAUGGAAAAGGAUUGGAAAGGUCAGAAUUGGCUUACCUUGUUGAUUUGAAGGUUACAAGUGGGUUGAGCUGCCCAGUUUCUCCUCCUUCUCUAGCCGAAGCUUUUCCUCUCUUACUCUAUAUGACUGAUACCGUUACUUCUUCCCUUUUUCUUUUAACUUUGCUAAGUGGUGAGCUAAUCGGUUCUAGGCCAUAAGCUUGGCCUUUUAUGGUUGAGUUUAUCUCCUCUUUUCUGGCAGUACUAUCACCUUUAGUUGGCCUCUACACAACCACCCUAUCAAGCUCCCAUCCAUCAUUCCUAUUCUAGUUCACUUGGCCCCUAUAGGGCCUGUCAGACCAUAGCUAUUCUGCUUCCUCUUAUCCACUGCAAGUUUAUCCCACCUGCUAGCUGACUGUUAACUGAACUAACAUGCUAACUAGAAACCAACUUAGAAUUCGUAUAACUUGCUACUUGACUUGGUGCUCAAGCCAUGUUAUUGUUUUUCUUAAUUGGUUUGAAGCAGUUAUCUUGCUAUACAUCACUGGGUUUACAGGAUUGGGCUGGGGGAACAAUGUGACAAUUUUAAUUUGGGUUUAAACUAACCCUCCCUCUUUAACCAUGUAGCUGCCAAAUUGCACUAAGAAAAUAGGUUAAAAUUGGCCCUUUUAAUUUUGUUAUAGACCUAAUACAACAACCCAUACCCUAAAAUAGUUGAAAGGGGCAUACAAGCAUACAUAGCAAAAUUUAAUAUGGCCCAAUGUUUUAGAAUGGACUCAUUUUAAACACAAAAUUUUUUCUAUCUUAUUAAAUUCCUUUUAGGCUAGCAACAAUAGUUGGUACAUAUAUCAUUAACUCUUUUUUUUUACCAUUCAUGAUCUAAGAUACUUAAUAAAAUAUUAAGUAACAAAUAAUUAUAAGGUCAGGAUACAAAAAUAAAAUAAAAUUUAUACACAAAAUUGACAUUAUAACAACUGAAUAUUUUAUAGAAUUUCUGAGUCAUUACAUUUACUUUGUUAAGGACUAAUGAUAAUUUAUUUUACAUUAUCUUAGUCAUAAUAUUCUUUACUAGGCUAGUUGAGCUCACCAUUUUCUUUCAUUGUUCUUUUCAGGAAAUGAGAAUAUAGUUGUGACUAGUCGGAGAAUGGAGUGAUGGUCCAAGAUGGUUGCUAUAGUAGUCCUCACUAUUCUAUAAAAUAGUGUGAUAAUAAUUGUAAUGAGAACUUCAUUUGAGUUUGGAUAUUGUCUACGAAAUAAUAUUUGUAUUAAAACUCACAACUUACGUUUUGUCGUAUUUUACACGACAAUUAAUAAUUGUAUAAAUGCAGUUUGUAUUUGAAUUUUGUACCAUGUAUUUGGUGACUCAGAAUGAGUUGUAUGGACCUAUUUUGGGGGAGUCACGAAUAGGACCCAAGAAGAUUUGGGUACGAAAAAGGUAGACUAUUUGUUCAUUUUGUCAAUGUCUUAAGUUCAAAAAGGAGACGAAUAGUACUUAUAAAUUAUUUGGCAAAAUCUGUAAGUACCUUAUAUUUUUUUCUAAAAUAGUGUUUUAAUUAGAUAUAUUAUGAAAAAUCUAUGGAUUUCGUAUUACAUGGGUUCAUAACAUCAUUUAUUAUAAAGUAUAUAUUGUGCUAAAUGCUCCAUAUUUAAUACAAAUGACAAUCUUGAUGAGGAAUAAGUGAAUAUUAUUUUUGAUUAACUUAACCAUGAUCUGCUAAAGGAAGAGAAUGAGGUUUCUGUUGGAAAUGACUAUUUGAAUUGUGGAACCCAAACAGUUCAAUCCGGACAGUCUAAGAUGUGAGACCCCGAAUUUUAUGAAAUAAAAGUAUUAAAUUUUUCUAUUUUGGUAAAUAGUUAAAUUGAUAAAAGUUUAAAGUUAAGGGUCAUAUUUGAAAAUUUUGCAAAGUAUGCAAGUUGUUAUAAAUAUUCGAUUGGUCGGAGAAUAUUCUUUUUGUCGGGGAAUAUUCGUACGACGGCACAAUCUUUGGUGAACCCACAACGGAAGUACUGUCGUAGUUAGAAAAAGACAAAAAUAUUUUAUGAAAAUAACGACGAAGGUUUUACCGUUAAAAUUGUUGAACUACCCGGUAGUAAAAGUACAAUAAUACUCGUGGUUGCAUAGUAGCACACGGUAUUGAUUAUUGAUACUUAUGUGAGAAGUCACUGAGUUAUACUCAAUUAUUGCUACAGUAAUUGUUGCAUCAUAUCUCUCAUAUUAUUGAUUCGAUUAUUGUCAGUAUCAUCUGCAUUAUAUGUUAUUUUAUUAAAUCAAUAAUUGAGACGACAAAGUUAUUCAUAUUAUUAAAUUGCAAUAUUUAUAAUGUCUAGAAGUUCUGUCAAGGAGAGGUUAGAUAAUCUAAUUACGCGCCAAUAGGGAGAAAUCUUUAUCGGAAAGCCCCCUCUUUCCUGGGAACAACCUGGUUGUUAAAUAUUGUGAGUUAUGAUAUUAAUGAUGGAUAAGUUCGUGUUGAUUAAAGAUGAAUUUUAUAGUUUUAUUGUGUUGGGAUUAUUUGUGUUAGUAGAAAUUGACAUCUAUUCCGAUGAUUAUUGAUGUCUGGAGGUUAUAUUGUUCAAUCGGGUAUUCGGGACACUUUUCAUGUCAGAGUUAUUAUUCAUGAGUUACUAUUCACGAGUUACUAUUCAUGAGUUACUAUUCACUAGUUACUAUUCACAAGUUACUAUUCACCUAAUUACUAUUCACUCUAGUAUUGUGCAUUCGGGUAUUUGGGUACAAUAUUAUUCCAUGAGGAGAUGUGUUAAUUUUUCUGACCGUUGGUUGAAAUUAUAAUAGUAAAUCAAUAUGGAUCGUUGAUUUAAAGUCUUAAUAGUAACUUGUCCCUUCAAUAUUACCAAGAGUUAAUUGCCCCUUCGUAAAUAGUAGUUGUCCCUUCAAUAUUACCAAGAGUUAUUUGCCUCUUCGGUGUUCCAAGAGUUAAUUACCCCUUCGCAAACAGUAGUUGUCUCUUCAAUAUUACCAAGAGUCAUUUUGACCCUUCGUUAAGACCAAGAGCCACUCUCAGUUUUUCUAUAAAUAGAAGCUCAUUCCUUCAUUAUUUCUUACGAAUUCACUGAAACUCUAGAGAGAGAAAUUAUAGAGAGAAAGAAGAAGAGUAUUCUGUUACUUCACUACUUCGAUAUCCAGUGUCUUUUACGGUAAGGGAUAUUAUUUGUUGUACCCGUAAGGGGUGUUAUUCUUUCUUAGUCAUGAAGAGAACUUCUGUUAUUCCAUUCUUUAUUAUUCUGUUGGAAUAACCUGUAUAAGCGGCAUACCCUAUACAUAACCUGUAUAUGCGGCAUACCCUAUACUUGGUGAAAUCCCUUUGUUAUUCCAUUCUAUAUUAUUAUGUUGGAAUAACCUGUUUAUGCCAAGUACCGUAUGCAUAGUGAAAUUCUUCUAUUAUUUCAUUCUAUAUUAUUAUGUUGGAAUAACCUGUUUAUGCGAAGUACCGCAUACAUGGUGAAAUUCUUCUAUUAUUCCAUUCUUUAAUAUUCUGUCAGAAUAUCCUGUCGGUGUGAAUUUCGGCUGACCUGGUUCCAUUUAUUAUUCUGUUGGAAUAACCUGUAUACGCGUAUUACCGUAUACUUGGUGAUGUCUGUUGUUCUUCCAUUCUUUACUAUUCUGCUGGAAUAUCCUGUCUGUGCGUUUUACGCCAGACCUGGUUCCGUCUUUAUUAUUCUGUUGGGAAUAACUUGUCUGUGUGGUCUCUAUCGCAUGCAUGAUGAAUCCUUCUGUUAUUCCAUUCUUUAUUAUUCUGUUAGAAUAACCUGUCUAUGUGGAUUACCACAUGCAUGGUGAAUGAUCCUUUAUAUUCAUUCCUUAUUAAAUUGUGGAAAUGAUCCGGUUACGUUGAUUAUGAUGAGAGUCAUAAUAAAAGUAUUGGACUAAUGAAAAUCAUGGGUAUAUGUGGUAUUAGUAAGUGUUAUGAUGAGUUAUGUUGGUUAUUAUGUGAAAACAUGAAAGUUUCUUAGAAAUCACAAAGGGUUGAAAAUCAGAUUUUGGUGAAAAUAGAACAUGAAAUUCAAUUGACCAUAUCUCCUAUUAUAUUUCAAAUUUUUGGGUGUGGUUAAGUUCUAGAGUUAGGUCUAUGAGUUAUGUAACUUAUCCAAGUGGAAUCACUGGAAAAGGUGUUGUAGAUUUUCGUGUGGACUGAUUUUAGCAAAGGAGUGCAAAGCUGCAAAAACCCAAAACUCUACUGCCCAGAAACUUUAAGGGGCUGUUUCGGCUACUUAAUUUGUGAGAACAAUUCUGGCCUUUUGGGACAUGAAAUUAUAUGAUAUAAAGUACCUCCUGUCCAAAAAUGAGCUCAUUCUGACUUAAAAUGAGCAAGUUAUGACCAUUUCAAUAUUUAGGUUUUUCCGACGAAAAACGCUAUAACCGGAGUUCUAUAACUCCGAUGACCAUGAAAUUUAAAUUGGAAGCUCAUGUUAACAUGUGUAAGAUUAUGCCAAGAUUUGGGAAUUUUUGGAGUUAACCUUGAGGUAGCUAACUUCUUAAGGAAUUAAUUAGAAAUUGAUUUUUGAAAAAUAGUAAAUGAAUUUUAAAAAUUCCGAGAAAAAUAUAUGUUCAUUAUGGGACUAUAUUCUGCUAAAUACCAGAAAAGAAAUAUUUUUGGGACUGAUUUGGUAUUUUUCAUGAAAAUAGUUUAGUUACGAACUUAUGAGUUAAAUAUGUUAUGUGAAGUAACAAAAUUGGAAAAAUAGGAUUUAUGGUUUGGAAGGUAUAUGCAGAUUUUUGAUAAAGAAUUUGAUUAUUGGUGAUGAGAUCUUAUGAGUAUGGCAUUUUGAAUGAUUAAAUACAUUAUAUGGUAAAGUGUAAGCAAUUGAAAUAAAUUAUUUAUAAGUUUGAGAAGCGAUUAAAAUAUUGUUAUAAUAUUAAUAAUAUUAGAUUAUGAGUUAUUGAUAAUAUUUGGAUAAGUUUAAAGUCUUUAGUAUUUAUCCUUGUUUUCGUAUGAUUAAUGCUUAUAUCAUUGUCAUCAUCCUCAUGCUUAUAUGGUGAUGAAAGUUAUCUUUGGCUUACGUGCAAAAAUGGACUUUUGAUUAUUGAAUUGUAUAUCUUUGGCUCACGUGCAGAGCUAGUUUGUUGAUUAUUGGUUUUAUUGUUGUAUAUCUUUGGCUUACGUGCAGAGAUGAAUUUGGUAUGAUUAUGACCAAGGAUUAUUCGGUAUAGUCAUGACUAUUGAUGAUUUAAUGAAUAUCCUUGGCCCGUAGUGUAGGGGUGAUUCGAUGAUGUGGUUUAUUUAUUAAGCUGAGUCUCAAUGAUAAAAAUGGAUGAAAACAUUUUUAAAUCAUAGAAGAUAGUAGAUUUUAUUCUCUACUUGACUCUUUUAAUGGAUUGCUUGUUCCGCUGCAGUUAAACUUGAUGUCUAUUGUAUUUUAUCAGUUUAACAUUGUUGAAGACUAUUGAUAAUUUAUUCUGCAUUAUCUAGUCAUAAUAUUUCUUACUGGGCUAGUUGAGCUCACCCUUUCUUCACUGUUCUCUUCAAGAAAUGAGAAUAUAGCUGGGACGAGUCGGGGAACAGAUUGACAGUCCAGAUGAUAGCAUUAGUAGUCCUCACCAUUCUGUUAAAUAAUGUGAUAAUAAAUGUAAUGAGGACUGAAUUUGAGUUUGUAUACUGUCUAUGAGGACUCCAUUGAGAAUUGAUAUUGUCUAGAAGGCAAUAUUCUUGUUUAAACUCUCAGUUUAUGUUUUACACGACAGUUGUAUAAUUAUGUUGUAUUUGAUUUAUGUACCAUGUAUUUGGCGACUCAAGAUGGGUGAUGUAUACCUAUUUUGGGGGCGUCACAUAAGACGUCUGCAUCAGAAGGAAAUAUAGAUGAAAUCAGACAGUUUGACCUGUCUGUUUUAGAAGAAAACUCAAAUUUACAAACACCUAAAUCUAGAAAAAUCGAGAGGUCUGCUUUAGAAUAAAAAACAUAUGAAUAUUCGGAUGCAGUAACUUAUAUUCCAGAGGAUGAAUCUGAAAAGCAAAUGACUUCUUCCAGGCUUCCUAAAUCUUCUAGAACUAUGGGAAAUCAUCCUCCAAGUCUGAUCAUCAGAAAUUUCAACAUUAGGAUGUCCACAAGAAGAGGUUUUGAAGAAAUUUGUUUGCUACACUAAAGGAGCUCAUCUAUCAAGCUUAUUGUUGGUAACAAAAUUGUGGAUAUAUAGGUAACAAAUCACAAAGGUAUGGUUAUUUUAUUUAAGUGCUAUAUGUGAUAUUGUUACAAGCUUGAUGUCGUGUCUUUAUUUUAUGAAUUAUUUUUUGUUAGUGACAAAUGGGGAGAGAUAUAGCUAAAUUGAUGAUUUAUUUCUUUUUGAUAAUGAUAAGGGGAGAAAUGUUUAAAAAUAUUGAUGAUUAUGAUAUUUGAUGGUUAUAUUGAUUAUAAUAUGUUUGGAUUUUUUGGAUAUCAUAUUGAUGAUAAUGGUUGGAUAUUUUGAUUCAUUAUCUGUUAUAUACAGCUUAUCAUUAUGCAUUAUUUAUCAUAACAGUUAUGUGAUCUUUAUAUCUCCUAUAGGCAAAAUUUAGGGGGAGCCAUAUAGUUAGGGAGAGCAUGAUUGUAAGGAAUAAUAUAUUGUCAUCAUCAAAAGGUGGAGAUUAUUAGUUUUAUUAUUUGUAAUUUUAAUAAUGACAAUAUAUUUGCAAAUAUAAGUUAUUUAAUGGUCUGAAUAUAUUUGCAAAUAUAAGUUUGGUUCAUGAUAAUUUAAUUUGGUUAUAAGUCAAAUUGAUAUUACGUGCAGGAUUGAAUUGGAAUAUUUUCUUUCAGGUCUAAUUUGGAGUCUCUAAAUUAACUGGUUUAGAUAUUUGUGUAGAGUAUGGACUCUAUCUAUAAUAUAUUGUUACUCCUUAAUUUUAGCCAUUGUUAGAUUACAUAUCUUUGACUUUCUAAUUUUGAGAAUAUUUUAUAGCUGUUAGCUAUAUCUAUGUGCUGAAAUCUCUAAUUCUCGAAAUCCAAGACCAAGUCAUUGACGAGCCUACUAAGUUUACACAGCAACCACGAUUUGUUUGUAGACUUGUAGUUAUUCAUUUUAUACCCGAAGUUAACAAAUUGUAUGAAAGGUUCAUCCUUUCAAUUAUCUACAUAAUUUAUUUUUUCCUACUCUAUGCAUUCCUAAGUAUCAGAUCGGAUCAGAUCAUAAACAUCACAAUAAACCAUCUAGUGGUAAUUGUUUUAUUUAUAAUACGGUAAUAACAACCACCUAGUGGUAGUUGAUUUAUUUAUUACAUGCUAAUAACAACCAUGAGCUGAUUGUUGAUUUAUUUAUUAAAUGCUAAUAACAGCUAUCAGCUAGUGGUUGAUUUAUUUAUUAUAUUCUAAUAACAGCCAUCAACUAGUAUAUAGUUUCUUGAUCAACUGUUCAUAGGAAGAUUACUGAUCGUUCAUUUAGGCGCUGGGGGGACUAAUUUGAACACCAUAGAUAACUAAACCCGUCUUCAUAGUCGCGCUUUCACUCCCGUCAAGAGCAAAUUUUAAAUCUCCAGAGUCAAAGCUAUUCAAGAAUUCCCCAGCUUUGAGCGAAAAUGGUGUGUUUCUCGGAUAAUUCAUCAAUCCAUAUCCGUUCACUUGCGAGGAUCCAUUCGGAAGAGUAAGUGUAAGACUCACCGGACUUGCUAUGUUAAAGUUGUCUUUCAGCAACACCACAAAAGAUACCUCAUAAGAUAAUUUUUCAAGCUUUUCUGUCAUAUAGUUUCCGUCAACAUGUAGGACUAAGCUACCAAUUAAUUCAGCACUGGCAUCACUGAAAAAAAAUGAUAGUAGAAUUAAAGUCAGAAACUUUUGAUAUAAGGAGCUUAAAUUCAUUAAGGUGAUUUUAUUGAUUUUUUUUUUCUGGAACAUUUUUAAUGUAAGUCCUUCUAUCUACCUAGAGUCUAGACUUCAAUAAAAUUUCUAUAGUCCUUCUAUCACUUUAAUUUAAUGACAUAGUUGCUUAUAUAUCCCUAUUUUUAACUGAAUAAAAUUCAGGUGUUUAAACACAAAUCUUAACCUUUGACGUCAAUUAAGUUAACUAAAUCUUAUUUCUACUUACGUA
Molecule: long non-coding RNA, 159613 nt
Filed under: Panax ginseng (ginseng)
Lineage: Eukaryota; Viridiplantae; Streptophyta; Magnoliopsida; Apiales; Araliaceae
Description: long non-coding RNA (PGIN_LNC007104)
Source: RNAcentral